This 93751-nucleotide long non-coding RNA is filed under the name Ananas comosus (pineapple). RNAcentral describes it as "long non-coding RNA (ACOM_LNC017774)". Lineage: Eukaryota; Viridiplantae; Streptophyta; Magnoliopsida; Poales; Bromeliaceae. The record is from RNAcentral.
GAGUGUGUAUACUUGAAACAUAUUGUGCACACCGGCAAGCCUUGGUUGUAUUGUUAGUCGAUAUGCAAGGAUCCCGCGCAUUCCAAAACUCAUACUGUAAGGAAGUGAAUUCUCGAAACUCGAGGAUUAGACUUCGAUCAGAAUCGACUAGUUGUCGAGUGUGUAAGCUUCGGAAAGUCCGAAGGUGAUUAUAAUGCAUAAAGUGCAUUAAAGAAGGGUCCGCGGGAGCACUAGUGCAAAACUUGCACUGGAGCAGAAAUGCUCUCGGGGACCCGUCCCUGGCAAGGAGGGACCGGUCCCAUCAGGCUGGGUUGCGUAGGUCUCUGAUGAGACCGGUCCCUAUAGGCAGGGACCGGUUCCCGAACGUUAGCCCAGCGAAAAUAGCCGAAAUUUGGCUAAGUCCCGAAAACUUAGCUUUCGGGAACCGGUCUCUCGGACAAGGACCGGUCUCCCGGGGACCGGUCUCUCAGGCAAGGACCGGUUCCCGAAUACGAAAACCCCUCUGCUCGAGAUGGCAGCCUUCGGGGACCGGUCUUCCCGAGCUGGGACCGGUCCCUCACUGCGAAAAUGCCCAGAGAGGGCUGAUUCUAAGGAUGAAAAGUUGAGGGGGCUAAUUGCAAAAUGGCCUUUAAUAGAGGUGGGGGAUCCCUCUCUUUCCCUCAUUGCUCUCUAACUCUCUCACUCUUUCCCUCUCUCUCUCUAGCAAGAAAAGAAAGAGAAGAAAGAGAAGAAGGAGAAGAAGGAAAAGAGGAAGAAGUAGAAGGAGAAGUCCAAGAAGAAGAAGGAGAAGGUCUUCUUCCCUCUCUCCUUCAACCUAGAGCGAGCUUGGAGCUUGGCUUAGAGGUAAGCUCCAAACCCAUCCAUGGUAGAUUUCUUAGGAUUGGGUUUUAUUGCUUAGAAUUGGUUCAAAUGGAACCUAGAGGAGAUAAGUAGAUGGUUCGGGCUCGCAAUCGAAGCUCGCACCACGGAUUUCUCCCUCGUUGCCAUUCUAGGGCAUGGAAUUGGGAUUUUUGGAAAUCUAGGGUUUUGAUCUAGUUUAAUGGGUCGCAAACCUAAUUGCUAGGUCCCGGAAUGCGUCGGCGAAGACGGUUUCUCGAUCCGACGAGCGGGUGCGAAGAAAUUGCCAAAUCGGGUACUUGAGGGCUCGCUUCGCCCCGAGGAGUUAAAGCGGCGUGCAAAGACCGCAACGUCGAGUUUUCUAUCAUCACGAUAUCGCCAAGAGGUGGGUGGUGUCCAUCCCGAAGCAAUCGGGCUCCCUUCUAUGUCUUAGUACAUGUCGACCCUUGCAUCUUGUAUUAUUGCAUUAUAGGAUGAUUGUGCAUUGCCUUUCCUUAUGCUUUUCUUGAUGAUAUCGUAGCAUGUAUUGGAUACUUGACAUAGUAGUGGAUCGAUAAGGAUUGGGUCGAGACUUGUGAAUCCUAUAGUGCAAAGAAAGAGAUGGGCUCGACGGUUGGUCUAAUGUUAAACAAAGAACGAGUGGCAUCUAGUUGAUAGCAAACAAAUGAACGAGUGGCAUUUAGUUGAUAGUAAGCAAAAGAACAAAUGACACAAAUGAGUCGUAGUGUAUGUGAAACCUAUGGACUAUAUGAUGAUUGUAACCCUAGAGGAUAGGGUAUUCUCGAGAUGAGGAUUGGAUUAUGCUCACGGUCUGUUUUAAAUCUUGUGAUGGAAGCCCCACACAAGUAGUGCNUGUAAGGAAGUGAAUUCUCGAAACUCGAGGAUUAGACUUCGAUUAGAAUCGACUAGUGGUCGAGUGUGUAAUCUUCGGAAAGUCCGAAGGUGAUCUUAAUGCGUAAAGUGCAUUAAGGAGAGGCCCGCGAGAGCACCAGUGCAAAACUUGCACUGGAGCAGAAAUGCUCUCGGGGACCUGUCCCUGGCAGGAAGGGACCGGUUCCAUCAGGCUGGGCUGCGGGGGUCUCUGAUGAGACCGGUCCCUGGUGGUGAGGGACCGGUUCCCGAACGUUGGCCCAGCGAAAAUAGCCGAAAUUUGGCUAAGUCCCGAAAAUUCAGCUUUCGGGAACCGGUCUCUCGGACAAGGACCGGUCUCCCGGGGACCGGUCUCUCAAGCAAGAACCGGUUCCCGAACGCGAAAUCCCUUCUGCUUGAAAUGGCAGCCUUCGGGGACCGGUCUUCCCGAGCUGGGACCGGUCCCUCACUCCGAAAAUGGCCAGGGAGGGCUGUUGCAGGGAAUGAAAAGUUGAGGGGGCUAACUGCAAGAUGGCCUUUAAUAGAGGUGGGGGAUUCCUCUCUUUCCCUCAUUGCUCUCUAACUCUCUCACUCUUUCCUCUCUCUCUAGGAAAGAAAAGAAAAGAAAGAAGGAAAGAAAGAAGAAGAAGAGGAAGGAGAAGAAGGGAAGAAAGAAGAAGAAAGAGAAGGAGAAGACUAAGAAGAAGAGGAAAGUCAUCUUCUCUCCCUCUCCCUCAAGCUUGGAGCUUAGGUUAGAGGUAAGCUUCCAACCCUUUAAUGGAAAUUCUAGGGUUUUGGGUUUUUAUGGUUUAGAAUUGGUUCAAAUGGAACCUAUUGGGAAUAAAUAGAUGGUUCGAGCUCAAAAUCGAAGCUCGCACCAUGGAUUUCCCUCUCGUCGCCAUUCUAGGGCACGGAUUGGGAUUUUGGGAAAUUUAGGGUUUUGAUCUAUCUUAAUAGGUCGUAAACCAAAUUGCUAGGUCUCGAAACGCGUCGGCGAAGACGGUUUGCCGAUCCGACGAGCGGGUGCGGAGUUAUCGCCGAAUCGGGUACUCGAGGGCUCGCUUUGCCCCGAGGAGUUUAAGCGGCGUGCAAGAACCGCAACGUCGAGCUUUCUACUAUCGCGGCAUCGCCAAGAGGUGGGUGGUGUCCAUCCCGAAGCAAUCGGGCUCCCUCCUAUGUCUUAGUACAUUUCGAUUCUGCAUCUUGUAUUAUUGCAUUAUAGGAUAUUAUGCAUUGCCUUUCCUUAUGCCUUCCUUGAUGAUAUCGUAGCAUGCAUUGAAUAUUUGAUAUAGGGGAUUGAUAAGGAUUGGGUCGAGAUUGUGAAUCCUAUAGUGCAGAGAAAGUGAUGGGCUCAACAGUCGGUCUAAUGAUGAACAAAGAACGAGUGGCAUCUAGUCGAUAGUAAACAAAUAAACGAGUGGCAUUUGGUUGAUAGUAAGCAAAAGAACAAUGAUACCUAUGAGUCGUAGUGUAUGCGAAACCUAUGGACUAUAUGAUGAUUGUAACCCUAGAGGAUAGGGUAUUCUCGAGACGAGGAUUGGAUCAUGCUCACGGCCUGUUUUAAAUCUUGUGAUGGAAGCCCCACACAAGUAGUGCGCUCCGGAUGUUGGUCACGCCAGGGAUUGCCUAUAUGGCCCCGCCAGACGGUCUCGGGUCCGUAGUGUGAGUUGAUUCUCCCUACGUGUCGAGAUGGCUAGUGAGCUGUAGGCGAGCCUUCGGGUAAGCCAUGAGAUUAAUGGACAAGUAAAUGAGGUUAAUGAACGAGUAAAUAGCUUUUUGCCUUUGGACAUGAUAAUGGGUUAGUUGUUUAUCUAUUUCCUUGUACAUGCAUUCAUAUAUUAUGAUUGGGCAUAGUAGCGUAGCUUCAUUCCGUCAUUUACAGCUUUCCUUAUUUAUCUAUCCAUCUAUUGGUAUAUCUACUUGUGCCCGCUUGGACCUAGUGGGGAGAUCGGCGGAGUUGGCGGCCGAACCCACUGGGAACUAAGGAAGUUAGUUCUCACCCCUAUUUUACUACAGGUUCCAGCUCGGGUGUCCCCGGUGAGCGUGAGGAUCGCGGUAAGGGCCCGGCGUUCUAGUCGCAUUAGCUACCUCCCUUUUGCUUUAGCCGUCACCCUUUUGUACUUGAGAGUAGAUGAUGUAUAGGGUGAGGUGGAGUGAUUGUAUUUAUAUUUUGGAAGAAUGUAAAGACGUAAUUGAAUGUAUUAAGUCAAAUGAAUGUAAUAGAUAGCUUCUUCUCUCUUUAUGUACUUGUAUAUGUUUCUAUACUUGUAUCUUGCUCUUGGUUGUCGCACUAGUGGUGCUUCUUGAUCGUGUAUUUAUGAAUUGAAUUUCUGGGUAAAUUCUUAUACAUGAUCUGUUGGUUGCCUUGGGCGGACAGGGGAGGUCCUGUCCGUCCGGCGUCUGUUCGACGCGCCCGGGCCGGACCAAAUUGGUAGCGGUCGCGGGGCGUGACAGAUAAAGUGGUAUCAGAGCACCAGAGCAAGUAAAGAGAGAGUCUAGGAUGACCUAGGGGACCCUAGGUUGGUAAACCCUAAGGUUAUAGGGACGUGAGUGAACGUGAACCUAUGGCGGUGGCGGGAGUUGAUCGAUUGGGUCGAAGUUGGUGUUAUGUCUCUAGCUGUGAAUAGAGACGGAUCCAAGUGAUACUAGUUUCUCGGCUCGUAGUGGUUGUGUCGGCGGUCGACGACGCGACGCUAAGAGUCCAGAACUGGAGCACUUGUGAACUUCCGCCCGAUUUCGUUGUUGAGUCGUUUAUUUUCGCAAACGCUGAGGAAGUUAUCGGAAUGAGAUAACUAACCGAGUUGUUGCUUUUCAGGAGCAAAUGUCCCCAAGGCGUUAUGCGCGUAGGUCUGCUCCGGUACCGCCUUCUGCGGAGCCCGAGCAGCCAAGAUCGGAGGAGGUGCAGGAGCUGCGGGAGCAGGUCGCUGCAAUGUUGGGCGCGAUGCAGCGCCAGGAGGCUCGGUUCGAGCAGCUCCAGGAAGUUGUGGAGCGGCAAGCAGCAGCGGCGGCGGCCGCGACGGCGGCAGGAGAGCGCGAGCCGCCCGCACCUUCGGCACGCACGCCGGUAGCGGCCGAGGGUGAGGGCAUAGCGGCGGUUCCCCCGCCGACAAGUGCGCCUCCGACAGCCUCGGGUUCGGCGACGCUUGAUACGACGGCCGAUGAGGUGGAGCGGGAGCGUGCGCUAACGGCUCUGAUGAAGUUUAUGAAGUUUAAACCACCAACUUUUGAAGGGGGGAAGGUGGAGCCGUCGGUGGUGGAGUCUUGGGUUGACUCUAUGGAGACCCUCUUCGAGGACUUGUAUACCCCGGAGAAUGAUAAGGUGCCUUUCGCCAUCCAUUGCCUCGACAAGGCGGCGAAGGUGUGGUGGAAGCGGUUGAAGCGGGAUCGACCCUCUGAUCUUCCACCAAUGCUCUGGGAGGAGUUCAAGAAGGAGAUGUUCGGAAAUUACUUCCCCGACACCGAGAAGCGGAAGUUGAAGGAGAGGUUUCGUAAGUUGAGGCAGGGAGAUCGUUCAGUGGCGGACUAUGAACAGGAGUUCUCCCACAUUAUAGACUGUGUUCUGGACGUGGUCAAGGAUGACGCGGAUCGAGCCGAGUGGUUCUUGCGAGGACUUCGGCCGUGGAUCUAUAGGGCAGUGCAACUAUUUCAGCUCACGACUUUCGCCGAGGUUUUCAAUAAGGCGCUGUGGGCAGAGCAUGGAGAUGCCCAUAUGCGGGAGGAGCGUGAGUUGUUGGCCGGAUCCCAAGACAAGGGGAAGAAGCGGUCGGGUGGCGGUUCGGGGGGGACAAUCUAGUUCGAGGAGGCCCCCGAAGCAUCCGCGGUCGCAGUCGUGGGGCCGUGGGCCGCAGCGGUGCCCUAUCUGUGGGGAUCGAGGCCAUCGGGCACCGCAGUGUAGACAACGACAAGGACGGUGCUUUAAUUGUGGACAAGAAGGACACAUUAGCCGCGAUUGUCCGGCAAGGGCCUCGUCUACUCCGUCAGUGGCAUCGACUCCAGCGCCCUCGCCUUAUCAAGGAGGGGCCCCAUAUGUUCCUGUAUCGGCGGGACGCGCACUAGCGCCGCGCCAGCCGGAGGUGACUCGAUCAGCGCCGAGCGGACGGGUAUUCGCCGCUCAGGCCCUUGCCGAAGAGCCUGCCAAGCCGAGGAGCCUGAUGUUGUGGCAGGUAUGGUUCUAAUCAAUGGAGUUCGCUCCAGAGCUAUGUUCGAUACGGGUGCCACGCAUUCAUUUAUUAGUAGGGCAUUUGCACGCAUGCAUGACAUACCCAUAGAAGCCAGUGGCAAGUGGCGAGUCGAGGGUCCUGAGUCGUCGUUCAAUACCUAUACGGAGUGCUCUUCAUGCCCAGUACAAGUAGGUGAGUGGAUAAUGCCCAUCCGGAUGUUGGAACUCACUAAGCUGGAGGCGUAUGACGUCAUUUUGGGCAUGGACUGGCUCUCAAAGUAUUACGCUACGAUCGAUUGUAAGAAUAAAUUGAUCACCUUUUGGGAGCCUGGGCAGAGGGAGUUCGUUUACCGAGCUUGUCGGAGUUCUCGCUUCGUCGCGACAGUAUCGGCGACUAGAGCUAGAAAGUUGGUCAGCGGCGGUUGCGCGGCAUUUUUGGCGACCGUCGUGGAGGUGGACCGGGUGGUGCCAAAACUAGAAGAUUUAUCGGUGGUGCGGGAAUUCCCAGAUGUAUUUCCCACGGAGUUGGCAGGGAUGUCGCCGGAUCGGGAGAUCGAGUUCGUUAUAGACUUGAUUCCUGGGACGGCGCCAAUCUCGAAGGCCCCAUAUCGUAUGGCGCCGGCAGAGUUAAGGGAAUUGAGGGAUCAGUUACAAGAUCUCCUCGACAAGGGGUUUAUCCGGCCGAGCGUAUCGCCGUGGGGAGCGCCGGUGUUGUUUGUGCGCAAGAAGGAUGGCUCGUUUCGACUCUGCGUGGAUUAUCGAGAGUUGAAUAAGGUCACAAUAAAGAAUAAGUACCCGUUGCCCCGAAUCGACGACUUGUUCGACCAAUUACAAGGGUCACAAGUAUACUCGAAGAUAGAUCUACAGUCCGGCUAUCAUCAGUUAAAGAUCAGGCCGGAGGAUAUUCAGAAGACCGCGUUUCGUACGCGUUAUGGACACCAUGAAUACACGGUUAUGCCUUUUGGGCUCACUAAUGCCUCGGCAGCGUUCAUGGACCUAAUGAACUGUGUGUUCAAGGCGUGCUUGGACCGAUUCGUCGUGGUCUUCAUAGACGACAUCCUGGUCUAUUCGCGGAACGACGAGGAGCACGCGGAGCAUUUACGGACGGUGCUUCAAAUCCUUCGGAAGGAGAAGCUAUUCGCAAAGUUGAAGAAGUGUGAUUUCUGGCUUCGAUAGGUUGCCUUCUUGGGGCAUGUGAUUUCCGAGGGCGGUGUUUCUGUUGACCCGAGGAAAGUCGAAGCGGUCGAGAAUUGGCCACGCCCGACGAACGUUACGGAGGUCCGAAGCUUUGUGGGCUUAGCGGGCUAUUAUCGACGGUUUCUGGAGGGCUUUUCGAAGAUUGUAACUCCACUUACCGGUCUGACACAGAAGGGCGUCAAGUUCAUUUGGAGCGACGAGUGUGAUCAAAGCUUCAACGAGUUGAAGAAAAGAUUGACGUCGGCUCCAAUACUCGCCUUGCCGGUGCAAGGCGAGGACUUUGUGGUUUAUAGCGAUGCAUCCUAUCUGGGCUUGGGGUGUGUUCUGAUGCAAGGCGAGAGGGUGAUAGCUUAUGCAUCCCGUCAGCUGAAAGAUCACGAGAAGAAUUACCCUAUUCAUGACUUGGAAUUGGCGGCGGUGAUCUUUGCGUUGAAGUUGUGGAGGCACUACCUAUACGGUGCACACUGCGAGAUCUACACCGACCACAAAAGCCUGAAAUACCUAUUUACCCAGAAGGAGCUAAAUAUGCGACAAAGGCGGUGGCUAGAGCUAUUAAAAGAUUAUGACGUUGACAUUCUGUACCACCCCGGCAAAGCAAAUGUGGUCGCGGACGCACUUAGUAGGAAGUCGGCGAAGAACCUCGCUUUUGACGUUACCCGGCAAACACCCCUAGGGCUGGAAAUGGAGCGACUGGACCUUGAAGUGGUCGCUCCCGAGGUCCCGGCUCAGCUAAUGGCGCUCGUUAUUCAACCGACCUUAUUGGAGAGGAUCAGAAAUUUACAACCUGCGGAUCCGAGUCUCCAGAAGGUGCGGCGAAAUAUCGAGGAAGGACGAGAUGGCGAUUUUAGUGUGGACGCCGGUGGCGCGCUUCGGUUUCGAAACCGGUGGUGUGUGCCCGAGGAUGGAGGGCUUCGCGAGUUGAUUCUGCAAGAAGCUCACCGGUCUCCAUACGCGGAUCACCCGGGCGGCACCAAAAUGUAUCAUGAGUUGAGGGCACUCUAUUGGUGGCCGGGGAUGAAGGCCGACAUUGGGCGCUUCAUGGCAAAGUGCUUAACUUGUCAACAAGUAAAGGCGGAGCGCCGGUUUCCAGCGGGGAAGCUUCAAAGCUUACCUAUUCCCGUUUGGAAAUGGGAGGACAUAUCUAUGGAUUUCAUCGUCGGCUUACCUCGCUUGACAGGGGGCCAUGACGCAAUCUGGGUGAUCGUGGAUCGCUUGACCAAGUCAGCACACUUUUUGCCGAUCCACACCACCUGGGCGGGAGAUAAGUUGGCGCAGGUAUAUCUUGACGAAGUAGUGAGGUUACACGGGGUGCCGAAAUCGAUUGUGUCGGAUAGAGACCCCAAGUUUACCUCACAUUUCUGGAAAAGCCUGCAGGAGGCCCUUGGCACACGGCUCGAUUUCAGUACUGCAUUUCAUCCCCAGACAGACGGACAAACUGAAAGAACUAUUCAGACUCUGGAGGACAUGUUGCGAGCGUGUGUCAUCGACUACAAAGGAGGUUGGUGUAGGUAUUUGCCAAUGGCCGAGUUCGCCUACAACAACAGUUAUCACGCUAGUGUGGAGAUGGCACCGUUCGAAGCUCUUUAUGGGCGGAAGUGCCGCUCUCCCAUUUAUUGGAGUGAUGUGGGCGAACGCACGGAAUUUGGCCCCGAUGUGCUGCGGGAGGCGGAAGAAAAGGUCCGCCUUGCUCGCAAACGGUUACUCACGGCGCAAUCUCGACAACAGAGCUAUGCGGAUAGGCGCCAGCGAGAUCUAGAGUUUGCGGUGGGUGACCGCGUCUUCUUGAAGGUCUCGCCUAUGAGGGGUGUAAGGCGGUUUGGAGUUCGAGGAAAAUUGAGUCCCCGAUACAUUGGCCCCUACGAGAUCUUGGAGCGGAUUGGGACGGUGGCUUAUCGGCUCGCGUUGCCGCCGAAGCUUGCAGAUGUGCAUAACGUAUUCCACGUCUCCAAUCUUCGCAAAUACAUCCCUGAUCCCGAGCACGCGAUGUUAUAUGAACCGCCGGAACUUCAGGAGGACUUGAGCUACGAGGAAUUCCCGGUGGCAACUACCGCUCGUGAAGUGCGCAAGUUAAGGAAUCGGGAAAUUCCUUAUGUCCGAGUCCGGUGGAGCAAUCAUGAUGAUCGCGAAGCCACCUGGGAGCUUGAGCAGGAGAUGAAGGCGAAUCAUCCUUGUCUGUUCGAAGGGUAAAUUGAGGUAUGAAUUUAGAAUUUGAAAUUCUAAUCAAGUUUUGGAGUAUUGAGUUCGUUUCGAGGACGAAACUCUUUUAAGGUGAGAAGGAUGUAAGGAAGCGAAUUCUCGAAACUCGAGGAUUAGACUUCGAUUAGAAUCGACUAGUGGUCGAGUGUGUAAUCUUCGGAAAGUCCGAAGGUGAUCUUAAUGCGUAAAGUGCAUUAAGGAGAGGCCCGCGAGAGCACCAGUGCAAAACUUGCACUGGAGCAGAAAUGCUCUCGGGGACCGGUCCCUGGCAGGGAGGNUAUUAUAAAGGCUGAAUGAAUGUAAUAGAUAGAUGUUCCUCUCUUUAUCAUUACUUGUAUGUUCUAUACUUGUAUCUUGCUCUUGGUUGUUUGCACUGAUUGUGCUCUCGUUGUAGUUAUCGAUUGUGUAUGUAUUCAAGUUAUUUUCCUGGGAACUUGUUGUACACAAUCUCGUUGUUAGCCUUGGGUGGACAGGGGAGGUGCUGUCCGUCCGGCGUCUGUUCGACGCGCCCGGGCCGAGCCAAAUUGGUAGCGGUCGCGGGGCGUGACACAUACGGUCCUAUAUCGGGGACUUAACUUGCCCCGAACUCUAAAUUACUUCACCCUUCUCAUGGGUGACACUUUCAAGAAAAUGUAGUCGCCCACCACAAAUUCCAAAUCUUGUUGAUACUUGUUCGCAUAGCUUUUUUGUCGUGUUUGCAUCGUUAAGAGUUGUUGACACGCUAAACAGACUUUCUCUUCAUCGUCUUGCGACACAUUCGAUCCCAAGGCCAUUUCUUGCCAACCUUUCUCCAAUGUAUCGGAGAUCAAUAUACAAGGCCCUGAAUAGUGUCAUCCCAAUACUUGCCUGAUAGUUAUUAUUAUAGGCGAACUCUGCUAUCGGCAAAGUAUACGUGCCAUGCACCCUUAAAGUGAAGAAUAAACGCUCAAAACAUAUCCUCUAGAAUUUGAUUUAUUCGUUCUGAUUGACCAUCCAUCUGAGUAUGGAAUGUCGUGCUAAAGUUGAUCCGACCCCAUGUAGAUGCACGAUCUCAUUCAAAUAGAGGUGUGCCAACUUAUCCCUCGACAAUGUGGUGUAGAUCAACAAGAAGUUAGACGACUUCGUCAAACGGUCCACAACUACCCAAAUUGCAUCUUGACCUCCUUGCGAUCGAGGUAAACCGGUAACAAAGUCCAUUGCUAUAUUCUCCCUCUUUCAUACUAGAAUCGACAGAUUUUGUAAUUUUUUCGCAGAGAAGCGAUGUUCUGCUUUCACUUCUUGACACACUAAGCAUUGUGCCAUAAAGCAUCUAAUGUCCCUUUUCAUGCCUAAUCACUAAUAAUGCAUUUUGAGAUCCUUAUAUAUUUUGAUAUCACCCGGAUGAAUAGGAUACGGGGAUUGAUGAGCUUUACUCAAAAUCUCCCCACAAAUUUUUUUCGUCCUUGGGCACACACCACCGAUCCCAAAAUCGAAUUGUGCCCUCCGAGUCCAAGCUAAACUCGCCAGCCCACCUACUUUAAAAAUCGGUUCGCCCCUUUUGGAGUAACAAAUCCAAAGAUUGUUUUUCUUUUAUUCUCUCCAACAAGGUUGGUCGAAUCAUUAGGGUCAUAAGCUGUAGUACACUGAGCUUUAGCAAGUUGCAAGGUUCUAGUGUAAAAAUAACAUUUUAAACUAUUCUGGAUGUUUUGAGGGUUGUCUGUGUCGUAUUUGACUGUUACUAGAGCUUAUUAGGUGUGAAAACGGGCUUUCGACAUCAAAAUCUGCAAAGUGCAGGUUUUAGUGUUGAGUACCGGUACUGGAUGUUGGUAUCGGUACCCUGUAGAGUGCCGAAAUGUACAGCUCUCGGGUUUUGAGGUACUGGACAGUGAGUACUGGUACUGGGCUGGGUACCGGUACUGCAUCGCGUGGGUACCGGUACACCGUAAUAAACCUGAAUGUUUUACGCUCGAGUUUUGUGAGUUUGAGGGCCGGGUACCAAUACUCCAAUUCGAGUACCGGUACUCAAUGCAAAAAACUGUGUUUUGUGCAGUUUGCUAUUUGGGAGCUUUUAAGGGGCCUUUUUGGGAUUGUUACAUUAGUGUAUAUCCCCAGCACCCCUCAUUCUUGGUCUUUUGUGCUGGGACCUAAGGAAGGUGAAGGUAGGCUUUUCUCUCUUUCUCUCUCUAGAUUUUCUCUCUAAUUUCUUGUAGAUUUGAAGAUUUGAUCUUAUUUUCUUCUCCCCUUCCAUGGAAGCUUCCUUGGUGAACCCUAGAGGAGUCUUGGAAGUGAGGAUAGAAGCUUAGUUGAGGAUUAAACUUCAACCCUAGCUCAAGUUUAGCUUGGUUUGGAGCUUUCUUGAAGGUUAGUAAUCUAUUUACCACUUUUGAUUGUGUUUUUGUGAAAAUUUGUGGAAUUAAACCUAGUUAUGAGAAAACUAGGGUUUAAUUUGGGAUUUCUUAUUGUGAGGUUUUUUGUAAGGAAGUGAAUUCUCGAAAAGCGAGAGUUAGACUUCAUUCGGAAUCAACUUAUCGUUGACUUGGUGGGCUUCGGAGAGCCCGAAUGCGAUGAAAAUGCAAAAAAGUGCAUUAGGGUGGACCUUGGAGAGUUGAGGAUAGACCUGGCAAACGGGUAGGUUGGGUAACCUGUGGGCGGGUCAUUGUAUCCGUGAGUUAUUUGGGCAUGGGUAAAAUUUACCCGCAAAUUUUUGGGUAGCCAACAUCUUUACCCAUACCCGCCCGCGGGUGGGCGGGUGGGUAUGCGGGGUACUCGUCAUUUUUUUUUCUUUUUUGUUCUUAUAUUUUUUAAGUACAAAACAUAUAUAUAUAUAUAUAUAUAUAUAUAUAUAUAUAUAUAUAUAUAUAUAUAUAUAUAUAAGUUUUAAAAGUAUAUUAUAACUUAUUAUUUAAAGUAUCAUAAUAUAUAAUAAAAAUAUUUAAAGUCUUCAAGCAAAAAAAUUUCACAAAAAAAUUUCACAAAAAAUUAACACGACCAAAAAUUAGGGUUAGAAUUUUUAGGAUGAAUAAAUAAAUAAAUAAAUAUAUUAUUUAAAAANUAUAAUAAAAAUAUUUAAAGUCUUAAAGCAAAAAAAUUUCACAAAAAAGUAACACGAUAAAAAAUUAGGGUUAGAAUUUUUAGGAUGAAUAAAUAAAUAAAUAAAUAUAUUAAUUAAAAAAAUAUAUUUUGUAAUUAAAAUAUAUAUGUGUGGGUACCGGUGGGUGCGAGUUACCCAAAAUGCCCACAGCUUAAUGGGUACCUACUAGUUUUACCCAUAAUUUUUUGGGUUGAAAAAGUUGGUACUCAUACCCGCAAAUUUACAGGUAAUCCGCGGGCACCCGCGGGUUUCUGUCGAGAUUGCCAGGUCUAGUAGAGGAUUGCAAAAUUUACAAGUUUCACAACUUCACAACUCUCGGGGUCCGGACCCUAGUUGUAGGGUCCGGACCCCGUAGCUGUGAAAAUCCCAUUAGGGGUUGAGAAUUGCAGAGUGUGCAAUUCGCAUGUUUUUCCAACUCUCAGGGUCCGGACCCUAGUGGUAAGGUCCGGACCCCAUAGCUGCGAAACUUUGAGAAAUUGCAAAAUGUGCAAUUCCCAUGAUUCCCAACUCUCGGGGUUCGGACCCUAGCUCUAGCGUCCGAACCCCGUACCCCGAAAUUGCCCAAAAUGGGCUGAUGCAGAGGGGCAAAGUUGAGGGGCUAAAAUGCAAUUUUUGCAUAAGUGGGGCUAUAUGAGAGCUCAUGCUCUCUUUCUCUUCUCAUUUUCUCCCCAACACAACCCUAAAACACUCCUCUCUCUUUCUAAAGCUUUGCUCUCUCUCUCUCUCAAGGAAGGAGAAAGAAGAAGAAGAAGAAGAAGAAGAAGAAGAAGGAGAAGAAGAGUAGGAUCACCCUCUCCAUCUUCUUCCUCUUGUUUGGAGAAGCUUUUGGAGGUAAGCUUUUCUAACCCCUUUUAAUGGCAUCUUCUAGGGUUGAUGUUCUAAUACUCUAGAAUUGGUUUUAGUUAAACCCUAUGAUACUAGUGAUGUGAGAUAUUGAAUCUUGAUGGUUUGUAGCUAACUUUGGCCAAAUGGACCAAAGUGGGCAAUUGACGGUUUGGACAAGUUCCAUUCGGUAUUCCAACAAGUUUGGAAGAGCUAAAAUGAGUUCCAAAGGUGUUGGAUUGGUUUUGACAUCGAUCGGCGCGAGGUAGAGCCGAAGAGAAGUGAAAACAGCAUUCUGGAACUGUUGUACCGGUACAAGGGUGAUGGCUGUACCGGUACAACCAUCACAGCUCUCGGGUUGGAGGCUACCAGACCUUGUACCGGUACAAGGGGGUCUUGUACCGGUACAAGCACUGCGCACCCGAGAAACCGAGCUCUCGGGUUGGAGGCUGCCAGACCUUGUACCGGUACAAGGGGGUCUUGUACCGGUACAAGCACUGCGCAACCGAGAAACCGAGCCUCGGGUUAGGCUGUCUGCUAGGCCUUGUACCGGUACAAGAACCCGUGUACCGGUACAAGGGACCCGAAACUGCAGGUCAAGUUGGAAAAUUAGAUUUUUGAGGGGGCUUUUGGGAUUUUGUUACAUUAGAGGGUUAUAAUACCUCUCUCUCAGCCUCUCUCACUCACUCUUAGCCUCUCUCUCUCCCUCUCACUCAGCUCUCUCUCUCUCUAAACCGAAAAGGGAAAGAAAGAGAAGAAGAAGAAGAAAAGAAGGAGAGAAAGAAGGAGAAGAAGAAGGAGAAGAUCAAGGAGGAAAAGAAGAAGCUCUCUCCCUCCUCUUCCUCAAGCUAGGGCUUGCUUUGGAGCAAACCCUAGAGGUAAGCCUCAACCCUAACUUGUGAGAUUCUAGGAUUUUGUGACUUUUGUUGGUUUUAAUGGUUCAAAUGGAACCUAAUGAGUUUAGAGGACAUGGAUCUUGCUCACAAUGAAGCUAGAAACCAUGGUUUCCCAUGGGUGCUAAACCUAGGGUUGGUUUUUGGGGUUUUUGGGAAUAUUGGGUUUUGAUCUAUUUUGAUGGGUCGGAAACCUAAUUGUUAUGCUCCCGAACGCGUAGGCGAAGACGGUUCGUCGAUCCGUCGAGCGAGCGUGGAGAUAUCGCCGAUUUGGUCGCUCUAGGGUUCGUUUUGACCCAAGGUGUUGAAGCGGCGCACGUGGAUUUCGACGCCGAGUUUCUUAGCUUUUCGGCACUACCACAAGGUGGGUGGUGACCUUCCCGAAGCCAUGGGGCUACGUUCUAUGUCCGAGUUUAUUAUUGAUCCAAUUGCAUAUUAUUCAUGUUGCAUAUAGGGUUAGAAAAUGAUUGUUGUCGCUUAUAUUUGCAUGCUAGUAGCUAUAUAUCUUGUUGAUUAAUCUAUGACCUAGUAUGCAUAAGAACUACAUGAUGAAAACCUAGACCCUAUAUGAGAUGAUUAAUGUUUAUGUUGCUAAAGAACUAGUAUGAUGUAAUUAGUGUUGAAAAUGAGUCUAAAUGACGAGUGGCAUCUAGUUUAGAAAACUAUGACGAGUGGCAUCUAGUUAUAGAAAACUAUGAUGAAGAACAUAUGAUUAUUGAUAAUUUGAUAUGAGAACCUUAGUGUAGUUGAGACACUAUGAGAUUGGGUACAAGAACACCUUGAUUCCAUGAUGAGAUUAUCCUUAGAGGGUAGGUUGCUGUUCUUCGUGAGUUGAUCGUGCUCACAUAGCCUGUCUGCGCUUGGAGGGGUCGCUCCCCGCAAGCUGUGCACUCCGAAGGUUGGUCACUAGAGGGACAGUCAGUGUGCUGUCUGGACGGUCUGUGUGCUGUCCGCAGGCGGUCUCGGGAGUAGUUCAGUGAGACUUUCCCUAUGAGACUUACACGUGAGUUAUGCUUGUGAACUUCGAGUUCACCAUGAGAUUGGGUAACUUAUUGAGUCACACUCAUUACUUGUUGUUCAUAGUAGCUUCCCUAUGGUUGUUCAUGAUAGCUUACUUGUUAUUGUUGUUCAUAGUAGCUUACUACCCAGCUUUAUUUAUUGUUCAUGCAUGCAUGAUAUCAGAUUGAGGCAUAGCUAGAUAUUCAUGAUUCUACCUACUUACUCAUGUUCCUUACUUGCUCAGUUAUCAUACCUGCUUUUUAUCAGUUUAGCUUUAUAUAUAUAUAUAUUGCAUAUAUCUCUCUAUGCCUGCUUCGACCUAGUGGCUAGAUCGGUGGAGUCGGCGGUCGAACCCAUUGGGAACUAUUCGUAGUUCUCACACCCGUUGUUGCAGGCGCUAGUUCGAGUGUCCCGACCGAGCGGGAGGAUCGCGGCAAGGGCUUGGCGCCCUAGUGGUACCAGUUGGUAGCUUACUUUCCUACUUGUAUUAGUUCACCCUGUGCUUUUAUUUUGAGAGUAGAUGUUGUAUAGGGUGAGGUUUUGGAGAGUACUUGAUGUAUUUACUUUUUGGAAAAAAAUUGAAAAACAAUGUAUGAUGGUUUAAAGAGUUUAAUGCAAGUGGUAUUUAAAUGCUUUAAAUUCAUGGUUCAAUAGUUAAGUUUCUCUCUUUUGUAUACUUGUAUGCUUUUACUAGUAUCGCUUGCUCUUGUUGGUUUUAAUACUGUUUGUGUUAUCGCUGUUUGAUUGUGUAUGAAAUCAAGUUGUUUUUUCUGGGGACUUGUUGUACACAAUCUCGUUGGUUAGCCUUGGGCGGACAGGGGAGACUCUGUCCGUUCGGCCUCACGCCGCCGCCCUCGAACCGGACCAAAUAGGUACCGUUUUCGGGCCGUGCGGUCGGGGCAUGACAAGUGAUGUGCUAAUGGCAAGAAUCUAGGGUUUAAAUAGAGCCGAUUGCGUUGAUUCCAAUCUAGGGCUCCGAAAUGGGUUUCCGAGAAAUCGACGAGUUUGAUCUAAAUUAGAUGGCCAUAAACCUAAUUGCUAGGUCUCUAAGCGCGUCGGUGAAGACGGUUCGAGGAUCCGUCGAGCGAGUGCGAAGUUGUUGUCAAAAGAGACCCUCGGAGCUUCGUUUCCGCCUAGAAGGCCAACGAGGUGUCAUAAAAUCGGCGAAUCGUGUUCCAAGCGUCGCAACGUCGCCACAAGGUGGGUGGUGUCCAUCCUGAAGUAGUUGAGCUGCUCCCUAUGUCUAAGUUGUAUUUUGUUGAUCAUAAUGCACAUGUAGUAUUAUGCAUUAUAGGGUGUAGUUGGUUAUGUUUUAUCCUAGCAUGCUUCUUGGUAGUGUAGCAAUCUGAUUGGCACUUGAACCUAGAAGGCAUGAGAAUGAGUAUAAUGACAUAGAACCCUAUAGUGAUAAAGAUAAGUAGUAACUUGAUCUGAGGAUUAUAAAAGUUAAUGACAUGUGCAAUGUUCGGACCUUGUAUUAUGACGAGUGGCAUGGAACAUAGAAAACACUUGACGAGUGGCAUUAGAACUUAGUGUAAAGAACACUAUGAUAUGAUGAUGUAGGGACUAGAUGAGUUUUCCCUAGUUGGACAUCUUGCAUGAGAACUUGUGCGUCAUUGACACAGUUGCUAGCGUUGAGGCUUUGGACAUGGAUACAAACUAGUGUAUUCCCGAGAGAUUGAUGACCCUAGAGGAUAGGGCUUCCUCGAUGGCGAGGAGGGAUCAUACUUACAUAGUCUGUGCUUGGGGUGGUCGCUCCCCCCCGUUAGUGCGCUCCGGAGUUGGUCACGUUCAGGACAGACGUAGUUGUACGCAGACGGUCCCGGGUGGGUUGACAGUGAGGUCCUCACCUAGGUGGGAUUGAGAUGUGAGUCGAGGGCUAACUCUUGGUUGGCCAAGGAUUGGGUAAUGGACAUGUUGGACAUUGGACAUAUUGAGCAUAGUAGAUUAUAUACUUGCUUGUGGCAUGAUCUUAGUGACAUGUUAGUGAUACUUGUUUCGAUUGUUCAUUGCAUACUUGCCAGGCAUAGUAGUAUACUAUAGUUUCUUUACUAUGCUUUCAUUUCAGUUAAAUAUCUAUCUAUUUAUCUGCUUAUGCCUGCUUAGACCUAGUGGGGAGAUCGGCGGAGUCAGCGGCCGAACCCAUUGGGAACUAUUCGUAGUUCUCACCCCACUUUGUUGCAGGACUGAGCUCGGGUACUCCGAUCGUGGAUCGCGGUAAGGGCUUAGCACCCUAGAGGUUGUAGUCACCUUCCUAUUGCAUUAGUAGUCACCCUUUUGUAUUGAGAAUAGAUGAUGUAUAGGUGGUGAGGUGUUUUGAGAGAUGUAUCCAUGUAUGUAUAUAUGUGAUGGAUGAGUUGUACUCAUGUUUUGGAUGAAAUAAAAUGUAAUAACUUAGUAUUUCUCCAUUUUAUUCACUUGUAUGUUCAUUACUUGUGAUGCCUACUCUUGUUUGUUUAGCACUGUUUGUGCUCUCGCUUUUGUCGUUGUGAUUGUGUAUGUUUUCAAGUCGUUUUCCUGGGCACUUGUUGUACACAAUCUAUUGGUUAGCCUUGGUCGGACGGAGGAGGUCUUGUCCGUUCGACGUCUGUUCGACGCGCUCGAACCGGACCAAAUUGUUAGCGGGUUUCGGGGCGUGACAUUUUUGGAACCUAAUCAAUGGUUGUAAAACUCUCUUUUAGGUGGGAAUUGAAGCAUCCCAACCUUAAUUGGAGUUUUGGAUAACUUUUCUUCGAUUUAAGGUAAUUUCUACCUAUUUUUGGUAUGAAUUUUGGGAAUUUUUGUGGGGAGCUUAUUAGAAGCGUCUAACCCUUUUAGAAUUUUUGUUAGGGUUUUGGAGGCUUGAGGACAAUUUCGUUCGAGCAAACGAAGGAGUUCGAAGUGCAUUCGGUGGGUUUGACCUCACCGAAAUAGGUGAAGUCCCUCUGUCUUCUAUAUUAUUAUUAUAAGACAUAAUUUGGUGCAUUUCCAUGCUAGUUAUGACAUGGUACAAUUUUUGAAUGCAUGAAAUAUUCGCGUUACAUUUUGAAGUUCAUACUCUAUAUAGUAGAGGUUCAUCAUGUAGACUUGUACACUAGAUGGCACUAGACGGCAUGUAAUAGUAUUUUUCCCUCUUAUGCAAUAUUAGGAUGCGUAAUAGAGAUGAGUAAUGAAUAUCCUAUGGGACUUUGCAUGACUAGUGGAAUCAUUGAAUUUGAUUAGUACGAUAUCUAACGAACUUGUUUUUGACAAGGAUAAAAGUUAACAUGUUGCAUUUAACUAGUUAAAUGACUAAGUGAGCUUUAUGACUUUGCUCUCGACCUUUAGGUCGUUAGUUAUAUUCCAUAUUUUAGACAUGACGAAUGAGAUUACGACGCCUUUGGGCGAACAAUAAAAGAGGCAAAUGCAUAUAAUGCUAGUUGAAUGAAAAUUACUAGCAUGAUAACUCUUAUGCUCAAUGUAGUGGAGGCCUUGGUAGUAAAGCAUAUGCAUAACAUGCAUUAUGAUUUUUGUGGACAUCUUUAUAAUUCUUUUGCAUAUGGCAUUAGUAAAUGACUCUCUUGACUAUAGUGGAAAUAGUAUAUUUAUGAAACCUCUUUUGAGUCUUGAAUAAAAUAGUGAACCAUCUAAAUAGGACAAUGAGAUGUGAACUAAUAAAUGCUUAAGGCAUAUUUUGUGUCGGUAGGGACAUACCACCAAUGUAAUUAUGAAUGAAACAUGACAUGAAUGAUCUAGUACCUGACCUUCGAGUCGAUGUUUGAAAUUUCAUAUUUUAGAUAUGAUGAUUGACUAUUUGAUUUGUGGACACUAUGCUAUUGAUCACGCUUGCUUGCCAUUGUGCUCAUUCGCACAAGCUUGUGAGGGUCGCACCCUGCAAGCUGGCACUCCGGAGCAGCCUUGCGACGACAGAUCGCUCGUGCGAGAUUGGGCGCCGAAGUUGUGAGAUAUCGAGAUUCGACGAUAUUGGCUAACUUUGGCCAAAUGGGCCAAAGUAGGCGAUUGAGCGGUUUGGACAAGUUCCAUUCGGCAUUCCAACAAGUUUGGAAGAGCAAAAAUGUGUUCUAAAGGUGUUGGAAUGGUUUGGACAGCGAUCGGCGCAAAGUGGAGCUGAAACAGAGUGAAAUCAGCAUUCUGGAGCUGCUGUACCGGUAUAAGGGUGAUGGCUGUACCGGUACAGCCAUCGCAGCCAGGCUGCGUAGCUCUCGGGUUUGAGGGCUCCAGGUGCUGUACCGGUACAAGGGGCUUGUACCGGUACAAAUCCGACGAAACUGAGACCCGAGCUCUCGGGUUUGCUCUCGGUUUUAGUUGUCACCCAGACCUUGUACCGGUACAAGAUCCCGUGUACCGGUACAAGGGCACCCGAACAGCAGGGUGACAGUUUGGAAAAUAGAAAAGUUGAGGGGCUCUUUUGGAUAUUGUUACAAUAGAGGACCUAAGCCUCUCUCUCAGCCAUUCUCUCCCACUCCCUCACUCUCUCUCUCCCUCUCAUUUAGCUCUCUCUCUCUCUAACCGUGAGAAGAAGGAGAAGAAGAAAGAAGGAGAGAAAGAAAGAGAAGAAGAAGGAGAAAGGAAGGAGAAGGUCAAGGAGAAGAAGAAGAAGCUCUUCCUCCUCCUCAUUCUCAGCUAGGGCUUGCUUUGGAGCAAACCCUAGAGGUAAGCCUUAACCCUAACAUUGGAUUUCUAGGGUUUGAAGGUUUUUGUUUGGUUUUAAUGGUUCAAAUGGAACCUAAUGAGCUUAGAGGACAUGGAUUUAGCUCACAAUGAAGCUAGAAACUAUUACUUCCCAUGAGUGCUAAACCUAGGGCUUGAUUUUGGGAUUUUUGAAAAUAUGAGGGAUUGAUCUCUUUUGAUGGGUUAGAAACCUAAUUUCUAUGCUCCUAAACGCGUAGGCGAAGACGGUUCGUCGACCCGACGAGUGAGCGCGGAGAUAUCGCCAUCUUGAGUGCUCUAGGGUUUGAGUUGGCCCGAGGAUUUGAAGCGACGAAAGAGAUCGCUAGAGAACACGUUUCUUAGCUCUACGGUACUACCACAAGGUGGGUGGUGAGCAUCCCGAAGCAAUCGGGCUACCUUCUAUGUCUAAGUUUUAAAAGUCGAUCUAAUUGCAUAUUGUGCAUAUUCAUAUAGGGCUAGAGAUGGAUUGUUGCUUAUAAUUGCAUGCUAGUAACUUAAUGUAUCUUGCUUGGUUGGUUCAUGAUCUAGUAUGCAUGAUAAUUAUAUGAUGAAAACUCUAUGAUAAAGAUCUAGACCCUAUACGAGAUGGUUAAUGCUUAUGUUGCUAAAGAACUAGUAUGAUGUAACUAGUGUUGAUGAUGAGUCUAAAUGACGAGUGGCAUCUAGUUAGAAAACUAAGAUGAGUGGCAUAUGAUUGUUGAUGACCUUGAUAUGAGAAUAUUAGUGUAGUUGAAACACUAUGAGAUUGGGUACAAGUACACCUUGAUUCCACCAUGAGAUUACCCUUAGAGGGUAGGUUGCUGCUGUUCGUGAGUUGAUCGUGCUCACAUAGGCCUGUCUGCGCUUGGAGGGGUCGCUCCCCACAAGCUGUGCACUCCGGAGGUUGGUCACUAGAGGGACAGUCAGUGUGCUAUCUGGACGGUCUGUGUGCUGUCCGCAGGCAGUCUCGGGGAGUAGUUUAGUGAGACUUUUCCUAUGAGAUUUACACGUGAGUUAUGCUUGUGAACCACGAGUUCACCUCGAGAUUUUGUUACCGAUUGAGUCAUGCUCAUUAUUAUUGCUCAUGAUAGCUAGCUUUCAUAGUUGUUGUUCUUGUUCAUAGUUGUUCAUAGUUGUUGUUGUUCAUAGAUUUGGUUACCCAGCUUUACUUAUUGUUCAUGCAUCCAUGAUAUCAGAUUGAGGCAUAGCUUGAUAGACCUGUUUUUCAUACCCGCUUUCAGUUCAGUUUAGCUUUAUAUAUACUGCAUAUAUAUAUCUCUCUAUGCCUGCUUAAGACCUAGUGGGUAGAUCGGCGGAGUCGGCUGCCGAACCCACUGGGAACUAUUCGUAGUUCUCACACCCCUUAUUGCAGGUGCUAGCUCGAGUGUCCCGACUGAGCGGGAGGAUCGUAGCAAGGGCUUAGCGCCCUAGCGGUAUCAGUAGAUAGCUUACUUCCUACUUGCAUUAGCUCUACCCUGUACUUUUGCUUACAUUUUGAGAGUAGAUGUUGUAUAGGGUGAGGUUUUGGAGAGUAUUUGAUGUAUUUACUUUUUGGGCAAAAGAAUGCAAGUUGUAUUAAAUGAUUAAACUCUAAAUGACAUCGAAAGAGGUUAAAUGUUUCAAUCAUGUCUCAAUAGAUAAGUUUCUCUCUUUUGUAUACUUGUAUGCUUCUUACUUGUAUCGCUUGCUCUUGUUGAUAAAUAGCACUGUUCGUGCUCUCGAUUAUCGUUAUUUGAUUGUGUAUGAAUUCAAGUUGUAUUCCUGGGGACUUGUUGUACACAAUCCGAUUGGUUAGCAUUGGGUGAACAGGGGAGACUCUGUCUGUUCGGCAUCACGCCCGCCGCCCUCGAAAUAGACCAAAUUGGUACCGUUUUCGGGCCGUGCGGUUGGGGCGUGACAGUUGUGGUAUUAGAGAAAGUAAGAGCAAGCAAAAGAGAGAGUCUAGGAUGACCUAGGAGACUUUAGGUUAGUUAACCCUAUGGUUAUAGGUGCGUGAGUGCGACGUGAACCUAUGACGCGGCGGAAGCUAAAUGAUUGGGUUUGGAGUUGGUGAUGAGACUCUAGUUAUGUCUAGAGAUGAUUCAAGUGGUACUAAUUUUUGGCUUGAGGUGAUUGUGUUGGCGGCCGACAACACGAUGCCGAAAGUCGAGAAUUAAGACACUUGCAAGCUACCGCCUGAUUGAUGUUGUUUAAUCGUUAUGCUUCGUGUUUACGACGAUGUUGUUGAGUUAAGUAAUUAACCAACUGUCUGCGUUUCAGGAGCUAUGGCACCGAAGAGACGCUAUGUGCGUAGGACCGCUCCGGCACCACCUCGAGAGGUGCCCGGCCCAGCCGUGCCUCCAGUGGCGCCAGGGCCAGCUGGGCCUACUGAGGUGCAGGAGCUGCGAGCGCAGGUUGCGGCGCUCACAGGACGGUUCGAUAGGAUCCAGGAGCUGCUGGAGCAGCAAGCUGUGGCGGCGGCUGCGGCGGCAGGUCUAGGCCGCGGUCUGCCUGCGCCUUCGGCUCGUGCCCCUGAUGCGGUCGAGGGUGCGGGUGGCGUUUCGGUUCCGGUUGCGGCGCAACCCCCACCGGUGGAUAUUCCUCCGGCUAGCUCGAGUUCUCCCACCCCUGCAGUGGCGGCUGAGGAGGCGGAGCGUGAGCGCGGCUACGUGGCGCUCACGAGGUUCACGAAGUUUCGCCCGCCUACUUUCGACGGAGAGGUGGUUGAUCCAGCGACGGUGGAGUCUUGGCUGACAGCUAUGGAGACUCUAUUUGAGGACAUCUUCAUUUUGGAGAAGGACAAGGUGAACUUGGCCGCGCAUUGCUUCGAGAAGCGGGCCAGGACUUGGUGGAGGAGGGUCAAGCAGGACCGAUCCCCGGAGCUUCCCCCGAUCGAUUUGGUGGAUUCUGCAAGCUGAUGUUCGCCGAGUACUUCCCCGACAGUGAUAAAAGGAGGAUGCGGGAAGAUUUUCGCAAGCUUAAGCAAGGCAACCGCACAGUUCGGGAGUAUGAGCGGGAGUUCACCCAUCUCCUGAGCUGCGUCCCAGAUAUGACGGCGACAGAGCAGGACCGGGCGGAUUGUUUUGUUCGGGGACUACGGCCCGGUGUUUUCAAGUUGGUUCAUGCCUUCAAGUUCCACUCUUUGGCGGAGGCUUUAGAUAGCGCGCUAUGGGUCGAGCACGGGAACGCUUGCGAGCGUGAGGACUGUGAGGCGCUCGACAAGGACAAAGGCAAGAAGAGACAGGGCGGUGGUUCAGGCGGUCAGUCUAGCUCCAAGAGGCCCCGAAGUAUCCACGCUCUCAGCCCAAGGGUCGUGGUGCAGAGCGAUGCGUCUUUUGCGGCGGAGACCACCGACCGGGUGUAUGUGAGCAUCGUCGUGGGAGGUGCUUCAAGUGUGGGCAAGCGGGGCAUGUCAUUCGUGACUGUCCUCAGGGAGGAGCUUCGCCCGCUAUGUCGACUGCAUCGGCCCCGGCGGUUCCAGCUCGCUAUGCUCUGCCCCCUCCUACAGCAUCUACUGGGCGAGCGGCGGCGCCACGCCAACCCGAGCCUGCACGAUCAGCGCCGAGCGGAAGGAUGUAUGCUGCACCCGUGCAUGUUGAGGAGCCUUCUAAGGCCGGCAAGCGCAAUGUUGUGGCAGGUAUAAUUUUGGUUAAAGAUGUUCGAGCUAGAGCUCUAUUUGAUACAGGCGCAUCACACUCAUUCAUUAGUCGAUCAUUUGCACGAGCGCAUGAUAUUGAGUAUCGUCUUGGGGAGCACGUUUGGCAUGUUGAGGGCCCCGGGCGAUCCUUUUUUGUUAGGAAGCAAUGCUUGGCAUGUCCAGUGCAAGUGAAUGACUGGGUUAUGCCGAUCGACUUGUUGGUGCUUAAAAGGUUGAAGGAGUUCGAUGUCAUACUGGGCAUGGAUUGGCUCUCGAAGUACUAUGUGUCGAUCGAUUGCCCGACUCGAGUUAUCACAUUUCGGGAGCCGGGUCAAGAAGAGUUCACCUAUCGAGCUUGCAAGAGCUCGUGCUUCGCCGCGACGGUAUCGGCGACUAGAGCGAGGAAGCUGGUGAACAGCGGUUGCAUGGCUUAUUUGGCGACCGUUGUAGAGAUUGACCGAGCGGUUCCAAUCCUCGAGGAGUUGGCGGUUGUGCGGGAGUUCCCCGAUGUGUUUCCCGCGGAGUUACCGGGUAUGCCGCCGGACCGGGAGAUCGAGUUCAUGAUUGACUUGGUUCCCGGCACCGCGCCGAUUUCUAAGGCCCCGUAUCGCAUGGCGCCGGCCGAGCUAAGGGAGUUGAGAGAUCAAUUGCAGGAUCUUCUCGACAAGGAAUUCAUUAGGCCGAGCGUUUCGCCGUGGGGUGCCCCGGUAUUAUUUGUGCGCAAGAAAGAUGGAUCUUUUCGACUCUGCGUGGAUUACCGCGAGUUGAACAAGGUCACUAUGAAGAACAAGUACCCGCUACCCCAUAUUGAUGACUUGUUUGAUCAGUUGCAGGGGUCGCGAGUGUAUUCGAAGAUUGAACUUCAGUUCGGCUACCAUCAGUUAAAGAUCAAGCCGGAAGAUGAUCAGAAGACGGCGUUUCGCACGCAUUAUGGACACUACGAGUUCACGGUGAUGCCGUUUGGGCUCACGAAUGCCCCGGCAGCGUUCAUGAGCUUGAUGAACCGAGUGUUCCAGGAGUGCUUGGACCGAUUUGUCGUGGUCUUCAUAGACGACAUUUUGGUGUAUUCGCAUAGCGACGAAGAGCACGCGGAGCAUUUGCGCGCGGUACUUCAAAUCCUUCGAGAGAAGAAGUUGUACGCAAAGCUGAAGAAAUGCAACUUUUGGCUUCGAGAGGUCGUGUUUCUCGGGCAUGCUAUUUCCGAGGGUGGUGUUUCUGUUGACCCGAGGAAAGUGGAGGUUAUUGAGAUUGGCCGCGCCCGAAGAAUGUUACCGAGGUCCAUAGUUUUGUGGGCCUAGCUGGUUAUUAUCGACGGUUUGUUCAACUGAGUAGUCUAACGUUGUUCCGAUUUUGGUUUUUGUGAACGUUGACAUCGAUUUGUUCCAAAUUUACACUCUCGAGGCAUAAUAGAAAGCUAUUACUCCUUUUUCGAUAGAAUGAGAAAAAGGACUCGUUGCAAAGUUAUACUGUUGUGGCGCAACUGAGUAGUCUAAUGUUGUUCCGGUUUUGGUUGUUGUGAACGUUGACAUCGAUUCGUUCCAAAUUUACACUCUCGGGGCAUAAUAGAACAAUUUAAUUAGGUUUUACUCUUUGUUAGAUUGAACGAGAAAAAAUACUAGAUUCAAAAUUAUACUGUUAGGGCACAACUGAGUAGUCUAAUGUUGUUCUGGUUUUGGUUCUUGUGAACGUUGACGUCGAUUCGUUCCAAAUUUACACUCUCGGGGCAUAAUAGAAAGCUUUUACUUCUUGUUCAAUAGAAUGAGAAAAAGUACUCGUUGCAAAGUUAUACUAUUUUGGCGCAACUGAGUAGUAUAAUGUCGUUCCGGUUUUGGUUUUUGUGAAUGUUGACAUUGAUCGUUCCAAAUUUACACUCUCGGCGCAUAAUAGAACAAUAUAAUUAGGUUUGGGGCUUUGUUCGAUUGAAUGAGAAAACACCCAAAAAGAGAGAGAUUAUCCCAAAUUACACUCUCGGGAAUAGUAGAAAGCUAUUAUAUUCCUUGUUCGAUAGACUAAGAAAAAGUAGUCGUUGCAAAGUUAUACUGGUUGUGGAGCAACUGAGUACCUCUAUAUGUUGUUGACAGUUUGAUUCUUUUGAAUGUUGACAGUUCAUUCGUUCCAAACUUACACUUGUCCGGGGGCAUAAUAGAUAGAAUAUAAUUAGGUUUUGGGGCUUUGUUCGAUGAAUGAAAAAGUACUCGUUGCAAAGUUAUACUGGUCAGGCUCACUGAGUAGUCUAACGUUGUUUCAGCGAUUUUGGUUCUUGUGAACGAUUUCGACAUCCGAUUCGUUCCAAAUUUAUCACUCUCGGGGCAUAAUAAAAGCAUUUCCUUUGUUCGAUAGAAUGAGAAAAAGUAACUUUCGUCGUUGCAAGUUAUACGUUUGGUGCAACUGAGUAGUCCUAACGUAGUUCGCGUUUUGGUUCUUCGUGAACGUUGACACGAUUCGUCCAAAUUUACACUCUCGGGGCAUAAUAGAAAGCUAUUACUCCUUGUUGCGAUAGACAACUGAGAAAAAAGAUACUCGUUGUAAGUUAUAGCUGUUGUGGUGGCACUGAGUAGUCUAAUGUUGUUCGCAAGUUUUGCGUUCUUGUGAACGUUGAACAAUCAGAUUCCAGUUCCAAAUUUAUACUCCUGGGAGAUAGUAGAAGGCGAAUAUAGAUAGGUUGUGCGGUCUUUGUUCGACUUGAAGAAAAAAGUACUACUUGCAAAGUUAUACUGUUAGGGCUCAUUCAGUAGGCUAACCGUUGUUCCGAUUUUGGUUCUUGUAAAGUUGACAUCGAUCGUUCCAAAUUUACACUCUCGGGCAUAAAAGAAGCUAUACUUUUCUUGUUUCGAAGAAUGAGAAAAAGUCCUCGUUGCAAUAGUUUAUACUGUGUGGUGCAAACGAGAAGUCUAAUGUUGUUCCGGUUUUGGUUCUGUGUAACGUUGACAGUUGAUUCGUUCCAGAAUUUAGCACUCUCGGGGCAUAAUAGAACAAUAUAAUUAGGUUUGGGGCUUUGUUCGAUAAUGAAAAAAAGUACUGAGUUGCAAAGUAUAGCUGUUAGGCUCAACUGAGUAUCUAACGUUGUUCCGAUUUUGGUUGCUUGUGAACGUUGACAUCGAUAUCGUUCCAAAUUUACACUCUCGGGUAUAUAGAAAGCAAUUACUCCCUUGUUCGAUAGAAAUGAGAAAAAGUACUCGUUGCUAAAGGUUAUACUAUUUGUGGUGCAACUGAGUAGUUCUAAUGUUGUUUCAGUUUGGUUGCUUGUGAACGUUGACAUCGAUUGCGUUCCAAUUUAACACUCAGCUGGGUAAAUAAAUAAGAAUAAUAUAAUUAGGAUGGACGUUUGUUGAAUUGAAUGAGAAAAUUUAUGUUACAAAGUUAAUACUGUUAGGCUCAAUGAGUAGUCUAACGUUGUUCCGAUUUUGGUUCUUUGUGAACGUUGACAUCGAUUCAUUAGCAAAUUUAUCACUCAUCGGGAAUAGAGAUAAGCUAUUACUCUCCUUGUCGAUAGACUAAAAAAAGUACUCGUUGCAAAGUUUAUACUGUUGUGUGAGGGCAACUGAGUACUCUAAUGUUUGUACAGUUUUGAUUCUUUGGAAGUUGACAUUCUGUCGUCUCAAAUUUACUAGCUCUCGGCAUUAAUAAGAAGCAAUAUAAUUAGGUUUGGGGCUUUUGUUCGAUUGAUGAGAAAAAGUAUGUUUUCGUUGCAAAGUUAUACUGGUUCCAGGGCUCAAUCUGAGUAGUCUAACGUUUUUUCCCGAUUUGGUUCUUGUGGAACGUUGAAACAUCGAUUCGUUCCAUAAUUUACAACGUCCAGGGGCAUAAUAGAAGCUAUUACACCGUUGUCGAUAGAAAUGAGAAAAAGUACUCGUUGCAAAGUUAUACUUGUUGUGGUGGCAACUGAGUAGUCUAAGCGUUGUUCGCGGUUUGGUUCUUGUGAACGUUGAACAUCGAUUCGUUCCAAUUUUACACUCUCCGGGGCAUAAUAGAAACUAUUUACCCUUGUUCGAUAGACUGAGAAAAAGUACUCGGUUGUAAAAGUUAUAACUGUUGUGGUGCAACUGAGUAGUCUAUGUUUUCAGUUUUGGUUCUUGUGAGACUUGACAUCGGAUUGCGUUCCAAAGUUUAUAACUCCCUGGGAAUAAUAGAACAAUAAAUUAGGCAGGUUUUGGUCUUUGUUCGAUUGAAAUGAGAAAAAGUACUACUUNNNNNNNNNNNNNNNNNNNNNNNNNNNNNNNNNNNNNNNNNNNNNNNNNNNNNNNNNNNNNNNNNNNNNNNNNNNNNNNNNNNNNNNNNNNNNNNNNNNNNNNNNNNNNNNNNNNNNNNNNNNNNNNNNNNNNNNNNNNNNNNNNNNNNNNNNNNNNNNNNNNNNNNNNNNNNNNNNNNNNNNNNNNNNNNNNNNNNNNNNNNNNNNNNNNNNNNNNNNNNNNNNNGCAAAGUUAUACUGUUAGGGCUCAACUGAGUAGUCUAACGUUGUUCCGAUUUUGGUUCUUGUGAACGUUGACAUCGAUUCGUUCCAAAUUUACAUUCUCGGGGCAUAAUAGAAAGCAAUUACUACUUGUUCGAUAGAAUGAGAAAAAGUACUCGUUGCAAAGUUAUACUGUUAUAGUGCAACUGAGUUGUCUAAUGUUGUUCCGGUUUCUGUUCUUGUGAACGUUGACAUUGAUUCGUUCCAAAUUACACUCUCGGGGCAUAAUAGAACAAAAUAAUUAGGUUUGGGGGCAUUGCUCCAUUGAAUGAGAAAAAGUACUAGUUGCAAAGUUAUACUGUUAGGGCUCAACUGAGUAGUCUAACGUUGUUCCGAUUUUGGUUCUUGUAAACGUUGACAUCGAUUCGUUCCAAAUUUACACUCUCGGGGCAUAAUAGAAAGCUUUUACUCCUUAUUUGAUAGAAUGAGAAAAAGUACUCGUUGCGAAGUUAUACUGUUGUGGCGCAACUGAGUAGUCUAAUGUAGUUCCGGUUUUGGUUAUUGUGAUCGUUGACAUCGAUUCGUUCCAAAUUUGCACUCUCGGGACAUAAUAGAACUAUUUAAUUAGGUUUUACUCUUUGUUACAUUGAAUGAGAAAAAAUAUUAGUUGCAAAAUCAUACUGUUAGGGCACAACCGAGUAGUCUAAUGUUGUUCUGGAUUUUGUUCUUGUGAACGUUUACGUCGAUUCGUUCCAAAUUUACACUCUCGGGGCAUAAUAGAAAGCUUUUACUACUUUUUCGAUAGAAUGAGAAAAAGUACUCGUUGCAAAGUUAUACUGUUAUGGUGCAACUGAGUAGUCUAAUGUUGUUCCGGUUUCUGUUCUUGUGAACGUUGACAUUGAUUCGUUCCAAAUUUACACUCUCGGUGCAUAAUAGAACAAAAUAAUUAGGUUUGGGGACUUUGCUCCAUUGAAUGAGAAAAAGUACUAGUUGCAAAGUUAUACUGUUAGGGCUCAACUGAGUAGUCUAACGUUGUUCCGAUUUUGGUUCUUGUGAACGUUGACAUCGAUUCGUUCCAAAUUUACAUUCUCGGGGCAUAAUAGAAAGCAAUUACUCCUUGUUCGAUAGAAUGAGAAAAAGUACUCGUUGCAAAGUUAUACUGUUGUGGUGCAACUGAUUUGUCUAAUGUUGUUCCGGUUUUGGUUCUUGUGAACGUUGACAUUGAUUCGUUCCAAAUUUACACUCUCCGGGCAAAAUAGAAUAAUAUAAUUAGGUUUGGGGCUUUGUUCGAUUGAAUGCGAAGAAGUACUCGUUGCAAUGUUAUACUGUUUUGGCGCAACUGAGUAGUCUAAUGUUAUUCCGGUUUUGGUUCUUUUGAACGUUGACAUUGAUUCUGUAACAUACCAGAUUUUGGUAUAAAAAUAAAAAUAAAUAAAAAUAGUGUGAGAAACUAUUUUUAUUGGAUUUGUAGAAGUAAAACAUAAGUCAGAAGUGACUUGUCACGCCCCGCGACCAACUGCCUAUUUGGACCGGGUCGCGGCGCCGACGACAGACCGCCGAACGGACCGGGAAUUCCCCUGUACGCGGACAGAGUCUCCCCAGUACGUCCAAGGCGUCGCAAUCCAAACAAUCAACGAAUGUUCCAACAAGGAACGGAUAUCAAUCCAGAUUGCAUAAGGAAGUAUCAAAUACAUAAUCUACUUGCUAUUACAAGCAUUCAGCUAAGUACAUCUCAAAUCAGUUUACAUUAUACUUCCGAUUUCGAUCAUAAUAAAUAUUACAUAAUUUAUUUUACAAGUUUAGUACAUUUUGAUUCUAGCCUUCCAGAACCCUAAGCUAGACUGCCUCAGGGCACUGCUACCUCAGUCUCUGUGGUGGGGCGCUAUCUACUGAGCUACGCCCUCGCCUCGCGCCGCCGCGCCGCACACGAACGACCUGAAAAUCCCAAAACAACGUGGGGUGAGAACCAAUUCCAUGGUUUCCAGUGGGUACGGCCACCCAAGGGAAAAGCUCGACCGAUAGGUCUAAGUUGGCCCUGCAACAUGUCAGUUCAACAAUAUACAAUGCGAAUAUAUUCAAUUGAAAUACAUGUCAGGCCUAACAAUAUGCGAUAUGAAAUUCAUGCAACAACUAGUAGAUCACUUGGAUUCUACUUUUACUUGACUACUUUAGCUUACAUCUUUACUCUAAGGUCUCUAUUACCUUAGGAUCACAACACAAACCACUAGCUUCUAAGGUUUCUAUUACCUUAGCUCAAGCCCCUAUCUCUAGCUCAUAAGGGUUCCUCUACCCUAUCAUAGCUAACCACCCGACUCGGCUUCGAGUCAAUCAUCCGCGGAUAGCCCGCGCGCUGGCUGCUCAACAGCCUACCGCUCUCAGCCCCCUAGCGGCGAAGUCGUCGCACACGCUAAGCUCGGCUCGAGUCGCACGACCUGUCCAUCUGGUGGCGAUCGCGUUGCUCUUACCCAGCGUGGGCUCGAGACAUGACAUACCGUCUGGCGGCGAACGGAUCGCUCCACACCCAACAACGGUCAUGUCAGACUCGGCCACCUGGAGGCACCCGCAUCGUACUUACCCAGCAUAGUAUCAGUCUGCUCUGGCGGCCUGAUCCUCAAUGGCUUAGCCAUCCUGGCGGCGAAAUCGUCGCACAAACGCCACGGCAAUGGCUCAAGCCCCGGGCGGUGAUCUCCACGUGGUCACGCCCAAUCUACCCACAGUACCAAGCUCGGCGGCGAAGUCGUCGCACACACGCCCUAGCUUGUACUAGGGACAUCAAAAGUCCUGGGAUUCCGGAAUCCACUCUCCACAGGUCGAGGGUUCAUAACCAACCCUAUAUCAUCGACCUAACUCAUCCUAGUGGCUAUACCACUAUACUCAUCAACCUAGGUUCCAACACUCUAGGUUUUAUGUCCAUGUCACUUAACCUAGGUACACUUGCUAGGUUCUUAUCCUCUUUGCCUAGAUGUCCAUUUCUAAGUUUACUAGUUCGACCUAGGUUUACCAACGCUAGGUUCGAUGCCACACACCUAGAUUGUUCGACUCUAGGUUUACUACUCAAUCUAUGUUCUUUAACACUAGGUUAGAUGCCACUCGAUCUACCUGACAACCUAGUUGUCCAAUCAACUCUACUCACACUAGAGUUAUCGUUAUUAUCUACUUAGCUUUCAAGAUGCUACUUUGCAUUCUUUAUCUUAACUAGCAUUAUACACAUGCUACAUUCAUUAUGCCUUCUACUUAGCAUUUCAUCCUUGCAUCUUAUCUAAUAUGCAUUCCUUAUUUUACUCAUGUCUACAUGCACAUGCAUCAACAGGUGAUUACAUUGCUAAGACAUAAAGGGCGACCUAGUCGCUUCGGUAAGCACAACCCACCUUAGAUAGCUUUUUCCGAUUGCACGUCGACACUUGCAAUCGGCCUCCCGCGGCACUCGGCACACGACACCCGCUUGGGCCCGAUCUCACUGUGGCUCCCCAAGAGCGCGCCGCUUCGCUGUUUCGAGUGUCGGCAACCUUCGCCUUGCUGCUACGGUGCUCGGGACCCACUCUCACAAUUUGUGGACGUCGCCUCGGCCUCCCGGGAGAAAACGAAGCUCCGAGCGCCCGCUUCUCCAAUAUCCUCGCAACGGCUUGUCGGAUUGACGAACCGACUUCGCCAACGUGUUUCGUUACCUACCAAUUAGGUUUACAAGGGGUCAAAUGAGAUCAAUCCCAUCUAUUUACAAAAACCCCACUUUGAUGCCCUAGAUGCCAUUAUUGCCAAAUCCACCAAAUCGAUCUAUGAUUUGGGGUGAAAUCAUCUAAAUAGCAUACUAGGGUACCACUAAAUCCAUUUCUAGGGUUUUAGAACCCAUCUACAAGGAACUAUUACAAGAAGCCAUGAAACUCACCUCUCCAAGAGCUCCAAGGAGAAGAAGAAGACGAAGAGGAUGACGAUGACGACGAUCUCCUGCAUCUCCUCCAUCUUCUCCUUCUUUUUCUCCUCUCUUUUCCUUUCUUUCCUUUCUUUCCUUUCUUUCUUCCCCUUCUUUGCUUCGCACGAUCAGAGAGAGGGAGAGAGAAAGAGGCUGAGGGAGUGUGAGAGAGAGAGAGAAAUAUCCCUCUCUAAUACCCUCUCACAUAUUGUAACAAUAUCCCCAAAGGCCCCUCAACUUUUCGUCUCUUACACAGCCCUCUCUGGGCAUCCCGCGCGCGGAGGGACCGGUCUCCCCGACCUGGGACCGGUCCUCGGGGCCUUCCCCCGCGGACACGCGUUCGGGAACCGGUCCCUCCCUGAGAGACCGGUCCUCGGGAGACCGGUUCCUCUCAGAGAGACCGGUUCCCGAGAGCUAUACCUUCGGGACUUAGCCGAUUUUCGGCCCUUCUCACCGAUGUCGCAGGCUGGGACCGGUCCCUCCUCUGCCAGGGACCGAUUGCAUCAGCAACCCCAUAGCCUUCGGCUGAUGNCUAAUGAUAAAGAAUUGCAUAUUCUAAAGAAAGGCUAAUGGUAAAGAAUGACUAAGAGUUGCAUAAUUUGCAUAUUUGUGAGGCAUGAACAUGUAUUGCAUGAUGUUAUAUGUAUAUAUCUGUUGGACUAACAUGUUGCAGUGCCUCCUUUGGACCUGGUGGGUUGAGCACUUCUCUUGGGUGGCUGUACCCACUGAGGACUAUGGACAAUAGUCUCACCCCCGUGUUGUUGUUUUUGGGGGUACAGGUUCACACGCGAGCGGCUUGGCGGCGCGAGGAAAGGGCGUAGCUCCGUAGUUAGCACCCUACCACAGAGACCAGAUAGCAGCACCCUGAGUCGGCUUCUUAGGGGUAAAGAAAAGAAAAGAAAAGAAAAGAAUCGAUGUUGUAAUAUUAUGUUUAGAAAUCGAUUGUAUAUUUGGAAAUUGAGGAUCAAUGUAAUGAAAAAUGCGCUGUAAAAUGAUGAGAUGAAUGAUUGUAAUAACAUAAGAUGUGUUAUGUUGUUUGAUACCUUCCUUAUGCAAUCGUUGUUGAAAAUUGUUCCUGUUUGGAACCUCUUGUACUUGUAUUGAUUGCGAGGCCUUGAACGUACAGGAGAGACUCUGUCCGCGUGCAGGGGAACCCCUGUCCGUUCGGCGGUCUGUUGGCGUGCCCGAAUCCGACCAAAGAGGCGGGCUCGGGGCGUGACAAAAAGUACUCGUUGCAAAGUUAUACUGUUAUGGCGCAACUGUGUAGUCUAAUUUAGUUCCGGUUUUGGUUCUUGUGAACUUUGACAUCGAUUCGUUCCAAAUUUACACUCUCGGUGCAUAAUAGAACAACAUAAUUAGGUUUUAUUCUUUGUUCGAUUGAAUUAGAAAAAAUACCAGUUGCAAUGUUUUAUUGUUAUGGCUCAACUGAGUUGUCUAACGUUGUUCCGGUUUUGGUUCCUGUGAACGUUGACAUCGAUUCGUUCCAAAUUUACACUCUCUGGGCAUAAUAGAAAGCUUUCACUUCUUCUUCGAUAGAUUGAGAAAAAGUAGUCAUUGCAAAGUUAUACUGUUAUGGCGCAACAGAGUAGUCUAAUGUUGUUCCGGUUUUGGUUCUUGUGAACGUUGACAUCGAUUAGUUCCAAAUUUACACUCUUGGGGCAUAAUAGAACAAUAUUAUUAGGUUUUACGCUUUUUUCGAUUGAACGAGAAAAAGUACUCGUUGUAAAGUUAUACUGUUAUGGCGCAACUGAGUAGUCUAAUGUAGUUCCGAUUUUGGUUCUUGCGAAAGUUGACAUUGAUUCGUUCCAAAUUUACACUCUCGGGGCAUAAGAGAAAGCUUUUACUUCCUUUUCGAUAGAAUACGAAAAAGUACUCGUUGCAAAGUUAUACUGUUAUGGCGCAACUGAGUAGUCUAAUNNNNNNNNNNNNNNNNNNNNNNNNNNNNNNNNNNNNNNNNNNNNNNNNNNNNNNNNNNNNNNNNNNNNNNNNNNNNNNNNNNNNNNNNNNNNNNNNNNNNAGACGUGAGUAUUAUUAUGUCAUCGACUUGAUAUAUAUAUAUAUAUGUAUAUAUAUAUAUAUAUAUAUAUACAUAUAUAUGUACAUAUAUACACAUAUAUAUGUACAUAUAUUGUAUAUAUAUGUGUAUAUAUGUACAUACAUAUAUAUGUACAUAUAUGUACAUAUAUAUGUAUAUAUGUGUAUAUAUGUACAUAUAUAUGUAAAUAUGUACAUAUAUAUGUAUAUAUACAUAUAUGUAUAUAUAUACACAUAUAUAUAUAUAUAUAUAUAUACAUAUAUGUAUAUAUAUAUAUAUGUAUAUAUAUAUAUAUCCCAGGUCGAUGAUAUGAUAAUACUCAUGCUAGCGAGAGCAUGAGUAUUUAGCAAAAGCUACUAUCUCGAAGGCUUAGUUGCUAGAUAUGGCAAUUUGCAAUAAAUGUCGUAAAUUUUAAAGAUCUUUAGUUUAAAAUAUUAAAAAGCUGUAGUAAAUGGAAUGCUAGUUCUCCAGCGUUUAAACUGUUAAAAAUUACCGGCCAUACCUUAUGAACGAUCAAAUUGCCACAUUUUCUUAGUCUUAAACAACUUAAAAACUAUCUUUUAAGAUAAGUGAUGGAUCUAUUUCUAGUGAUUGAGACUAGAACUUAACUUCCUAGGCUAGUAGGAAAAAUCCUACAGCAAGCUAAAACUGACAAGUAAAAUACGGGCGAACUACCUGAAAUAAUACUAAAGCUUUUAAAUGCUUUAAAUAAAAGAUCUUCAAAGUUUAUGAGAUCUAGUACAAAUUGCCACACCUAGCAAUUAAACCUUCGAGCUUGUAACUUUUGUUGAAUACUCAUGCUUCCCGAGAUAUGAGUAUUCUCAUAUCAUCACGAUGAGAUAUAUAUAUUCCGAUGAUAUGAUAGAUAUCAUGGCUCGAAGCCAUGAUAUCACAACCAAAAGCUAGAAUCCCGCAAGUUUAGUUGCUAGGUGUGGCAAUUUUGACUAGAUCCCAUAAAUUUCAAAGAUCUUUAUUUUAAAAUAUAAAAAAGUUUUUUGUACUCAUAAAUUUUUGAAUUAGUUUUAAAAUUAAUUUCAGAUUUAAAUUCAAAAUUUUAAAUUUUUAUUUUUAGGGACUAAAGUGAAAAAUAAAGUUUAAGAACUAAAAUUGAAAUGCAAAAAAAAAUUAAAUAGGCGAUGACAUGAUAUCGUUAAUUCUAAAAUCUCUUUUAACAAUGCGAUUCUAUUGCAAUGAAAUCAAGAGAUUUAAAAUUUUGAUUGUAAAAAAAAAUUAAGGACUAAAAUAAAAAAUAGUGAAAAUGUUGGGACCAAUGUGCGAUUAAUUCUUAAAAAAAUUGCAUGUGAGCCCCACAACCUCCCAAAAUAAAGGGAGAGCUUAUUUUAAGAUUAAUUUUAAGAUGAAUUCCGGAUUUAAAUUUUAAAUUUUAAAUUUGAUUUUUGGGGACUAAAGUAAAAAAUAAUGUUUACGGACUAAAAUUGGCAUACAACAGAAAUUAGAUAGACGAUGGCAUGAUAAUAUUGUUAAUUCUAAAACGUCUUUUAAUAUUGCCAAAGUUUCAAAAUUUUGAUUGCAAAUAAAACAAAGAUUGAGGAUCAAAAUAAAAAAUAGUGAAAAGAUUGGGACCAGUAUGCGAUUAAUUCGUAAAAAAAUUAUAUGUGGACCCCACAACCCCCCAAAAUAAGAGAAUAAAUUGAUACACUUUAAACAACAUGAUACUGAAUUGAUACAUUUUAAACCACAGGGUACAAAAGUAAAAGUGCGAAAUUACAAGGGUUUUAACAAUUGGGACGUAAUCGCAAUAAAAUUAAGAAGAAGUGAGAACUUAGAUUGCAAAAGAAAAAUAUAUUAGGGACUAAAGUAAAAAUAGUGCAAAUGUUGGGACAAAUGGUGCAAUUGACCCUCAAUUAAAAAGGAAAAAGGAAUGCGGGACCAACAAAAUCCCCGAAUAAUUAAGGAUAGCUCUUCUUUCCCGUCCUAACCUACCAUGCUCCUGCUUAGCUCAGCUUAAAAAAAAUAUUUAUUAGGAUAGCUAAAAAUAUUAAUAUUUUUAUUAAAAAAUUUUUUUAUUAAUAUUUUUAUCUGGAGAUUUACGUCACUUGGUAAGUGGCGUAAGUAUUGAGUAUAAAUCUUUAUCUUUUUCUUAUUUUCUUAUUUUCGCCAUUUGGUAAGUGGCAAAAAUGGUAGCAUCUUUAAAUCUUUCUACACCCUUUUUCUUUCUUUCACCAUUCCCACACAAACCAACGAACAUUUUCGUGGGACUUUUUAAGAAAAGACAACUUUUCACCCAAAGUCUACAAACCAACCAUCAUUUUUUUUAAAAGUCCGGGCCUUUUAAAAAAAAUGUUUUACCCUGCUUUUGCCCUCAAAAGCAAAAGGCGAGUUAAACUCGCCUUUUGCUUUUUCGCGUUGUGGCGCGCCCCCUCUUUUCGCGCGACAGGUGCUCCAGCUCGCCGGGAGCACCUGGCGUGUCUCUCCGCGCGCUUCUCUCUCCAGGUACCUGGGAGAGAGAGGUGGAGAUAUAUAUAUAUAUAUAUAUAUAUAUAUAUAUAUAUAUAUAUAUAUAUAUAUAUUUUAUUUCAUGUACUUAAUCCUUGGUUUUCUUUNNNNNNNNNNNNNNNNNNNNNNNNNUCGGUAGUAAAACGGCUCGUUUACUACCGAUAGUAUUCUAGCUCAACUCUCUCUCUCUCUCUCUCUCUCUCUCUCUCUAUAUAUAUAUAUAUAUAUAUAUAUAUAUAUAUAUAUAUAUAUACACACAAAAUCAUUUACUUAUACUGUAAUGUCCCGGGUGUUUAGCAGUCUGUGUGACUUCAACAUCUGUGGCUUGUCGACACGUCUGGUGGGUGUCGAGACAAGUCGAAGUAGUUUUGGGUUUUAUGUACAUACUGUUAUGUAGUUGUUGUACUCGUUGGAGCGAGGUGUUAUUGUGGACUUUUGUAUGUACAGUGAACCCUUUAUAUUUUAUAUAUUUUUUAGUUCUAGCAGCUUUAUACUCUUAGUUGUAGCUAUGAUUUGAUUACAGGUACAGCUAUCGCUUCGUAUAUACGAAAAAUUUCUAUGUAUACGGCGCGUCUGUUGGCAUGCCCAAGGAAACGUUGUAAUCCGGAACGUGAUAGAUUAAGUUGGUAUCAGAGCUUAGAAUUAGGUCAUUAGGACCUAGGAAACCCUAGGCUUAGCAGACCCUAGGAAGGUAAGAUGCGAGAUGCGUGACUUAUCGCGAAAGUCGGCGAUUGAGUUGUUUUAUCUCCUCCUAGAGUAGAGAAGUAACUGAAGGAGUGUCUGUUCCGCCAAAGAAAAUUAUGUCGGCUACAAACGACAUAAUUUUGACAAGGAACGAGGGUGGUCUUCUAGACUUUCGCUUGAUUGGGUCGAGAGUCAUUGUGUUUUGUAUCUGACCCUUGUUUUGGUUUCAGGUAGCCAUGAGGCCGUAUCGACGCCGAGGUCGAUCGCCGACGCGAGAUCGUUCAGCGUCAUCGGAGAUGCCAGAGCAAGCAGGACCGAGUGCACCCGUUAAUUUGAGAGAGCAGUUGGCUGCCUUAACUGAGGUGACUAGGUAGCAGGGGGUGUUUCUACAAAGGAUGUGUGAGACUUUUACUCAACAGCCGAGUACAACGCCCAGAGUGUCAGAGCAGCAGGCGCCACCCUCGACUACUCUAGUGGCCGCACCAGCGAUAGCUGUACUGCCACCAGCAACAGCUUCUACAACACCAGUGGCACCUCUCGGAGAGGCGUUGCAGAUGUCAAAGGCUGAGCAGGAGCGGAUGACAGAGAGGCUCGCUCGUUUUUGUCGGUUUGAUCCGCCGUUCGAUGGCAGUCGUACCGAGCCCUGGGUUGUAGAGGCAUAGGUGAGUGCGAUAGAGAAGCUGUUUGAGAAUCUUUUUAUACCGAAGCGAGAGCAGGUACAUCUAGCAGUGUACUGUUUGGCAGGUGAUGCGCAUGAUUGGUGGAGGAGGAUGUAGCAAAACCGAGGCUUGGUUGCCCUAUAGAUGAGGUGGGACUAGUUUUGUGGGAUGUUGUACGGGGCCUAUUUCCAAAACAGCGUUAAACAAAAACUGGAAGAGGACCUGAAGAAGCUGCAGCAGGGGGGCAGUCAGUUCAGGAGUAUACUCGAGAGUUUACCAGGCUUCUGAACUGUAUUCCAUUCGUAGCCAGGGAUGAAGCCCACAAGGUCUAUCUAUAUGAGAGAGGUUUGAGGCCAGAGAUCUUUGUUUUGGUUCAGGCGCAGAGGUUGCGGAUCUUGGAUGCGUCAAUUGAGCAAGCGUUGUGGCUUGAGAGAGAAGCUGUAUCGGUCCGUGAGGGGGCGACGGUGCCGGGGCAGAGUCAGGACAGAAAGCGCCCGGUUCCAGAUGACGGAGGACAGACUAGUAACAGAUGUCCGCCGAGGCCUUCACGAUCACGCUCUCAGGGUUGUGGGUCUUCGGGGUGACAGCGGUCUGGGGGCUCUCAUUAGCAGCGACAGCAGCAGGGGACUCCGUAGUGUGUUAUUUGUGGGGGACCACACUGGCCUCGUUAUUGUGGGCAGAGAGAGGGCCGGUGUUUUGGAUGUGGCCAGCCAGGGCAUCUGCGGGCGGCUUGUCCCCGAGCAGCAUCACCAGCACCUUCGACGGUGUCGGCCCCGCCGGUACCUCAGUUGACCUUUGGAGUACCACCGAGCUACAGCCAGGUAGACAAGGCUUUAGUGCUGCGGCAAAGUGAGCGAAAAUAGCAGGCAUCAAGUGGCAGGGUGUAUGCAGCUCAGGUUAAGGACUCCACGGCAGCAGAUUGUGUGGUAGCAGGUAUUAUUUUAUUUUCUGGCAUUAGAGUUCGUGUAUUAUUUGAUACCAGUGCAUCGCAUUCUUUUAUUAGUCGAGUAUUUGCAUCAUUGUAUGGACUAGAGAUAGAGCCGCUGUUACAUGCAUUAGAGGUGCAGAUUUUCGACCAUAUUUUACAUGUGGUGGAGUAUUGUUGGGCUUGUCCAGUGCAAUUGGGCUCUUGGAUUAUGUCUGCAGACCCAUUGGUCUUGGGGUAGUUGUAGGACUUUAAUGUAGUGCUUGGCAUAGAUUGGCUGGCUCGAUACUAUGCGACGAUCGACUGUGGAGCUAGGACAGUGACGUUCCGCAAGCCAGGCCAAGAGAAGUUCACUUUCAGAGGCUGCAGGAGUACACUAUUCGCUACUUGAAUCUCUUCAGUGAGGGCUAGACAGCUGAUAAGUCGAGGGUGCGUCGCUUUCUUGGCGACGGUAGUAGAGGUGCCUACGGCGGCACCGGGACUCGAGGAUAUCCUUGUAGUUCGCGAGUUCCUGGAUGUCUUUCCUCUGACCUCCGAAGCUGACGACUAUGCUGCCGGAUAGAGAGAUUGAAUUUGUGAUUGACGUGGUUCCUUGAACUGCGCCAAUCUCGAAGGCACCUUACCGAAUGGCACCGGCAGAGCUGAGGGAGCUUAAGGCGUAGCUUCAGGAUAUGAUGGAUAAGGAGUAUGUGAGACCCUGUGUGUCAGCUUGGGGAGCGCCGGUGUUAUUCGUAAAGAAGAAGGAUGGUUCACUUAGACUAUGUGUGGAUUAUCGGAAGUUGAAUAAAGUGACCAUCAAGAACAAGUAUUCUUGCCCCGCAUUAAUGAUCUGUUUGAUCAACUACAAGGAUCUUGUGUCUUCUCGAAGAUUGAUUUACAGUCAGGUUACCACCAAUUAAGGGUAAGGGUCGAGAAUGUUCCAAAGACGACUUUCUGGACUCGGUACGAGCAUUAUGAGUUCACAUUGAUACUUUUUGGAUUGACUAAUGCCCCUGCCGCAUUUAUGCAUUUGAUGAAUCGAGUAUUUAAGCCGUUCCUUGAUAGAUUUGUGGUAGUAUUCAUUAAUGAUAUUCUGAUUUACUUCCGGAGUGAUAUGGAGCACGAAGAGCACUUGAGGAUAGUAUUACAGCUUCUGCGAGAGAAGAAGUUGUAUGCUAAGUUGAAGAAGUGCGAGUUUUGGCUUCAGGAGGUUUCUUUCUUAGACCACGUGAUUUCUGCAGCUGGAGUAGCAGUGACCUGAAGAAGAUUGAUACGAUUCAGGAUUGGCCCAGAUCGACGACAGUUACCGAGGUGCGAAGUUUUCUUGUAUUGGCUGGUUAUUACCGUCGGUUUGUGGAAAGCUUUGCGAAGCUUUCCACAACCCUUGUCACGCCCCGGGACCCGGCGGAGGCCAGCCCGGCGCGUGCCCAGACCCGCCAUAUGCCUGCACAUAUAAGGCAUCUACAACAAAAGCGAUGAAUAAAGAAAUGAUAAUAAAUAUCAAGAGAUAUCAGAACAUGAGUACAACUAACAUCUAUCAACAAGUAGAAGCAGUAAAACUAUCAACUGUAAUAAUCCACAAAAGGAGAUACACCAAGAGAUCCAAGAGUAAUAGUAAGAUGCAAAAUGGUAGUCUCUAUACUGGGUACAAAUCACUCUCAUCCUCUCCAACUAAUACAAAAGGAGAAAAUGAUCCACCUAGCAAGACUCUCCUCGCUCGCUAGCUCCAAGCGACACCCUUGCCGCGGUCCCUAGUCUCUCCCGGAAUGGAAGGCUCUGAAAGAAAACAUCAAACAUAGGGCGUGAGAACUAUAAUUUAUAGUUCCCAGUGGGUAAUUACUCAACUUAGCAAAAUGCACCACUAGGCCCAAAAGCAUGAGUAGAUAUGAGAAACUACUAAUAAACUACAGAUAUGAAAACAUGUAUUGAAAUGCUAAACUACUAUGCCAUAACAUAACAUGAUGUACAUCUAUUCUAUCAUGGUCACUAUGCCUAAUAUGUAACUGGUAUGCUCCAACAUGUCAUCAAGUAUACUAUAAUGCAAAAGCAAUACUAUCAAGUAUACAACAUGUCCAUAUGUCCAAUACUAUGCCAUAAGCUCGUCCAAGGAAUUCAUCUACUAUUAUCUAUCUAGUAGUGAUUGUCAUAUUAUAGUUUAAUGUCAAUGUCCAAUCUCAUUCAGGACCUACAAGAGUGUAGUCCGGCUUGCGCCGCCUAACUGCCUGUGGUAGCCCGUCAUCCCACGUUGGAAUGAGUCUAUCCCACGCAGCCCGGUAGGCUUCUCAAUCCCGCACGAGCGAACUACUGUCGCAAAGGCUAACUCCGGAGUGCCGGCUUGUAGGGAGCGACCCUCACAAGCAUGUGCGAAUGAGCACAAAUGACAAGCAAGCAUAGUCAUCGUCUCAAGGACCCAGUCAUCAUGUCUCUAACAUGGAAAUAGUCACUAGCAACCUAAGGUUCUAGUUUAAUGUCCCAAAGUAAAGGUUCAACCAUUUAUUAUACCUAAUGCCCCUUCAUGGCAUUAGGUUUACUAAGUCCAUACAUUUGCUGUCACGCCCGGGUACCAGCGGAAGCAUAUCCGGCACGUGCACAGACCCGCCAUACACCUGCAGUAUAUAAACGCUACAGCAGCAAUCGAAUAGAAGUAAAAACAAGAGAAGUCCUAAUCCUGAUAUCAAGAGCAAAGUAAAGUCGAUAUACAACGAUCAUCCAACGAAUCAAAAUACAAGUGUAUACAAACCAUAGAUCCGAGCAAAAUGGAAAGUAACACUACUAUAAUCUCAAUCCCGAAAGUAAAUAUACAUUCACGGCUGUUAGCAAAAAAAGAUAGCAAUGGUGGCCUCUCUAUAUAUAAUGACACACCUCGAGCCGCUAAGCCCGAGUAGCAAGGGUGAUCGACUAGUCACGCUCCUGUAGUCCCUAGCUAGGCGCGACGUGCCCUUUGCACAUGAAAUCCCUAGCUCUCCUGCUACAGCCUCUGUAAAACAACCACGCAAAAGGGUGAGAAUAUUAACAAUAGUUCCAGUGGCUAAGCCGCCAGCCUCGGGCGGACAUUACCACCACUAGGCUCAAGAUGGUACAUGAAUGAGAAUAGAAAAGCAUGUAAUUGCAUGCAUAGUUUUCAUGCUAAGCAACUUCAUAACAAUGUUAACAAAUAAUGAACCAUGUAACAACAUGUGAUCAUACAUCAACCAGUAAUGAUCAACUGAAUGAUAGAACAUGGCUACUACUUAUAAGUCGAAUACAUCGCAUAUAAGUGUUAAGUAACUACUGUACACUGUUAACUGGUAAUCAUUCAUUUAACUGUCGCAAUUUCCUUUUAGCCACUUUCCUUUCAUUCACAGGGCAUCUACUCAAGGAGUAACACUUGCGCCCGUAGGGCCUAAUGGCCGGUAGAUACACUCUUCCCCCAGCAAUCCACUUCGGCACCCAAUCCCGCACGGGCGAGCAACUGUCGCGUAGGCCAACUCCGGAGUGCCGGCUUGUAGGGAGCUACCCUCACAAGCGUGUGCGAAUGAGCACGAUGGCAAGCAAGCAAGGUCCACAGUCCAACAUGUCUCAAUUAUCAUGUUUUAGUUCACAAUAUUCUCGUUCUCGAUCCUUUGAUCGACAUUUCAGUAUAACAAAUAUUAACAACAACUAGAAUCCACUAGUUUAGUAAGCAUACAGGGGUAAUGCUAAUUUACAUAUGGCAUUAGAAUCUUUCCACUAUCAUGGAGGCAUAAAGUAUGUCAUGGUUCUCUACUUUCCAAAAUCAUCAUCAUUAUGUCCAUUAGUUAACUUAACUAAAUAUAAACAUAAAUAUAAGCAUAAAGACACUUAUGCAUGAGUGCUCUCUACUUCAUAGAGGUUCUAUUUCCAUUAUGCUAAGCUUAAUCACACGGAUGUCCCCAAUCCUUUAGCAACUACAUAGUGACAAUAACACACAAGUAUAUCAAUUCUCUAUAAUGACAUAUAGAACAUAGAGGAGCUUCACUUGCUCUGGUUAGGUCCGACCCACCUCGUACUAUGCUCAAAGCAGUCACAAGACGUCCCAAGAAUCAGCUCAACAAAGUCCCAAACCUCACGUUAAGCUUCCGGAAGGCCCUCCAAUGCCAAACAAAGGCGAUCCAAGGGUCAAAUACCUUCUCGCUGCGAACAAUAUCAAAACGGCGUCAAAAUCAUUGACUAUUAAUAAAUAUAGCCGGAAACUUGCGAUUUCAGUUUUCUAACUGAAGUUCUAGCUCACCCUAGGUUAGAGCAGCUUCCUAACCAGCUUCUAAGGGUACAAAUUCAGCUCAACGAAGCUCGAAGACCUGCUGCGAAGGAAAAUCCCCAAUUGCAUUAGUUCGCUCAAACAAUAGCAUUUCGUUCCAAAAUAGCUUCAUAAAUGGCUAAAUAUCUCCAUUAAGCUUCAAAGUAGCUUAACCCUGGUCUAAGGAGGUUAAUUCACAGCUAAUUAAUCCAACUUUAAUUGCUGAAAUCUCAGGUUAAAGCAACUAGAAGCAAUAACUCAAACGCAACACGUAAACGACUACUAGAACGUUGAUAAAGGAGAAAAUCGAGUCGUUUACCUUCUCAAGCUUCCAACCAGCACCUCACUGGUCCAGGGCUGCGAAAAUCCCUCCAAAACGCUCUCUUGCACGUGCACAAAGGUGCUGCGACGCUCGCAACCAGCGAAGAACGCGCGCGACGACGAAAACGAGCGAAAUCGGCGAAUUCUUUGUAGAGAGAGAAAAACCCUAGAGAGAGAGAGAGAAAAUGAUGCAAGGUUGCUUCUCUGGGCUCUAGCACACUCCAGCAAGCUCCAAGAGUCGUGCUGGGAUCAAAUAGGUAGGCACAAGAUGUGAAAUGACCAAUUUGGCCCUGCUACCACGAAUCUGCCAGCUUGUACCGGUACAAGGUAAUGGCUGUACCGGUACAGCAAGCAGAAAAUGCUGAAAUUUCGCAGGUCAAUGCAUUUUCUUAUUUUUUGCAUUCCAAUCACUCUCAAACUUGUCCAAACACUUGUUCUAACCUUUUAGAACAUGUAGGAGUGAUCCACACACCAUUCCACACACUCGAACUUCGCAAUUUGCAAAAGUUCAGUGUAUUACACUCACCCCUCCUAAAAAGAAGUUUCGUCCGCGAAACUUGAAAUCACUUACCUCAAGAUUCUGUCGAGAAAAGAUAGGGGUAGUGCUCUUGCAUUGCACUUUCCAGUUCCCAAGUGGCUUCCCGUUCCUCGUGAUUGCUCCAAAGGAUUUUCACGUAGGGUAUCUCGCGAUUACGAAGCCGUUUCACUUCUCGAGCUAGUAUCCUCACUGGAUGCUCCUCGAAGCUCAAAUCUUCUUGUAAAUCCACUGGAGCACUCUCAAGUAUGUGUGUUGGAUCAAAUACAUAGUUCCGAAGUGUGGACACAUGAAACACAUUAUGCACUCCCGAUAGGUUCGGCGGCAAAGCAAGCCGAUAUGCUACGGGGCCUAUCCGCUCCAACACCUCGUAGGGUCCAAUAAAUCGAGGGCUUAACUUUCCUCGAAUGCCAAAUCUUUUAACUCCUUUCGUCGGUGAAACCUUCAAAAAUACAUGAUCGCCGACUUGAAAUUCCAGUUCUCGCCGACGUUUAUCCGCAUAACUCUUUUGUCGACUUUGAGCUGUCAGUAGACGUUCUCGCGCAAGUCGCACUUUAGCUUCAGCUUCUUGCAGUACAUCUGGACCCAACACUAACCUCUCACCCACUUCACUCCAAUGAAGUGGUGAUCUACACUUUCUACCAUACAGGGCUUCAAACGGUGCCAUCUGAAUACUUGCGUGAUAACUGUUGUUAUAAGCAAAUUCAGCCAUCGGGAGGAACUGUGGCCAACUGCCCUGGUAGUCAAUCACACAGGCCCUCAACAUAUCCUCAAGGGUCUGGAUGGUACGCUCAGACUGCCCAUCACUCUGGGGGUGGAAAGCAGUACUAAAAUCCAAUCGGGUACCCAAAGCCUCCUGUAAACUCCUCCAGAAAUGUGAAACAAAGCGGGUGUCUCGAUCCGAAACAAUAGAGGCAGGUACUCCGUGUAAUUGCACAAUUUCAUCAAGGUACACUUGUGCGAGUCUCUCUCCUGACCAAGUUGUGUGGAUUGGAAUAAAGUGGGCAGAUUUGGUCAAUCUAUCCACAAUUACCCAAAUUGCGUCAUGACCUGUUUGUGAGCGAGGUAAUCCAACAAUGAAGUCCAUAGUAAUCCUCUCCUACUUCCACACUGGUAUGGGUAAACUUUGAAGUUUUCCCGCAGGAAGUCGAUGUUCAGCUUUGACCUGCUGACAGGUUAAGCACUUAGCUACGAAGUCUGCAACUUCCUUUUUCAUUCCAAGCCACCAGUAGGUUAACUUCAAAUCUUUAUACAUCUUUGUACUCCCGGGGUGUACAGUAUACGGCGCCCGAUGUGCUUCUGUUAGAAUCUCUUCUUUAAUAUCUGGAUUGGCAGGCACACAAAUUCUAUCACCGAAUUUAAGCAGUCCCUGAUCAUCCACUCGAAAAUCGCUAAUUGGAUCAACAGUGAUCUUUGCUCGAAUCUUUUGCAGGGAUUCGUCUUGAGCUUGCUUUUCUUUAAUUCGAUCAAUCAAGGUAGGUUUUACCACCAAUGACAUAAGCCUCCAAGGCGUAUCAGGAGCUACAACUUCCAAAUUCAACUGCUCCAUGUCCUUAAUCAACAGGGGUUGCAUAGUUAUCGACAUCGCCAAAUUUUCCGUCGAUUUUCGACUUAAGGCAUCUGCUACAACAUUAGCUUUUCCUGGAUGAUAGAGAAUGGUCAAAUCAUAAUCCUUGAGCAACUCCAACCAUCUACGUUGCCUCAAGUUUAAUUCCUUCUGAGUAAACAGAUACUUUAAGCUCUUAUGAUCGGUGUAAACCUCGCAACGCUCGCCGUAGAGGUAGUGGCGCCAAAGCUUUAGGGCAAAAACCACAGCUGCCAACUCUAGAUCAUGUGUAGGGUAGUUCUUUUCAUAAUCCUUCAACUGGCGAGAUGCAUAAGCAAUUACUCUGCCAUUCUGCAUUAGAACACACCCUAACCCAUUCAGCGACGCAUCGCUGUAAAUCACAUAGUCCACUCCAGUAACAGGCAGUGCCAGAAUCGGGGCGGUAGUCAAUCGUUCCUUCAGCUCUUGAAAGCUUCUUUCACAAGCUUCGUUCCACAGAAACUUAGCUCCUUUAUGUGUGAGUCGAGUGAGAGGAGUAGACAUCUUUGCAAAUCCUUCAACAAAUCUUCGGUAGUAUCCCGCCAAACCAAGGAAACUCCGAAUCUCUGUGACACUAGUCGGCCUAGCCAAAUCUUUAAUCGCUUCAACUUCUUGGAUCCACAGCAUCCGAGUUUCUGAAUACAUUUCCCACGAAACGCACACUUCCGACGCCAAAUUCCAUUCUUAAAGCUUUGCAAUAAUUUCUUUUCGCGAAAGUACUGAGUACUUCCUUAGAUGACUUUCAUGCUCCCGUUCACUAUCGAGAAUAAGAUCAAAGAUAUCGUCCAAAACACUACUACGAACCUGUCCAAAGAAGAAGGGCUUAAAGAACGGUUACAUUAAAUCCAUAAAGGCUGCUGGGGCUUAGAUCAAUCAUGCAUGACUGAAAUUCAAUAAUGCCCAUACGCUGUUAAAACAGUUUUUAGAACAUCUUCAGGCUUGAUAAUUAAGCUGAUGUAACCAGAUGCAAAUCAACUCUUGGUAAUACACCGUUCGAUCCUUGCAGCUGAUCAAAUAAGUCCAUGCAAUCUGCGGCAUGGAUAUUAAUUCUUGAUCGUACUUUGUUUGAAUUUCUUGAUAAUCACUACACAUGGUGCUAUCAAGAGAUCCAUCCUUUUUUUGACAAACAACACCGGUCGCUCCCAAGGGAAUACACUUGGACGAAUAAUCCCUUAUCUAAGAAGAUCUUGUAAUGUCCGUCAGCUCUUUCAAUUCAGCAGGUGCCAUCCUAAUACAGGGCUUUUCGGAUAGGGCAUUCCCAGGGAACAAGAUCAAUCAAAACUUCGACUUCCUAUCAGGUGGAUGCCCGGCAACUCAGCUGGGAACACAUCCCGAACUCCCCAGCACAACUGGAUAACAUACAAUCUGACGGUUUUUCCCGUCACUCACAAAAAAAUGCUAGCCAAAUAGGCUACACAACCUCUCCGUACAACUGUCGGGUCAUCGCGAAGAUCUAAUAGUCAUUGGCGAACAAUGAACUCUGACACCCUUUAUAACAAACUCUUGCUGCCUCCGGCUUCCUAACCGGUCACCGUUCUGUUUCGUGCAAUCAAUAGUGGCAUAAGUACUGAUUAACCAAUCCAUACCCAAUCCUACAAUCAAACUCACCUAGUUUGUGUAGUGCUAGUAAAUCUCACUGCAUAAUCCAGUCGGCACUACCCAACUGGCAGCGAGGGCAAAAACUCACGAACAUAUAGGGUAUGGUCAGGUACAAUUACUCGCCCAGAUGCAAAGUGGGUGCUAACUUAAUCUAUGCAACUCUCGGCGAAUCUGCGGCGUCAUAAAAGAAUGCAAGCACCAGUAAUCAUAAUAAUGCACGAACAAGAAUAUCAAUCAAUCAUAAUAAUACCUGCUACGACCUCCUGUCUGCUGCGCGGCCCCAGGCUGGGCAGGCAUACAUCCGCCACACUCGACCCUGGGCUCGAACUCUCCGACUGCCGCUGUCUGCUGUGGGCGCCUAUGACUGAGAUAAAGCACUGUCGGGUCCCCUGGCUCGGAUCUAAAGAUGCCAGUCAGGUCGCUGACCAAGAGGGUGCAGGCAAAGAACCUCUCGGCACUCUGAACGAAAGUGCCCUCCUGGUCAGGCAAAGAAACACCUGCCCCCACGCUGUGGGCACUGGGCGCGCACGUGAGGCCCACCAUCAGAUAUACACAAACGCGGCGGUCGACAGACGCUCAAGUGCUCCACGGGCGCUUGAAGAACUCUUCGAUCCCUCUAACGGACGCUCCUCGGCCGUCUGGUUCCUACGAUAUUUGCGGUCUCCCGAGGAUUGUCUGACCACGCUUCAGCUGCUGUCUCUCCAUUGCCUCGAUCCACCACGCUCUUCCUUCAUGAUUUCCGCCCCUUUCUCACAAUCAGGCCCGGUUCACCACAUCUCUGUAAGUCGAAGGAUUACGGCUGGAACCAAAUCUGAAAAUCGCAGGUCGCAAAACCCACCUCUCAAAAAAUAAGAGCAAUGAAAAUCCUCACAUCUCUUAACACAAAACGGAAAACGCAGUGCAUAUCGAGAGAACUCGUCAUACUCAGCCACUGUCUCUGUUCCGCCCUGUCUAGGUUUCUUCAAAUCCCUUCCAUCUGCCUCUUCAACACAUCCGUGAAAAUAGGUAUCAACAACAACUCCUUAACCUGUUCCACGUAAUAAGAGACAAAUCAGCACGGGAAUCCUCCGGAUUCCACCCACCAUCUGUAAGCCUGCGCCGUCAAGGUGUUUUGUCCCCGCAAACUCAAACCCGGUACUGUCCUCCACAAAGGUAUCAUAGAAUAGCCUUUCCAAUUGCAUCAGCCCAUUUCUCGACCACACCAGUGAUCUGCCUCUCCCCGUCAAAGACACGAGGGUUGCAACGAACCGACGAAUUCAUUCAGUCGUUUCCCAUCAUCGCUCCGCCUCUCUCAAACCCCCACCUAUCUCGGUAACACAUUCCCAAAGCUACAUGCUACAGUACUGGUGUUGUACUACUGUCUUCCUUUCGGGUCUCUGCCCUCGGAGCUACUGGGGUGUGUCAAGUACAGGUGAUUGUGCUCUCAACUGUGGCGCCUCUCUGGUCUAUAGACAAGAUCGGAAUAUCUCUGUCGUCCCGUCUGCCGCAGUAACAGAUCCCUAACCUCUUCAUCUGCCUCACUGGCCGACGUCGCAGCGUCCAUAACUGCUGUCGUGCUGCCGCGGCCUGCUGAGUAACCAAACUCUGUUCAACGUCGCAAGCUGAUCCUGCAACUCAUGGAUCUCAACUGGACCGCGACGUGACGAAGUCUCUACUCUUCCGCAGCGGCAGCCUCACCGCCGGCGGUCCAGAAGGGGGGGGGGGGACGAGUCGUAGCAUUGAACUUGCACACAAAAACAAACAUAGGGUCACUAAACCCUAUACUACUGAACCUCAUUGAGGAUAUAAACCAGGCUAAUCAAAGCGAAAGUAAUGAAUGUAACGCCUACUAACUUCCGAAUGUCACGUUGUCGGCCGCCAUAACGUACGCCUUCUGCAAAGUUAGUACUUCACAUCGCGCGAUCAAACUCCUACUAUUCGGAGUUUAUAAGGACGCCAUCAAAGUACAUCGCUAACAACCAACCUCUGACUAGACAUCGUCUCUCACGAGCCUAUCCUUAUAGUCCCAACCAGCUAAAGUUGCUAGGAUCUAACUAAGACUCAACCCUAGGCCUGAUUACCACUAUAAUCGUCAGCCGGGUACUCAGCGGAAGCAUAUACCGGCACGUGCACGACCCCGCAUACACACUGCCGAUAAUUAAGACUGUCUACGAGAAGCAAGCGAUAGGAAGGUAAACAAGAAGUCCUAUCCUGAUAUCAGAGCAAAGUACAGUCGAUACUACCAACGAGUUAUCCAAUCCGAAUCAAAAAUACAAGUGUAUACAAACCAUAUGAUCUCAGCAAAAGUAAGGAGAAUAACACUACUAUAAUCUCAACCCCGAAAGUAAAAUAUAACAUUUCACGGCGUGUACAAAAAGAUAGAUACAAUUGGGUGGGGUCCUCUUAGUAUAUAAAUAUGCGACAUCACCCACGCCGCUAGCCCGAGUGCAAGGUGAUCGACUAAGCACGCUCCUAGUAGUCCCUAGCUAGAGCGCGACUCCCUUGCCAGCAUCCCUAGGCUCUCCUGCAUAACAGGCUCUGAAGAAACAACCACCAAAAAAGGCGUGAGAAUAUUAACAAUAGUUCGCCACGUGGGUAAGCCGCCAAGCCUCGGGCGAAUUACCACCACUAGGCUCAAUGAUGUACAUAAUGGAAUAAAAAGCAUUAAUAUCUGAUAGAUUUCAAUGCUAACAUACUUCAAACCAAUGUUAACAUAAUGAACAUGUAACCAACAUGUGAUCAUAGCAUCAACCAGUAUGAACAACUGAAUGAUAGAACAUGCUACUACUUAUAAGCGUAAUCAUGCGAUAAGUGGUAAGAACUACUGUACACUGUUAACUGGUAAUCAUUCAUUACUGUCAAUUUCCUUUAGCCAAUUUUCUUUCAUGUCACAGGCGAUCUACUCAAGGUAGUCAGCUGCGCCGCCGCCUAAUGGUCCGUGCCGUUAGUACACAACUCCCCACGGCAAUCACUUCGGCACCCAUCCCGCCGACUGGGGAGCAACUGUUCGCGGUAGGCCAACCCGCAGUGCCGGCUUGUUAAGGGAGAAUACCCUCACAAACGUGUGCGAUAUGAGCACGGAAUGGCAAGCAAUCAAGGCACAGCUCCAACAUGUCUCAAUUAUCAUGUUAGUUGCACAAAUUUCGUCUCGAUCCUUUAGAUCGACAUUCAGUAUAAACAAAUAUAAACAACAACUAGAAUCCAGCUUUUAGUAAGCAUUACAGGGUAAAUGCUAAUUACUUAUGGCAUUAGAAUCUUCCACUAUCAAUGGAGCAUAAAGUCAUGUGGAUGUAUCUAUACUUUCCAAAAUCAUCAUCAUUAUGUCAUUAUGUUAAGACUUAACAAAUAUAAACAUAAAUAUAAGCAUAAAGACACCUAUAUGCAUAGAGGCUCUUCUAUCAUGAGAGCGUUCUAUGUUCCCAUUAGCUAAGCUUAAUCACGAUCGGAUGUCCCCAAUAUCCUUUAGCAGUACUACAUAGUGACAAUAACCCACAAGCUAUAUCAUCUCUAUAAUGGACAUAUAGAACAUAGAGGAGUCACUUUGCCUCUGGUAGGUCCGAACCCCACUCGUACUAGCUCAAAGCAGCAGUACACAAGACUCGUCCAAGCAAUCCAGUACUCAACAAAGCGCAACUCCUCUUAAGACUUCCGGAACCCUCCAAGUCCCAAACAAAGGCGAUCAAGGUCUAAAAACCUUCUCGGCUGCGAACAAAUCACAAAACGGCUACAAAAUCAUUGCGACUAUUAUAUAAAUCAGCCUGGAAAACUUGCGCGAUUUCAGUUCUUCAACCUGAAUUCUAGCUUACCUAGGUUAGAGCAGCUUCUCCGCCAAACCAGCUUCUAAGGGUAGCAAAUUCACAGCUCAACGAAGCUCGAAGACCUGCUGCUAAGAAAACUCCCAAUUGCAUUAGGUUCAAACAAUAGCAUUUCGUUCCAGAAAUAGCUUCAUAAAUGGUAAAAUAUCUCCAUUAAGCUUCAAAGUAGCUUAACCUGGCUAAUGAGGUUAAUUCACAGCUAAUUAAAUCCAAUUUAAUUGCUGAAUCUCAGUGUUAAAGCAAUCUAGAAGCAAUAACUCACAAACGGGCAACACGGUAAACCGUACUACUAGAAACGUUGAUAAAGAAGAAAUCGAUGUCGUUUACUUCUCAGGCUUCCAACCAGCACUCACUGUCCAGCUGCGAAAUAAUCCCUCAACCUCUCUAUGCACUGCUACAAAGUGUGCUGCGGCCUUCGCAACACAGCGAAGAACGCUGCGCCCCGACGACGAAACGUGCGAAAUCAACCGCGAAUUUUUGAGAGAGAGAAAAACGCUAUGAGAAGAUCGAGAGAACAUGGGAAGGUUGCUUUCUUGGGCUCUAGCACACUCCAGCAAGCUCGCAAGAGUCGUGCUGGAUCAAAUAGGUAGGGCAAAUUAAAAUUACGAAAACCAAACUGCACGUUAUCUGCAUUGUGUACGGUACACCAUAAUGGCUGUACCGGAAUAUCACAAGCAGAAAGCUGAUUCGCCAAUCAAUCACUUUCUUCUGUUUAGCGCAUCCAACAGCCUCUAACUUAUCCAAAAUAACUGGUUCAACCUUUUACGAACAUGUAUGGAGCGAGCCACUCAUACAUUCCACAUACUCGAACUCCGCAAUUGGCGAAAGUCCAUGUAUACUAUAUGCCAAUAAGUUCAAGAAAUCGCUUCGACGAUCACUUUCUUGUGUAUCCAAAAGUCUAAUAAGCUCUCACAAUGGCCCAAAACCCUUUAACAAACAAUUAGAAAUUGUGGCACAUGGCCACUUCUCAACCACAACUUUCCAACUUCACCAAUUGAGUUCAAAAGGUAUUACAUUGGGCCAGCCAUGCCUCUUUAUGACAUAAGCUUACCCUAUAUCAUACUAUCAUAUACAUCUAACCAUCUUUUAUGGCAUUAUGUCUUCAUCUUAGGUCAACAGAGUUCAUGCAUAUUGUACUCGCAUCUUCCACACUUGAAAUGUGAUCCCCAAAGCCACACAUAAAAUGCUAUCUAAAUGCAUGAUUCCAACCAUGAAUAACUCCUACUACAUAAGGUCCAAAUUUAUUAUAUCAAUGACAAAAUAACAUUUUAAGCAAAUUCUAAAUCCAUAAACUAAUUCUAUCUAGUAUGAUAUCAUGAAAUUUUAAUUUUACGGCAAGUAUAACCAUCAAACGAAAAUUAUCGUCAUUUUGGUGGCCCAACCAAGCUCUCCUCACGAUCCUCGUUUGAGCCGAUAAAGUGCCCACAACCUCUUACUCCCUAAAGGUGAAACUAGGAAAAGUUACAACGAACGAACGAACAACCACAUAGUUAAACAUUAACCAUCAAAAGAAUAGGCAAAACGUCCACGCUUAAUGGUGAAAAAACUCUCUCAAAAUCUCUCAAAAAUAGAUAAGAACCUUCUAAAUCCAACCUAGAUGAAGUCUAAUUCCAAACAAUUGACUCCAAAAGUCUUAAUGCAAAAAUCUCCAAAAUAAGCCCUAAAUAUCUCAUUCUAGGGUUUUAUCUAGCAAAAUCCAUCAAAACAUGAAUCUAGGCCAGAAACAUGAUACUCAAAUCUCAAGAGAAGCUCCGCAACAAUGUCUCAAAGUCAACUAGUUGAGAUCUUGCCCAAAUACAAGCUCAGUCCAACUCCCAACCUUCUUCCCAGUGUGGAAAUGGCACCAAGAAACAACAAACAUGACAGAAAAAGAAGGUUUAAUCUUCAAAUCCCAACUAAACACGAAAAUUAAAAAACAAAAGAGAAGGGUGAGGCCCUACCUCUCUCCACUACCUCCAAUGCGCUCAGGGAAACAAAGGGGAGGCGUGGAUUACUGUAAAGUGUUCUACAAUUCCAAGAAACACCUCUCAAAACUAAUGACGUUUCAAAGUGUACGUACACGAAUAAAAGUGUAAGCCGGUACAAAUCCUCAGUAACGCCAACCCGAGCCUCGGGUUGGCAAAAAUCGAUCGUGUAACCGGUACAAAUCCAAUGUUGUACCGGUACAACUCCGUUCCCCAAAAUACAACCUUUCAAAUGUUGUACCUGGUACAUUCCCUCUGCAGAACUGCAACCCAAGAGCAGAACUAAGUCUUUUUUCUCUUUGGAGACCUUCAGCUCUAAGCUUUAAUACUCAAUUCUCGGAUCGAGCCACUAAGUCGGAACACUGUCCAACGACCCUCCCAAAGAUAUCUGAAAAAACUCAGAGACAUUCACAUCAAACACUCGAACCUCGCAAUUUGCAAGGGUCCAGUGGUUACACCCCUCAUUCGAAUUGACCUUUAAAAGGAAUAAGUUUGUCGGGAGUGAGCGAUUGCCAAGAGCUCGAAUAAGUUGAAUACAGAAUUAUGUCCGGCUCUAAUCCUUGCCUUAUCCAAGUUUAUAGGAAAGGAUUGUGACUACAGUGAUGCAUCACACAACGGAUUGGUUUGUUCUGAUCCAGCAAGGGGGGGGGCAUGGUAGGCCGUAAUUAUUUAUGCUUCGCUGGCGCUGAAGGAUAUGAGAAGAUCUUAUCCUACGCAAUCUGACUUAGAGCUGCCCAACUGUGGCGUUUGACUGAACGUUGUGGCGGCUUAAAUUGUAAGUAGCACUAUGAGAUCUUUAUAGAUCAUAAAAGUCCAAGUAUCUAUCACCUCCAGAAGGAGUUGACCUAUGAGCAACGCCGGUAUAAAGUUGUUGAAAAGAAUAUGAUUCAGUAUUCAGUUAAUCACCCACCGGCAAAGGCAAUGUGGUGGCAGAUGCGUUGAGCAGGAAGUUUGUGCAGAGUUGGAGUGUUGAUCACUCAGCAGACCGUUGCUUGAAGAGUUACAAUGACGAGGCUCGAGGUAGUGUUACUUGUGACUACUGCAAGACUGAUGUCUAUGGUCUUGCAGCCUACUCUGUUGAAANNNNNNNNNNNNNNNNNNNNNNNNNGAGGAGCUUACAGGAGGCCAUGGGCACCCGACUGGAUUUUAGUACUGCUUUCCACCCCCAGAGUGAUGGGCAGUCUGAGCGUACCAUCCAGACCCUUGAAGAUAUGUUGAGGGCCUGUGUGAUUGAUUACCAGGGCAGUUGGCCACAGUUCUUACCGAUGGCGGAAUUUGCCUAUAAUAACAGCUAUCACGCAAGUAUUCAGAUGGCACCGUUUGAAGCCCUUUAUGGCAGAAAGUGCAGAUCACCCCUUCAUUGGAGCGAAGUGGGAGAAAGGUUAGUUUUGGGUCCAGAUGUACUACAAGAGGCUGAAGUUAAAGUUCGACUUGCGCGAGAGCGUCUACUGACAGCACAAAGUCGACAAAAGAGUUAUGCGGACAAACGUCGGCGAGAAUUGGAAUUUCAAGUUGGUGAUCAUGUAUUCCUAAAGGUCUCCCCGACGAAAGGAGUUAAGAGAUUUGGCAUUCGAGGAAAGUUGAGCCCUCGAUUUAUUGGACCCUACGAGGUGUUGGAGCGGAUAGGCCCCGUAGCGUAUCGGCUUGCAUUGCCGCCGAAUCUUUCGGGAGUACACAAUGUGUUUCACAUAUCUAUGCUUCGGAAAUAUGUUUUUGAUCCAACUCACAUAUUGGAGAGUACUCCAGUGGAUUUACAAGAAGAUUUAAGCUUUGAGGAGCAUCCAGUGAGAAUACUAGCUCGAGAAGUGAAAAGGCUUCGAAAUCGCGAAUUACCCUACGUGAAGAUCCUUUGGAGCAAUCACGAGGAACGGGAAGCCACUUGGGAACUGGAGAGUGCAAUGCAAGAGCAUUAUCCCUAUCUAUUCUCGAUGGAAUCGUGAGGUAAGUGUUUAUAAGUUUCGCGGACGAAACUUCUUUUUAGGAGGGGUGAAUGUAAUACACUGGACUUUCGCAAAUUGCGGAGUUCGAGUAUGUGGAAUGGUGUGUGGAUCACUCCUACAUGUUCUAAAAGGUUAGAACAAGUUUUUGGAUAAGUUAGAGGAUGAUUGGAAUGCUAAAAGUAAGAAAGUGCAUUGAUUGGGAGAAAUCAGCCUUUUCUGCUUGGUGUACCGGUACAGCCAUUAUGGUGUACCGGUACACAAUGCAGAAACGUGGCAGCUUGGGUAUUUUGGUCUUUUCACAUCUUGAUCUCAUCCAUAUGAAGCCAGCACGACUUCUGGAGCUCAGUGGAGGUUGCUGAGGCUCAGAGCACCCUUCUUCUUCAUCUCUCUCUCUCUCUCUCUAGGGUUUUUCUCUCUCUACAAAGGAUUCGACGAUUUCGCUCGUUUUCGUCGCUUCGCGCGUUUUUCGCUGGUGGCGAGCGUCGCAGAGCCUACGUGCACGUGCAAGAGAGCGUUUUGGAGGGAUUUUCGCAGCCCUGGACCAGUGAGGUGCUGGUUGGAAGCUUGAGAAGGUAAACGACUUGAUUUUUCCGUUAUCGACGUUCUAUUCGUCGAUUUGAGUAGCGAUUUCAGAUUUUUGCUCUUGGCUGUUCUAAACUGAGAAUUCAGCUAUUAUUAAUGAGUUAAUUAGCUGUGAAUUAACCUUCUUAGACCUGGGAUAAGCUACUUUGAAGCUUAAUUGGAAUAUUUAACCAUUUAUGAAGCUAAAAUCGGAACUUAAUGCACUAAGUUGUGCGAAUUGAUGCAAAUUGGGAUUUUUUCUUCGCAGCAGGUCUUCGAGCCUCGUUGAGCUGAACUUGUACCUUUUGAAGCUGGUUUGGGAGGUAUUCUAACCUGAGGUAAGCAGGAAUUUCAGUUAGAAAACUGAAUUUGCAAGAUUCCGACUAUAUUUGCUAUAUAUGUUGAUAUUGAUGCCGUCUCGAUGUUGUUCGCAGCGAGAGUGCGAACGAGCUUUGGAUCGUCGUGAGCUGACUUGUGAGAGCUCUUGGAGGCGUCUCUUGAGGUAUUACACUAGUCCCAAAACAGGGAUUUAAAGAGUUACUUUGUACUAAGUGGAAUUUAGGUCGAAAUCGGACAUUUCGGCCGUAGAUUUAAUCCGAUCUUGACGUUCGUUUUUCAGCAGCAUUGGGGCUUCGUUGAGCCGUUGUGGGACUUCUUGUGGAUAAUCGGAGCCUAGUACUAGGUGGGUCGGACCUAACCAGAGCAAGUGAAGCUCCCCUAUGUUCUAUAUGUAUUCUAGAAGUGGUCUAGCCUAUGCUUAUAUGAUUAAUAGGGACUUGAAAUGCGUCACCUUAAUGUUAGCUUAUUUGAAAUGGAAUCUCUAUUAAGUAGAGAACAUACAUGCAUAAAGUAUUCAUGUUUAUGUUGACUAGUUGAUAUGUUUCUAGUAUGUUCCUAGACACUAGAGAACAAUGACAUUUUUAUGACAUUCUCUGAACUUUAAAGUAGAGAACAAUGACAUGCUUUAUGCCUCCAUGAUAGUGGAAAGAUUCUAAUGCCAUAUGUAAAUUAGCAUUACUCCUGUAUGCUUACUAAACUAGUGGAUUCUAGUUGUUGUUAAUAUUUGUUAUACUGAAAUGUCGAUCAAAGGAUCGAGAACGAGAAUAUUGUGAACUAAAACAUGAUAAUUGAGACAUGUUGGACUAUGGACCUUGCUUGCUUGCCAUCGUGCUCAUUCGCACACGCUUGUGAGGGUAGCUCCCUACAAGCCGGCACUCCGGAGUUGGCCUACGCGACAGUUGCUCGCCCGUGCGGGAUUGGGUGCCGAAGUGGAUUGCCGUGGGGAGUGUAUACUACCACGGGGCCAUUAGGCGCGGCGCAAGCUGGACUACCUUGAGUAGAUCCCUGUGAAUGAAAGAAAAAUGCUAAAGGAAAUUGGACAGUAAUGAAUAAUUACCAGUUACAGUGUACAGUAGUUACUUACACACUUAUGCUAUGUUUAUGCUUAUAGUAGUAGCCAUGCUUCUAUCAUUCAGUUGAUUCAUUACUGUUGAUGCUAUGAUCACAUGUUGUUUACAUGUUCAUUAUUUGUUAACAUUGGCUUAUGAAUUGUUAGCAUUGAAAAUAUAUCAUGCAAAUUACUGCUUUUAUUUCCAUUCUGUACAUCUCGAGCCUAGUGGUGUAAUUCGCCGAGGCUGGCGGCUUACCCACUGGGAACUAUUGUUAAUAGUUCUCACGCCCUUUUGGUGGUUGUUUUUACAGAGCUUGUUACAGGAGAGGCUAGGGAUCGUGGCAAGGGAGUCGCGCCUAGCUAGGGACUACUAGGAGCGUGCUAGUCGAUCACCUUGGUACUCGGGCUACGGCCGAGGGUGAUGUCCAAAGAUAUAUAGAGAGACCACCAUUGUAUCUAUUCUUUUUGUACACCCGUGAUGUAUAUUUACUUUCGGGGUUGAGAUUAUAGUAGUGUUACUUCUCCUUUUUGUUGAGAUCCUGGAUUGUAUACUCUUUGUAUUUUGACUUGGAUUUGAUACUCGUUGUAUAUCGACUUGUAUUUUGCUCUGAUAUCAGGAUAGGACUUCUUGUUUUACUUCCUAUCGACUUGCUUCUUGUAGACGCCUUAUAUACUGCAGGUGUAUGGCGGGUCUGUGCACGUGCCGGAUAUGCUUCCGCUGGUAUCCGGGCGUGACAACCUAUCUCUUAAUUAUGAGGUGCAAGAUUGAGAAGCAGAUAAAAUGGUAGGGUUAUAUUUUUAUCACCUUGUUUUCCCUUUCUUUUCUUUUCUAGUUUCUCCCUUAUCCAAACAUGUGAUGGUGCAAAAUGUAUUAGCUACUCGUGAUUAAGUUAAUGGAGAUUCAAAUGUUAAGGUGCCAUGGCAAACCAUAGACCAUAGUAAACUAAGCAUAACCUCGUAUCUUUUUGUACAUAACCCAAUACUGAACAUUUUUAAGAUAUCUUAUCAAUCUUUUUUAUUUGAAACUGUGUGAUGCUGUAAAUUGAAGUAUAUUCUUGUCAUUUCCGGCAUUUUCUUUUGGUUGGUUGCAGAAACAACCAAAGUUUUGUUUGAGAUUGUUUAACCCUAAAAGAAAAUCGUAGGACAAUGUUAUAAUUGUCUUUGUUCUGGUGGUAUAGAGAAAUAUAUGAACUUAAAGAGAGAUUAGCUUCUAUAGAGGCCAAAGUAGAUACGCUUUUUUCAAAGCAGUCGGAUGCUCAAUCUUCAAAGGUCAUGAAUCUAUUUCAAUCCCUACACAUUUAGUUCUAAUUUCUAAAAUACUUAUUGUAUGUGAUAUUUUUUUAAAUUGUUUCUUAUCUAUGUGAUGAUGCUUUUCAUAAUGUAGGUUCAAGAUGCUAAUGGUAGAGCUGAUUGCGACACUCCAGGAGAAAGUGAAUUUUGACUGUGGAGCCAACAUUUAAUUGUAAGGUAACUAAUUCGUUAUAAAGUUUACACAAUACAUAUAAUUCCAUAUCUUCUUUCGCAUACCUUGUCUAUAGUUAUGCUGUUUUAACUUUUAAGUUUGAUGGGUAUUUUUGUAUUUUGUUAUGUUGAGGAGUUAAUUGUAUAGUUCCUUUUUUUUUUUUGAGUGUAUAGAAUCUCUAUUUUGCCCUUUUGUUCUCAGUGUGAGCACCAUCUUUUGCCUUUCUACGGAGUGGUCCACAUCGGCUACUUUGAUGAACAAAGUGGGUCUGGUAUAGAUCGAGCCCGCUUGCAAUCUUUGGUUUAUUUCUAUGGGUCCUCUAUGUUUUCUUCAAAGUACAAGUUUGGUCAUUCUAUUCUACAAACAAGUGAAGUUAUUUUCAGCUGUAUUGUUAGAUGGUGGACAUAAUCAUCUAGGAUUGUUUAGAGGUUGUUUAGAAUCCAAUAUGGUUUGCAUGGUAUCAUUUUGCCUUCCUUUCGUCACCCAUGCUCAUCGCCCAUGCUUUGUCCUGCGUUAUUCUUGAAGUGCUUGAAAGGACAGAGGGAGGGUUAAGGACAACUCUGCAAAUCUUAAUCAAAAACAAAGUUGCAAGUUGGGAAAAUAAGAAAAAUAAAAAAAAAAAAAAACAGAAAAAGAGAAACAAAGAUGAAGAGUACAAAUUAAUGAAAAGUACAACACAAGUAGAGGAUAAUAUGAAGCAAGUUACACCCAAGCAUUGCAGGAGGGGGUCCAUUCUCACGUAGGACAUGGUAUUCAACAAGUUGGUGAUAUCCAUAUAUUGUGAUUUUUUCCCCUAAAAUAUUAGAUUUUUUGUAGUUGUUGAAUAUGUGGGUCGUGAUUAUCGGUUGACCAAUGAACAUUGGUAGGUUGAUAUUUUGUAGGUUAUAAUAUCACGAGUCUUUACAAAUAUAUGCUUUGAUAUUGAAAUUUAUUCUGUUUUUUCCAAAUGAAAUGUUCCACUUCCAUGUACAGUGUUCAGAAUCUAGUUUCAAGCUUUAUAUGAGUUCUUUGUGAAUUUGAUCUGUGUUUCAUACUGAGCUCACAUUUGAUUUUUUUUUUUUUUUACUUUCUUCCCUAUGGAGAACAUGUGAAUUCAUUGUGUAUUUAAUAACUCAAUCUGAUUUUGUUCUGACAUAUAAAUUCUUUUUGGCAAGUCUAUUUGGUCUUGAUCCAUCUAUCCUAUAGUUCUUGUAGUUAAAUCUUCACAAUGAUGUGAUUGAUUUCAACUUUUCUGUAUAUACCUGUACGUGCAUCAUCUACUUAGACUUUUCUUUCAAAAUGACGACGCUUAUGAUCCAUGUUAAUUGCUAUUAUGUGAAUAGUACUUGAACACAAGUACUAUGCAAACAGACCUAAUUUCAGCAGGCUUUACAAGAUAAGGAAAUGGCUCUUUUAUUUUGUGAUCAAUUUACUUAUGGAACUUAACUGAUAUUCAUGAAUAUUACCAUCUAUUAUUACGAAAGAAAUAAUGAUAAAAUCAUCUACAAAUUCUGUAGAAAAUUCUAUUAUUUUGAUAGCACCAUGUCAAGUUUAUAUCAAAUCGAUCUAUCUCAUAUGUGACUCUCUUCAAAUAGGACAUCUACAAAAGUUUUGUGGAGUUACAAAACAGAGACUCAGCGAAUCAAAUUAACCUCUUACUUAGGAAUGGGUUGCAUGAGGUUGUAAGUGUGGCGUUUUUUAUUUCAAUGGAAGCCAAAUAUUUUGGAGUUAUUAGGUGUUCUUUGAAUGUCGGCUGAACCAUUUAAUUAAGUGCACUCACUCUGUAAUCAUCACACUUGGUGUGUUUGGCUAAUAUAGGAAAGCCAGAGCUCAAAUGUUGGCUGAUAUCCUGAUCUAUCUCAUCUCAAUAAAUUCUUGUCAUUACUAUUGCUAUGCACUUUUGUGAUGAUUAACACUGACUAUUUCUUGUUGAUAUCUUCGACAUGUACAAUUAUGUCACCUGAAAUGAUUAUCUACGCCAAAUCACUUCCGACAGUCUCUAAUUGGCAAAUAGUGUUCUUCAUUCUUCGAUAUGUACAAAUUAGCUUAACUAGAAUGUAAUUAGAUAUGUAGUCAAGGCAAUUAAACUGAUUACAUUUUUAAACUGAUUACGUUUUGUAGUGUUUGGUUUGAAAGGAAAAAAAAAAGUAGUUUUUCAUCAAUAUUUAUUUGGUUUGAAAGAAAAAAAAAUGAAAAUGUGCUCUAUAUGCAAGAAUAUUUAACUUUUUUGUUUGGUCCCUAAUUAAAAGAUGGUUUAGAAGUCUUUUGAUUUAAUUGUUUCACUAACUUGAUUUUUUUUUUUUUUUUGCAGGGAUUUUCAAAAAAAGGAAGGAUUGGUGUUUAAUUCGGAGUGAAUUCAUAAAAUAAGUUGAAGAACUUGUAGAAAACUUUGAUUUCAUAUGGAUUUUAUUUCUUUCAUAUUGAAAACUUCUUUGAAUAAAAUUUUUGAUUGACAAUUCUAUUUUUACUCUGCAAACUCCUAUUUGAUUAAAUGAUUUGGCUUCUAUUGUUUGACAAUUGUCGUAUGUAAUCAAAUUUAAAUUUGUUUGAAUAAUAAAUUUGUUCUUAUUUCUCAAUUUAAAGAGUCUUAAAUUUUUGUCUAGUUUUUUUUAAUUGUAUGUUUUAUAUUUUGAAUUGGAUUCGCAAGAAUUACGAAGCCGAUGAUAUAAAUUUACUAAUUUAUACUAAUGCUUUUUACUAUAUUUAGUAACGGUCGGAGAAGCGUUACUAAAAUUAUUAUCUUCUCCAAUGGUUGUAUAAACUGUCGGCAAAGACUUUUAGUGACAGAGAUCUAACAGCGGUUAUAAAAUUUUCUCCGACGGUUUUACAAAUGUCGGGAAACAUUUUCCCAGCGGCUCUAGAGACUUUUCCCAGCGGUUUCGACCACUUCUAAAUCUUAAUUUUUUUGUAGUGAUCUUUUCUAUUGAAAUUUUCGCUCUUUAAGAAUGAGUCUUCUUGAAGUGUAGUUUGAACUUCUCUAUUGGAGCGCAUAGAACUUUCCUUCCGCCUAUAAAAUCUUUUAAUUGCAUAUUAGUUUUCUUGUAGUUCGAAUUUUUCCUUAGCUAUCUAAUAUUUGAUUGACAUUUGUUUUGUGAUAAAAAUUAAUUUUGACAUUUAUUUGUACUCAUAACACUUUUGAGAAUAUAAUAGGCUUUUAUAUUCAGAUUAUUUAAUGUUUUUUGGAAUGUCGGGCUCUUAGUUUUUAUUGUCUAUGCAUUAUAUAUUUUUUGAAGCUUUUGUAGCAAUUAAUUAAAUAUAAUUUUUAAUGAUAAUUUAAUGCCUUUUAUAUUUAGUGGCAAUUUAUGUUAUAUUUGUCGGUAUUUAUGAUUAUUGUUAAAUAUUUUAUGGGCAAAUAUAUUUUGUUUUUAGUGGCAUUUGUAAUUGUCGGUAGAGAAUAACUUUUAGUGGUAAUUAUUUUACUUUUUAUCCUAAGACUUUUAGCGACCCCAUUUAUAAUAGCAAUUAUUAUAAUUGUCGGUAAGGAGAGAAGCGGCGAUUAUGAUCGCCACUAAUUUAUAAGAUAAUUGCUGCUAAAAAAUAAUUUUGUUGGAGUGACAAGCACAUUUGAUGUGAGGCUUCACUUCACAUGAGACCAAUCAAAAGAGGAGGAAUCCAGUAGAUUGAACAGAGGUCAAGUUAGCUGCUAUAUUUUCAUAAAGGCCCCACCUUUGAACUAUUUCACAGUUUGAAGAUCCAAUUUGGAAUUAUCGACAGAAAAGAAUUAAUUUUAUGGGGUAAGUUCGAAAGUAAUAAACGAAUAUAUAAAUCAGUUUUUGAAACCUUAUAAUAAUUUUGUUAAUUAAUUAGUUGGGUUUUGUUUUAAUCUCAUAGUCAGUUCCAAACGUUGAUUACGUUUACUAAUUUGUGAGGAGGAUCUGGAUGAUCGGCUAAGUUGUUGAGUUGUUAGGAAAUUAAGUCUUUGGGAUUCGGUUGAAUAGUCAAUUUUGUUACAUCGAACUCUGUAAUAAAUUAGACUAUUAGAGGGCCUGGAAAUAGAUGAGACAAAGAGCUGGCCAAUCUGAGAUCUCCAUUACUUUCAUAAAUUAUUAUUAUUAUUAUUAUUAUUAUUAUUAUUAUUAUUAUUAUUUCCUCCCAUGCACUUGAUUAGUACUACAGGCAUCUAGCUAGUAUCCGAGCCCUCGUCUUAAUUAUCUAAGACCAUGCAUCUCUGUCUAUGGAUCUUCUAUUGCAACAGCUAGCGCGCUCCCACGUAUGUAACCUGUCUGUUGGUCACCGUCCGUCGGGAGAGAUAUGAUGAAAAUCAGAUCAAGGGCGGCGCGCGCGCGAUCCGGACUGCGUCGAGAUUAUCGGACGAUCAAAGAUACCAACCCAAAAAUGAAUAAAUAAAUAAAAACCGUCGAUUUUAUAUAUAUAUAUAUAUAUAUAUAUAUAUUAGUAGUAUUAUAAUAAUAUAUACUAUAGAGCUAGGCUAUUAUUACUAUCUAUAGUACCGGAGCUCCCAGUACUAGUAGUGUUCUGUUUUCGAUCUUUCGGACGUUCAAGAUCAACGAUCAUUACCGUUAAAAUGAUUUAUGGCGUAUUUAAAGUUUUUUAGAAAUAAAAUUUAUAUUUUUGUCGACAUAAUUCUUACUUUAAGAUCAAAACCAUUUUAAAUUUGUCAAUAUUCAAUGGCUAUUAUGACGAGUUUAGAGUUUAAUGGUGUAUGAAUAAUCUAAAUUUCUUCAAAUUUUGAAAAACUAAACUAUAUAAGAUUAAAGGUUAACAUUCAUUUUUUUUUUUUUUUUUUUUUUUUUUUUUUUUGAUCUUGAAUUUAAAAGUCCCGCUAAUACUCAAAUUUUAAAGAGUAUUCUCAAUUUGCCACGUCCCAUCCUUUGACAAUAAUUAUUUUACAAAGUAAACAAUUAAAAAAGCUAAAAAUUUUAUUGCUAAGCAUUCAUAUACCAUAAGAUGAAUAUUUAACGAUGUAGAUCGUUGAUUUGAACGCCGCUAAGAUCGAAAAAAUAACAGCUAUACGUACCGGAGCGUCCGAUACUAUAGAUAGUAUAAUAGUCUUAAUUCUAAUAUUACCUAUAUACUAUAUAUACUAGUAUAUAUAACUAUAUAUAUAUAUAUGUGCAUGCGGCUAGGAUGCUUAUGAAGCCGGAGAGCCUCCGUGCUUCCACUUUAUUUUUGAUGGUUCCGGACCUUUCGAUCGACGAUCGCUCCGCGUGUUAGACCCUCUAAUCAGAGUAUUGAAGUAUCCUAUGAAAAUAAAUUUUCGAUUUUUCAAUAUCGAUUCGUUGUUUAGUGUCCGAAGUGACUCAAAAAUCAACGGCUGAAAAUAAAAAAAUCCCUUUAAAAACAAAAAUCAUGAUAUACUGAUAUUCAAAUUUUAAAUGCAACCAGUUAUUGAUCUUGUUUUAUAUGGUACUCACAAAAAUUUUCUAUCACAAAAUUUCACUGUGAUUUGGAAUAUUUCUACAGCCGUUAAACCUGCAACCCCCGGCCUCACCACGGCCAUUAAAAUUAUUUGAUUUUGAGCCCCCCUCUCGAUCACUAGCAAAUAAUAUCUCGAAAAUCACAAAAAUUUAUUUUCCUAGGUUACUUCAAUACUCUAGAUCGAACUCUAACGGAGGCCCCGAUCAUUCCCGAUUCGAAAAGUUCGAAUACCUCCCGAAAACAAUUUGGAAGCAUAAGGGCUCCGUGCUUCCAUAAGCAUACCAGCCGCACUCAUCAUAUAUUACCCCAACGAAUUAGGCUGAAAUACUAUUAACUAGUAAAACCGCGCCUUUUUGCUAUCAAGUUUUAAGCCCCUGGAUGAAAAAUUGAAGGUCAAGGAUAUAUAGUCGUUAGAUGAGGUGGUUCCCCUAAGGGUUGAGUGGUCCCCACCUGGGUUAUAGUAUUUAAUCCAAUGGUUAGAAAUAAUGAAAAGAGUUGAUCCAAAGGCUAAAAAACUAGUAGCAAUAAUGAGAUUUUGCUACUAAUAGUAGCCCAGUCCAACUCUCUCUCUCUCUCUCUCUCUCUCUCUCUAUAUAUAUAUAUAUAUAUAUAGUCCGGCUAUGGUGCUUGUAAAAGCACCAAUGUCACGCCCCGCGACCAACCGCCAAUUUGGACCGGGUCGCGGCGCCGACGACAGACCGCCGAACGGACCGGGGUUUCCCCUGUACGCGGACAGAGUCUCCACUGUACGUUCUAGGGUCGCAAUCCAAACAAUGUACAUUACAAGGGUUCCAACCAAGAACAGAUAUCAAUCGAGAUUGCAUAAGGAAGUAUCACAACAUAACACAUCCUAUAUUAUUACAACAUUCACAUUAGAUUCAUUUAUUUACAUCACACUUUAUAUUACAUUCAACUUCCAAAGCAACUAAGUUAUUACAAGUUUAAUAUAUUUUGUUCCUUUCAUUUUCUAUACCCCUAAGCUACGUCGACGGGGUACUGCUAGCUCUAGUCUUUGGGGGUAUGGCGCUAUCUAUGGAGCUACGCCCUUGCCUCGCGCCGCCGCGCCGCUCACGUGUGAACCUGUAAAACCCCAAAACAACGUGGGGUGAGAACCAACUCCAUGGUUCCCAGUGGGUACUGCCACCCAAGGGAGGAGCUCGACCAACAGGUCCAAGGGAGGCAAAUACAAGUUAGUCCAAUAAAUAGAUAGAUAGAUAUGUAUAUCAUAAACAUGCAACUAACUUUACCUUGCUUUGCCUCACAACUGCAAUGAUGCCGUGCUAUAUGCAACAGGAAUAUAUGCAACAUGAAUAUAUGCAACAACUAGUAGAAUUAUUGAUUCUACAAUUAAUCUCACUAAUCUUAGCUCAUGUCAUCCAACUCUAAGGUUUCUACUACCUUAAGUUACACAUUUACCACUAGCCCUCAAGGUUCUAUCUACCUUAUUCCAGCUAGCCAUCCGACUCGGUCUCGAGUCAAUCAACUGCGGAUAGUCCGCGCUCUGCCCAGCUCGAGGUGAAGGACCCUGUCACGACGCACCUCAGCCUGCAAGCCAAGAACAACAUCGCCCAACGGUCCGCCCGAAGGUCCGUGCACCGUGGUCAGGGAUCCGCCAGAGGGAGAGGAAUAUAGCCGCAUACAACCAUAGCCGAGACCCCUGAUAGGGAGAGGAAUAUGCCGCAUACACCCUAGCGCUCUUUGUUCUUGCUUAAUCACAAUCCUCAAAGUUCUUCCGGUGGGAGAGGAACAUGCCACAUACACCCGCGGUCCAAGAACUAUUGAGUUCACAAGUCUCAGGAUUCCGGAAUCCACUUCACAAGUCAAGGGUCCGUAUCCAACCCUAUGCUAUCGACCUAUCUAGGUCUAAUGCACUUUCCAUCCUAAGUCCAACUGACUCUAGGUCUAAUGCCUCAAUUUCACAACCUAGGUUUACCUUAACUCUAGGUUCAGUUCUCAACCUAUGUUCUUUAACACUAGGUUAGAUGCCACACACCUAGAUCCCGACUCUAGGUUCAUACUCAACCUAUGUUCUUUAACACUAGGUUAGAUGCCACUCGUUAUUUAUCCUAGGUUCAACAACACUAGGUUCGAUGUCAUCUAUGUCCGACCUAUGUUUAUUAACACUAGGUUCAAUGCCACUCGAUCUACUUGACGUCCUAUUGUCAUAUCGAGUACUAUAGAUAUCCACAUUUCAUCUCGCAUACAUUCUAUGAUGCCAAUAUGUAUUUAUUAUCUAGCAUGAACUCAUAAUGCUAAGUGCAACUAGCAUAUAUUCCAAAUACACACAUACAUAUCAUUUUACAUGGAUCUACUUAGCAUUUGCAUCAUAUUAUUAACAUGCAUUAUUUACAUUUAUAUGCAUCAUCUAUAUGCCUCAUUUACAUUCAUAUGCAUCAACGUGGAUUCUUAAUCAUCUUAGACAUAAAGGGCGACCUAGUCGCUUCGGUAAACACAACCCACCUUAACUCGCGUUCCGAUUGCUCGUCGACACUUGCAAUCGGCCUCCCGCGGCACUCGGCACCCGUUUGGGCCCGAUCUCACAGUUGCUCUCCAAGAGCGCGUCGCUUCGCCGUUUCAAGUGCUAACGAUCUUCGCCUUGCCGUUACGAUGCUCGGGACCCAAUUUCACGAUUUAUGGAUGUCGCCUCGGCCCUCCAGGCGGAAACGAAGCUCCAAGCGUCCGUUUCUUUAAUAACUUUGUAACGGCUCGUCGGAUUGCCGAACCGUCUUCGCUGACGUGUUUCGUUACCUAUCAAUUAGGUUUACAGAGGGUUAUUUGAGAUCAAACCCAUCUAUUUACAAAAAUCCCAUUUUUGAUGCCCUAGAUGCUACUAUUGCAAAAUACCCCAAAUCGAUCUCCGAUUCAUGCAAUAAAUAUUUAUCUAGCAUCAAAGGAGCCUAUGAAAUUCACUUCUAGAGCAUUUAGACCUAUUUCUAGAGAUCUACCAUAAGAGGGUAACAAAGCUUACCUCUCUAGAUUCGCUCCAAGCACGAGAAAGACGAAGGAGAGGAUGAAGAUCUCCUUCUUGAUCUUCUUCUCCUUCUUCUUCUUCUUCUUCUCUUCUUCUCCUUCCUCUUCUUCUUCUCUUCUUCUUCUUUUGUUUAGAGAGAGAGAGAGAGGGAUGAAACGGUGAGGGAAAGAGAGAGAGAGGUGUUCUAACCCUCUCUAUACACUUAACCCAUGCAACAAUUGCAUAAAAAUCUCCCAACAAGUCUCUUUUUGCAACAGCCCGAACUGGGCAUUUUCGGGGUUCGGGGACCGGUCUCUGCAUGAGGGACCGGUCCCUUAGAGAUCGGUCUCUCUGCCUGGGACCGGUCCCAGAGAGACCUCCAGCCCAGACUUAGCCAAUUUUCAGCUUCGUCCGUUUUCGCUCGUUUUCAUUCAUUUGACCUCCGAUUCGUCUCAAAUCGAACCGAGACUAUCCAAACAUGUUUUCAAACAUGUUUUCAUCAUCUUUCCAUCCUCGCUAAUGCCGGAUUUAGCUCACGGCCCAAGUUAGCCUUUCGGGUUCCGUUUUCGUGCCUAUGCGCACCGAAACGCCCGAUUGCUCUAGAACUUCACCGAACAUUACCGAGACAUUUCAAAUGGCACUCCCAUCGAAUGUACACCGUAACUUCAUAGUUUUAGAAGUCCGGUACCUUACAACCAAGCUCUUGGUGCUUGUGAAUUUUUUACCGUUAGAUCUACGCCUUUGAUCAUCACCCAUUAGAUUAUGCUAUUGAACCAACCACCUACUCAACCCUAGGGGGCCCACAUCAUCCUAACCGCACAUCUCUUAAUCCAAUGGCCAAAAAUCUACAAGCACCAAUAACUUGGUACUUUUAAAAGCAUAGGAGCUCAAUUAUAUAUAUAUAGAAUUAGGCUGGAAUACUAUUAAUAGUAAAACGGUCUUUUUGCUAUCAAGUUUUUAACCCUUGGAUGAAAAAUUGUAGGGUCAGGAUGAUAUUAGUCGGUUAGAGUUGAGUGGUCCCUCUAGGGUUGAGUGGUCCCCACUAGGUUAUAGUAUUUAAUCUAAUGGUUAGAAAUAAUGAAAAGAGUUGAUCCAAAGGAUAAAAAACUGGUAGCAACAAUAGGAUUUUGCUACUAAUAGUAGCCCCAGUCCAACUCUCUUUCUCUCCCUCUCUCUCUCUCUCUAUAUAUAUAUAUAUAUAGAGAGAUGACUGAGAGAAUGAGGGAGAGAAUAGGUACUAUUUGUAUUAAUAGCACGCAAGUCAUUUUGUGCUACAGUUAUUUGGGCAUUGGGAUUAAGAGGUUGUGUGUUAGGAUUGAUGUGAGGCCCUCUAGGGUUGAGUGGGGUGGUUUGGAUAUGCAAUAGUAGGGAUUAAGGGUGAAUAAUGAAUCAAAAGGGAUUGAAUCUAACGCGGAAAAUUGGUACACAAGUGCUUUUUCGUGCUAUUAAUAGACAUGUUAGCCGGACGUAUAAUAUAUUAUAAUAUAUAUGAUAUAUAUAUAGUAUUAUAUAUAUAUAUAUUUAUUAUAAUAUAUAUAUAUAUAUAUAGUGCGUAUUGGUAUGCUUAUGGAAGCACGGGAGCAAUCGAUGCUUCCAAGUUGUUUUCGAUGUUCGGGAUUUCAAUUGAUGAUCGGCUCGUUAGAUUUGAUCUAGAGUAUUUGAAGUAUCUAGAAAAUAAAUUUGCGAUUUUUCGAUAUAUUUGCCUAGCUGAUCGAAGUGGCCUCAAAAUCAAGGCUAAAAAAUAAAAUAAUGUAUGACAAUAUGAUUGAAUAUGACAUUAAAAUUUAGAUCAGUUAUUAUCUUGUUUUUAUGAUGGUAUAAAGAUAUUUUCUAUCAAAUUUAUGUGAUGUUGGAUAUUUCUACACGUUGUAAACUUUGACCAACGUCACCCAGACUAUUUUUAAAUUAUUGAUUUUGAGCCCUUCGUCAGUAGAAAAUGAAUAUUGAAAAUCACAAAAUUUAGUUUCUAGGGGUAUUCAAUACUCUUAGAUCAACUCUAAAGGCAGCCAGCGUCGGAUUCGAAAGAUUCAACUCGAAAACACUUAGAAGCACGGAGGGCUCCUGACUUCAGAUUCAUACCAAGCCCACUCAUAUACUAUAUAUAUAUUUAUAUAUUGAAUUGACGGUCUAUGUUUUAAAAGUAACAAGUCUUCAAUUUCGUGCUUGUAAGUUUUUGGCUUUGGAUUAGGAUGUGCGGGUUAGGAUGAUGUGAGGGGCUCCUGGAAUUGAGUGGGUGUGGUUGGUUUAGUAGUAUAUUACGGGCAAAAAUAUCAAAGGGUAGGAUCUACGGCUAAAAAAUUUACGAAGUACCAAGUGUUGGUACUUUUAAAAGCCACCAUAGUUUGGCUAUAAUAAUUAUAUAUUAUAUAUAAUAUAUAUAUUAUAUUAGCAUGAGGGCUACGUAAUACUCUUAUGAGUAUAAGCCCCCCUUUGUACUACAUAAGUUUCUGAACCAUUUGGAAUGAAGAGAAUGUGCGGUUGGAUAAUAGGGGUCCCAGUUAAGUUUAAUAAUGGCAGUCCUAGCUGGUUGAGUGGGUGGGAUUGUGGAAUAGUAUGAUCUAACGAGUGAAAUGUUCAAGAGAGUAGAUCUAAACGGCGAAAAAUUAUAGAGUAGAUAAGCGAAUAUACUCAUGAAGAGUAUAAGUAGCGGACAUUAUAUAUUAUAUUAAUAUAUAUAUAUAUAUAUUAUAUAUAUAUAGGAGAGAGAGAGAGACAAAUGAAUCAUCUCGAGCAGCAACGUGAGAGAGAGGAGAGAGAACGAGAGAAAUGAGAUGAGAGAUAUGAGAGAAAGAUUGAGACGUACACUGCGCCAGUACAUCGGUGAUUCGCGGAAUAUGUAUAUAAAACCUCGGACUUCCGAAUAGUAUUCUAGUCGGCGUGGAUGCUUCCUCAGGGCAGAGCGUCCAAGUAGAUUCACACUAUGAAAAACAUCGAGGACGAGAGAUGAGAGAGAUUGGACUGGGUAUUAGUAGCAAAAAUCCUUGUUGAUACUAGUUUUUUUACGCAUUUGGAUAACUCUUUUUGAUUAUUUCUAACACUGUUCAUUAAAUACUAUAAUCCGUGAAGGGACAAUCAACCCUAGGGCGGACCAUUCAACUCUAACGACUACUAUCAUCCAUGACCUCCAAAUUUUUAUCCAAGGAAUUAAAACUUGAUGAAAAAAGAGCGUACUGUACUAUUAAUGUUUCCCAGCCUAUUCAUAUGUAUAUAUAUAUAUAUAUAUAUUAUAUAUAUUAUAUAUAUAUAUAUUAUAGUGAGCAGUACUAUGUUAAUCGGAGCACGGAGCUUCGUGCUUCCAGUCGUUUUCGAUGUUUGAGACUUUCGAGAUCGUCGAUCGGCUCAAGUAAACUUGAUCUAGAAGGUAUUUGAAUAGCUAGCUAGAAAAUUAAGAUUUUAUGAUUUUGAUAUCUUUGCCUAUGUGACGAAUGGGGCUCAAAAUUUCAACCGGCUGAAAAUAAAUCUUAACAAUAUGUGAUAUUAUGACAUUAAAAUUGUAAUCAAAGAGAUAUUGAUCUUGUUUUAUCAUAGAUAUAAAGAUUUUCUAUCAAAUUUCAGUGAUUGGAUAUUUCUACACCGUUUUAAUUGAAAACGGCUCAACUACGGCCUAUUGAAAUUUGACUUGAUUUUAAGCCGCAUUCGAUCACUUAGGCAAAUGAUAUCAAAAAUAAUAAAAUUUAUUUUCUGGGUAUCCAAUACUCUAGAUCAGAUUACAGAGCCAGAUCGCUGCAUUCGGAAAGUCGCAGAUCGAAAACAAGGUGGGAGGCACCUGGAAGGAAAUCCGUGCUCGAUAGACUGGGGCCCGCAGAGAACCAGAUAGCAUGCAUAGUCUUGUAAGUGCAAUUAUAUAUAUAUACUAUCUAUAUAUAGAAUCUAUAUAUGAGUAGAGUAGAAUAGCUUGUAAAAAGUGAUCAACAAGUGAUCUUGUGUGUUUUUAGCCUUGGAGGGGAGGUGUGAGGGUUGAGUGAUGGUGGUAGGUGGUAAUAGAGUGGGUGGCUAGCGGUGGAAUAGUGUUUGAUCCAAGGAUAUUAGCUAAUAAAAAGUAGAUCCAAUGGGCUAAAAACACACAAGUAUCACGUUGCGGUGAUACUUGUAAAGUAAUUCUAGCCUACUUAUAUAUAUAAUAUUUAUAUAUAAUAUAUAUAUAUAGCGUUGAGGAUACAUAUCUAUCGGAGCGAACUUCCGUGCUUCCACCUAACAUGUUUGAUCGAUCUUUAGCGACUUUCGAAUCGUGAUGGCUUGUGUAAAACUUGAUCUAGAGUAUUUAGAGUAACCCAGAAAUAAAUUUUAUUAUUUUUGAAUAUUCAUUUGCCUAGUGAUCGAAUGGGCUUGAAAUAUCAACAAAUUUCAAUGUCGUAGUGAGCCGUUUUUGAGUUUAACGUGUAGAAAUAUCCAAUCACGUUGAAAUUUUGAUAGAAUUUUUUAUAUAUAUAAAACAAGAUUCAUAUCUUUGAAUUUAAAAAAUUUUAAUUAUCAUAUUAUCACAGUUUUGUUUAAGAUUUUUAUUUUCAGCGUUGUUUUAUUGGCCCCUUCGUUCAUAGGCAAAUAGAUAUCCGUAAGUCAUAAAUUAUAUUUGCUAGGGUACUUCAAAUACUCUAGAUCACGGUUCUAACGGAGCGAUCGAUGAUUCGAAGUCGGCAGACAAUCGGAAUGAGCGUGGAGCACGGAGACUCGUGCGUUUCCGUUAGUAUAGUAGCCCUCGCCUCUGAUAUAUAAUUAUGAUGAUAUAAUACUAUAAUUAUAUAUAUAUAUAGAUCAUAUAUAUAUAAUAUAUAAUAUAGAGUUAGGGCUAGAUACUUGUAAAAGAUAUAAUGACGAAGUCGUUACUUCGUGUUGUGUUUUAGCCUUGGAUGGAGAGAUGUGACGGUUGGAGUAUAGGUGGUAGGUGGUGCGGAUAGGUGGUGAGUAGAGGAAUAGUGUUUUAAUCCAAGGCUAAUUAUAUCAAAAAGUUAGAUCGAAAUGGCUGUCAACGCUAAUAGCACCAUGAUAAGUGAUUACUUGUAAAAGUAUCAUACGCUCAACUCCCAUAUAAUAAUAGUAUUAAAUAUUAUAUUGAGCACGCAUGACAGAGGCUAUGCAUGCUAUGCUUGGUCUCUGCGGAGGCCACGUAGGCAUUAAUUUGAAGACAGGAAGAGUAUUAUAUAGGGCCUUUUUUUGCAAAUAGCAUCACAAGCAAUUUUUAAUUUUAAAAUUGUUUCUAGUCAAACUUAAAAUUAAAAUGGCCUGUUCUGCACUGCAGGCGCCAGUUCAAGCGCACGCGCGGGAGGGCUGGCGGCCAGCAGAUUAAUUUGAUCGGUGAAUCAAUUACGACAGUGUUAAACCGGUGAAUUGGGUUCCGUAUUUUUUACUGUAUUUUUUUGAUAUUGAAAAUGGAUAAGGGUAGCGAUGUCAAUAGGUAAUGGAGUAUUCGCUAUAUUAUCGAAUGCAACCCGAUAAAUUAUAUAUAUAUAAGUNNNNNNNNNNNNNNNNNNNNNNNNNNNNNNNNNNNNNNNNNNNNNNNNNNNNNNNNNNNNNNNNNNNNNNNNNNNNNNNNNNNNNNNNNNNNNNNNNNNNNNNNNNNNNNNNNNNNNNNNNNNNNNNNNNNNNNNNNNNNNNNNNNNNNNNNNNNNNNNNNNNNNNNNNNNNNNNNNNNNNNNNNNNNNNNNNNNNNNNNNNNNNNNNNNNNNNNNNNNNNNNNNNNNNNNNNNNNNNNNNNNNNNNNNNNNNNNNNNNNNNNNNNNNNNNNNNNNNNNNNNNNNNNNNNNNNNNNNNNNNNNNNNNNNNNNNNNNNNNNNNNNNNNNNNNNNNNNNNNNNNNNNNNNNNNNNNNNNNNNNNNNNNNNNNNNNNNNNNNNNNNNNNNNNNNNNNNNNNNNNNNNNNNNNNNNNNNNNNNNNNNNNNNNNNNNNNNNNNNNNNNNNNNNNNNNNNNNNNNNNNNNNNNNNNNNNNNNNNNNNNNNNNNNNNNNNNNNNNNNNNNNNNNNNNNNNNNNNNNNNNNNNNNNNNNNNNNNNNNNNNNNNNNNNNNNNNNNNNNNNNNNNNNNNNNNNNNNNNNNNNNNNNNNNNNNNNNNNNNNNNNNNNNNNNNNNNNNNNNNNNNNNNNNNNNNNNNNNNNNNNNNNNNNNNNNNNNNNNNNNNNNNNNNNNNNNNNNNNNNNNNNNNNNNNNNNNNNNNNNNNNNNNNNNNNNNNNNNNNNNNNNNNNNNNNNNNNNNNNNNNNNNNNNNNNNNNNNNNNNNNNNNNNNNNNNNNNNNNNNNNNNNNNNNNNNNNNNNNNNNNNNNNNNNNNNNNNNNNNNNNNNNNNNNNNNNNNNNNNNNNNNNNNNNNNNNNNNNNNNNNNNNNNNNNNNNNNNNNNNNNNNNNNNNNNNNNNNNNNNNNNNNNNNNNNNNNNNNNNNNNNNNNNNNNNNNNNNNNNNNNNNNNNNNNNNNNNNNNNNNNNNNNNNNNNNNNNNNNNNNNNNNNNNNNNNNNNNNNNNNNNNNNNNNNNNNNNNNNNNNNNNNNNNNNNNNNNNNNNNNNNNNNNNNNNNNNNNNNNNNNNNNNNNNNNNNNNNNNNNNNNNNNNNNNNNNNNNNNNNNNNNNNNNNNNNNNNNNNNNNNNNNNNNNNNNNNNNNNNNNNNNNNNNNNNNNNNNNNNNNNNNNNNNNNNNNNNNNNNNNNNNNNNNNNNAAUUUAUUUUUGUUUAUUUAUACAAUAUAUAAAAUAUUUAAUAAUUUUUAUUCCUUAGAUCUUCAUCCAACGGUAUAGAUUUUUAAAACCCGCUGGGUUGGAUGAAGAUCUAAGGAAUAAAAAUUAUUAAAUAUUUUAUAUAUUGUAUAAAUAAACAAAAAUAAAUUUUAUAUAUAUAUGUAUAUAUAAUUUAUUCGGAUUUGAAUUCGAAUAAUAUUUCGGAUAUCCAUACCUAUUGACAUCCCUACUCCUUAUUCCACUUUUCAAUAUACAAAAAAUACGUAAGAAAAAAUACGUACUAAAUACGGUGAACCAUUUACCGUGUUCACCGCACGGUGAAUAGUUCACCGUGUUCAACUUAACACAUGGGCCCAGCCCUGCCCGCGUGGCGCUGACGUGGCGCCUGCGUGGCAGGCCCAGAAUUAUUUUUGCAAAUUAAAUUUUGACAGAACUAUUUUUAAAAUAAAAAUUUGUUAGGGAUCUAAAUGCAAAAAAAAGCCUAUUAUAUAGUAAGCGAUCGAGUCCCACUCACAUCGAACUACCCGAUAUAAUCAAUCAAUUUUGAUCUCCUUUUUUGGGUCUGUCUGUCUUUUUGCGAUCAUCCGGGAACUACCAAUUAAUUAAGGGAGAGAGAUCAGAUGGAGGAGGAGGAGGAGGGGACGGGCCGCGAAGGGUUGCUGGAGAAAGAGGAGGAGAGCUGCGGGCUGCAGGUGCGGGGGCCGGGAUGGCGGCGGCGAAGGCAGCUGAUGAUGAUCUGGGAGGAAGGGAAGCGGGUGGGGCAUCUGGCGGGGCCGAUGGUGGCGAUGGGGCUGACGCAGCUGCUGGUGCAGGUCGUCUCCAACAUGAUGGUCGGCCACCUCGGCCAGCUCGCACUCUCCAGCGCCGCCAUCGCCACCUCCCUCACCAACGUCACCGGAUUCAGCCUCCUCGUACGUCAAUCUCCUCUCCUCUCCUCUCCUCUCACCUCUUACAGCUGCUUCAAUUCGUGACUCUUAACUUAAUUCAUCCAUCCAUCAUAAUAAUAUAUAGUUCGUCGACUCUUCAUCCAUCCAUCCAUCCAUCAUAAUAUAUAAUAGUCCUCAUGAAUUUUCCUAUAUAUAUAUAUAUAUACAGAGUACAUAGUAAACAAAAAAUAAUAAUAAUAAUAAUUGGAAUCUAGAAAUUAGUAUGUGAGUUUUAAUGAACCAAUUUCGUAGUACAAUUAGUUUAUUAGUAUAUGAGUUUUUUCAUCGUUCUUCGGCGCGUUAAUUAUUUAGUUAUCAUUCUAGUGUAACUUUUGCAUUUAAUACUAUAUAUACGAUCGAUAUGCAUUUAUCUUUUAUUUACCAGAAAAUUUUAGAAACAAAACCUCUUAAAAGUUAAUAAACGCGCGAGAAAAAGGGUUUUAAUGAGCGGUUGAUGUGGAGAUAGAGGUUUAAUUAAUUCCCUGAAAUGAGUUUUGACCUCUUCUGGCUUGGGAUGCAAGCAUACAACUCCAACCCACAAUUAAUUUGCCCGACCAGCUUGUUAGGUCAGAUCGGGUAGCUGUCCAGAAGAUAAAAGCCACGUGGCACUAGCACCACAUUAUCAUCCUUCCCUAUCAAUAAAAAACUAAUAUAGAGUCUUAGACUUCGUGACUAACAAAUAAUAUUUAAUAAUUAAUACCAUACGAUAAAAUAUAGUAUAAUAUUUAAAAAAAUAUAAAAUAUUUAAAUAAUAUAUUAUAAUAUAGAAAUUUAUUUUUUAUAUUUUAUAGUCGGUUUACUGUACAAUAAGCACCUCAAAAAAAAUUUAUUGGAUGUGUGACAAGAUCCCAUUGGUCUAUAUCUUAAACCUAAUACGUACCAGUAAUAAUAGGAAAUUUGUAAAGGAGAAAUUGUUUUAUACACCAGGUGUCUAAUUAUUUUUUUUGCACUAUAUUUGUAAGGGAAGUGAAUUCUCGAAAUCCAGGAAUUAGACUUCGUUGGGAAUCGACUGAUUAUCGAGUGUGUAAGCUUCGGAAAGUCCGAAUGUGGUAGUAAUGCGUAAAGUGCAUUAAGGAAAGGUCUGCGAGAGCACCAGUGCAAAAGCUGCACUGGAGCAGAAAUGCACUCGGGGACCGGUCCCUAGCGAGGAGGGACCGGUCCCAUCGGGCUGGGCUUCGGGGGUCUCUGAUGAGACCGGUCCCUGGCAGGCAGGGACCGGUUCCCGAACGUUAGCCCAGCGAGAAUUAGCCGAAAUUUGGCUAAGUCCCGAGAACCCAGCUCUCGGGAACCGGUCUCUCAAACAGGGACCGGUCUCCCGGGGACCAGUCUCUCAGGCAGGAACCGGUUCCCGAACGCGAAAUCCCUUCUGCCUGGUUGUGCAGCUCUCGGGGACCGGUCUCCCCGACCUAGGACCGGUCCCUCACUGCGAAAAUGGCCCAGGAAGGGUUGUUUCAGGAAAUGAAAAGUUGAGGGGGCUAUCUGCAAAAUGGCCUAUAUGAGGGCUUGGGGACCCCUCUCUUCCUCUCAUUUGCUCUCUCUCCCUUUCACACUCUUUCCCUCUCUCUCUUUAGAAAGGAAAAGAAGGAAAAGAAGAAGGAAAGGAAGAGAAAGGAGAAGAAAGAAGAGGAGAGGAAGGAGAAGAAGUAGGAGAAGAAAAAGACAAAGGUGGAGAUCACCUUCCUCAUCUACUUCUUCUUCUUGGACUAAGCUUUUGAAGGUAAGCUUCUAGCCCUACAAUGGUGGAUUUCUUACAAUAGGGUUUUAUGGUUUAGAAAUGGGUCGAAUGGAACCUAUUGAAGGUUCGAGCUUGAAAUCGAAGCUCGCACCGCGGAUUUCUCCAUUGUUGAGACCUAGGGCUCAGAAUUGUGAUUUUGCCAAAUCUAGAGUUUUGAUCUAAUUUGAUGGGUCGCAAACCUAAUUGCUAGGUCUCUGAACACGUCGGCGAAGACAGUUCGUCGAUCCGUCGAGUAGGUGCGAAGUUAUCGCCUAAGGAGACCCUCGGAGCGUCGUUCUCGUCUGGAAGGCCAACGAGGCGUCGAAACGUCGGCGAAUCGCAUUCGAAGAGUCAUGGUAUCGCCACGAGGUGGGGAAGUGCCAUCCCGAAGCAGUCGAACUGCUUUCUAUGCCUGAGUACUAAUGUUGAUCAAUUACAUAUUGUGAUAUAGCAUUAUAGGGUGUUAAAUGUAAUUAUACAUAUCUUUGCAUGCUAGUGAUAGUUUGGGUUGGGGAUACAAUGAAUGAGAACCUAGUAUGCAUGAGUGGAAUACUAUGAGAUAGUUCGCCCCAUAUAUGAUGAAUAUGUCUAUGUGAAUAAGAACCUAGUGUAUUGGAAGCUAGUGUAUCAAGAACUUGUCAAGAGAACGAGUGGCAUCUAGUUAACAGUGAACCCAGGACGAGUGGCACUUAGUUAAUAUUGAACUUGAGAACUUUAGUGUGAUUGAGACACUAUGUGAUUGAGCAGAAGAACACAUGAUGUUAUAGUGACACCAAUUCUAGUUGGUUAGGGUGUUCCCAGUUUACGAGAUUGGAUCGAGCUCACUUAGCUUGUCUGCACCUAUGGAGGUAGCUCCUCACAGGUAGUGCACUCCGGAGUUUGUCACGCGAGGGGGCCAGUGUAGUGCCCUUGGACCAGUGUAGUGUCCGUAGGCGGUCUCGGGGUAGGUGAAUAGCUAGCCACCUCCCCUAUGAGACUUAGAGAUGUGAGACUGUGAGCGAACCUUACGUUCGCCGAGAGAUUGGGUAAUUGGAUGAAUGAUUUCAAUAUUGAGCAUGGUAGUAUGAUAGCCAGCCUUCUUACUAUGAGUCCCAUGCAUGCAUCAUAGUGGAUUGAGGCAUUGAUAGAUCAUAGUUCAUAGUUGCUCCUUACUAUUAAUGCUUUCAGUAUUACAUCUCUAUCUAUCUGCAUAUCUAUCUGUGCCUGCUUAGAUCUAGUGGGGAGAUCGGCAGAGUCGGCGGCCGAACCCACUGGGAACUAUUCGUAGUUCUCACUCCACCAUGUUGCAGGUCCGAGUUCGAGUGCCCCUAGUGAGGAUCGCGGCAAGAGCGUAGCGCCCUAGUGAUAUUAGUAGAGGUUUACUUUCCUUUAUGCAUUAGCUACACCCUGUACCUAUUUUGAAAGUAGAUGAUGUAUAGGGUGAGGAUUUUAAAGUGAUUGUACAUAUACUCUGGAAGAAUGUAAAAGAUGAAAUAAUUGUAUAAAGUUUAAUGAGUUAAUAGUUAAGUAUAUCUAUCUUUAUCACUUGUAUGCUUUACAUAUGUUGCUUGCUCUUGAUUGAUAGGCACUGUUUGUGCUCUCGUGGUUGUUGUAUGAUUGUGUAUGUAUUCAAGUUGUUUUCCUGGGAACUUGUUGUACACAAUCUAGCCGUUGGAGCCUUUGUCACGACCCAAGCUCCGCCAAUUUGGUCGGAUUCGAGCACGCGACAGACGCCGAACAGACAGUACCUCCCCUGUCCGCCCAAGGCUCCAACAACAAGUAUAAUGCAAGCAAAACCUCAAGGAGAAUUGCGAGAUAUACAAGGUUUGCACGAGAGAAAACAACAACUACAGUGAAAGCAUCGAAACUAAUUAAACAUCCAAUAUACAUGUCAUUUGAUUACAUUUGAAUCAAACACAAGUAGUUCAACACAUUUACAUUCAUUACAUUAUUUCUUGCAUUACCCAAAAUAAAAUUUACAUUACAUUGCUUUUACCUUACAAUUUCAACAUAGAAAAGUUGAAUACAUCAAGAGUAUGGUAUGCCUAUGUAACUCCGGGGUCGCUAUCUACGGCGCAACUCCCUUGCCUCGAUCCUCCGCCGCCCCGCUCGCGUACAGAUCUGCAGGGUUAGUGGUAAUGAGAACUAGAACGAAGUUCCCAGUGGGUUCGGCCACCGACCACGCCGAUUCGCCCACUAGGUCUAUUCAGGCAUAUGUAUUUCAAUAAAGAAGAAUAACAAACCAACUAAUGUACUUCUAAUACAAUGCCUGUAAGAAACAAUUCAUAGAUAGAUAUUCAUAUUCAAAUACAUGAUUACUAUGCAUGCAUGUCCUUUUUCACUUUCCUUUGGCCUUUACCCAAUUCAACCUGGGGUGCUCCUGGUUUACCCCAACUCACAGUCCACAUAUCCAUCUAAUGGGGGAGGCACAAGGCACUACCACCCGAAGGAUCUUCGCCGGGUACGUCCACCCGUGGUGCAUUUCUUCUCCGGAGUACACCGCUCGUGGAGGAGCGACCUCACACAAGCCGGAACCAAUACAUGUGAGUAUGAUCCCAUCCUCAAAUUUUGAGGAGGUAUGGCCAACCUGUCACAAUUCUCACUGUCUCAAUGUCGCUGAAUGGUUAUUACCUAUUCAUGCACAUACUGUCACUUGCCAAUGUCACGGUGGUCCUGAUGCCACAACACACAAUGUCACUUGGGUUAAACCUUGUUUAACUAUUCACUUAUCGAUGUCAAUCAAGUCACUAAUGUCCAUGUUGCCUUUGUUUACUACGGUCACGGUCAUUUCUUACAUUCACAUGCAUAUAGGGUCUUUCACUAUCUUUGUUCACAUGGAUCUAUAUCAUUACAAUAAUCUUACGCAGAUAAUUGUCACAACCAAUAUAUACUAUUCAUUACCCUACAUGCAAGAAUGCUAUAUAUCAACAUGCUCAAAAAGGGACAUAGACAUAGAAAGAGAUCCGGUAUUUCCGGAUAGCACCCCCCACCUUUAUGUGUCACAAGGAUACCACGGUUCCGAUUCCACGAUUUUUAGACUUGUUCGCCGCGAGCAACGACGAUCUGUACUAUUUCUGCUUCUUUUUCCAAUAUCUUCACGCACGCUCGUCGUAUCGCCGAACCGAGUGCACCAAUGCAUUUGUAGACCUACCAAUUAGGUUAAAAUGAAAUCAAAACCAAGUUUGAACUUCAAAAUCACAAAACCCUAAAUAUGGGUCCUUCACAACAUCACCUUCUCCAAUCAAGCCCCUAGCUUGACAAAACAUGGAGGAAAAGCCACCAUAGACCUCUCUAGAUGCUUCAACUAGAAGCAAAAAAUCCAAACCUAGCUCAAACUCAUAAGAACUCACCUUUGGAGUCCAAAGCUUCCCUUCAAAAGCCUUCCCUAGCUUGCUCUUCACCUUGGAGAGCUUCUUCUCCAAGCUUUUCUCCUCCAAACCCUCCUUGGUCCAAGCCCUAGAGAGAGAGGGAGAGAGAGAGGAGAGGUUUUUAGAGAGAGAGAGGGAAAGGUUUAUGUUGAGGUGUGAGGAAAUGAGAGCUAACCCUAACCCUUAGCUCUAUACAACCAUCUAAUUCAACAUUUGCACUUAAACCCCUCUCAAUUUCAUAUUUGCAAACAGCCCUCACUGGGCACUUUCGGGCUCGGGGACCGGUCUCUCCCCUUCAGGGACCGGUUCCCGAGAGCUGUCCUGCAACCUGCGCAGAAGGGGACCGUUCUCUCCCCGAUGAAACCGGUCUCGGGGGACCGGUCUCUCACCUAGGGACCGGUUCCCGAGAGCUCAGUUUCCAGGACUUAGCCGAUUUUUUCCUCUACUCGGUUUACCAACAUUCGGGAACCGGUCUCUCACCGAAGGGACCGGUCCCCUAGAGUAAAAUUCUGGAAAUUUUCCAGAAUUGCAGUUUCACUCUCUCGGAUCCCUUUAUACUUUAUAUAUAGGCUCCAAUUCACUUUUAGCCUAUAGUAACUCAUUCCUUUCUGCGCUCCGCUCGUUUUGACGGGACUCGACUCAACCUACGGGGUAGUGAUACGUUACAUUCCCCACCCCUUAAAAUUAUUUCGGCCGCGAAACUAAUUCACUCGUAAUUCAACAUCCAUACCUCAUCUUAGUUCCUCGAAGAGAUGAGGAUGACGUUCCUUCAUCACGUCCUCAAGCUCCCACGUUUCUUCUCUAUCGCCGUGUUCGCUCCAAUGGAUCUUAACAUACGAAAUUUCUCGAUUCCGUAGCUUUCGCACCUCCCGAUCAACAAUGUACGCCGGGAACUCCUCGUAGGCCAUGUCCUCUUGAAGUUCUGUCGGUAUAUACGAGAGAACAUGCUCCGGAUCGUGAACAUACUUGGGGAGAUUAGACACAUGGAACACAUCGUGCACCCCCGCAAGCCUCGGCGGUAAUGCUACUCUGUAGGCCACCGCGCCAACUCUUUCUAAGAUCUCGAAGGGUUCGACAAAUCGGGGACUUAACUUUCCCCGGACACCAAACCUCUUAACACCGCGCAUCGGCGAUACCUUCAGAAACACGCAGUCUCCAACCGCGAACUCGAUGUCCUUCCUUCGCUUAUCGGCAUAGCUCUUGUGCCUUGAUUGCGCCGUCACUAACCUUUGCCGGGCAAGACGAACUUUCUCCUAUGCCUCCCGAACAACUUCUGGGCCAAGAACAACUUUCUCGCCCACCUCGCUCUAAUGAAUUGGCUAGCGACACUUCCUUCCAUAUAGAGCUUCGAAUGGCGCCAUUGCAAUACUUUCUUGAUAGCUAUUGUUGUAUGCAAAUUCCGCCAUCGAUAAGUAAUCGUGCCACUCUCCACGAUAGUCAAGCACACAUGCUUGCAACAUGUCCUCGAGUAUCUGAAUGGUCCUCUUAGAUUGUCCAUCACUCUGAGGAUGAAACGCCGUGCUAAAAUCGAGCCGCGUGCCUAGAGUAUCUUGCAAGCUCCUCCAGAAAUGAGAAGUGAACCGAGGAUCUCGAUCUAAUACGAUCGACAUGGGAACCCCAUGUAGUCUCACUAUCUCGUCCAAGUGAACCUGGGCCAACUUAUCUCCUGACCACGUGGUGUGGAUCGGCAAAAAAGUGAGCCGAUUUCGUCAAAAGGUCCACAACCACCCAUAUGGCGUCAUGUCCAGCCUGCGAUCGGGGCAGCCCGACCACAAAGUCCAUCGCGACAUUCUCCCACUUCCACACGGGGAUCGGUAAGCUUUGCAGCUUCCCCGUGGAAAAACGACACUCGACUUUUACUUGUUGGCACGUCAAACAUUGCGCCACGAAUUCUCCGAUGUCCUUCUUCAUACCCGGCCACCAAUAAUGCAACUUUAAAUCCUUGUACAUCUUAGUGCCGCCCGGGUGAAUACUAUACGAGGAAUGAUGCGCCUCUUGCAACACCAUCUUACGAAUCUCAUCGUCCUUGGGUACGCACAAUCAGUUCCUGAAUCUAAGUGCACCAUCGGCUCCCACGCCGAAAUCACCGGCGCGCCCAUCACUAACAUCGUUCCACACCUUUUGGAGAUACGGAUCAUCAACUUACCGCUCCUUGAUUUGCUCCAACAAGGUCGGUCGAACUAUUAGUGCCGCCAAGAUAGUCGGAACUUCCGGCGCCACUACCUCCAAUCCAAACCACUGCAUUUCCUUAUGUAAUGCCGGCUGAUUUGUAAUCGUCGUCGCCAAGUUCUCAGCAAAUUUCCUACUCAGCGCAUCGGCCACCACGUUGGCUUUACCGGGGUGGUAUAGGAUAGUAAGAUCAUAAUCCUUUAUCAAUUCCAGCCAACGCCGCUGCCACAUAUUCAACUCUUUCUGGGUGAACAAAUACUUGAGGCUUUUGUGAUCGGUAUAUACCUCACAAUGCUCACCAUAUAGAUAAUGCCUCCAAAGCAUCAGCGCGAAAAUGACCGCCGCAAGCUCAAGAUCGUGGGUCGGGUAGUUCUUCUCGUAGCCUUUCAACUAGCGCGAAACAUACGCAAUGACUCGCCCAUUUUGCAUAAGAACACACCCAAGAUCGGUGUAAGAAGCAUCACUAUACACCAUGAAGCUCUCUCCCGGCGUUGGCAAAGCAAGUACCGGAGUAGACGUCAACUUCUUCUUCAACUCUUGGAAGCUUCGGUCGCAACCUUCGCUCCAAUCAAACCUUACUCCUUUGUUCGUAAGGUGUGUGGGAGGAGUGGUCAACUUCGCAAACCCCUCAACAAAACGCCUAUAAUAGCCCGCCAAUCCAAGAAAACUGCGGACUUCCGCCACGCUCGUAGGAUGGGGCCAAUCUCGAAUCGCCUCAAUCUUCCUCGGGUCCACCGAGAUCCCGCUCCCGAAUAUCACAUGACCUAAAAAGGUCACCUCCGGAAGCCAGAAUUUGCAUUUCUUGAGUUUAGCAUAAAGCUUCUCAUCUCGGAGUAUUUGCAACACGGUCCUUAGAUGUUCCUCGUGCUCUUCUUCACUCCGCGAAUACACCAACACGUCGUCGAUAAACACCACGACGCACUUAUCCAACAAUGGUCGAAAGACCCUAUUCAUCAAGUCCAUAAACGCUGUCGGGGCAUUGGUAAGCCCAAACGGCAUCACCGUAAACUCAUAAUGGCCAUACCGCGUACGGUACGCCGUUUUAUGCAGGUCUUUCGGUCGGAUUUUCAACUGAUGAUAUCCCGACUGAAGAUCUAUCUUCGAGUAUACCCGCAACCCCUGCAACUGAUCGAACAGGUCAUCUAUUCUUGGUAACGGGUACUUGUUCUUGAUUGUCACCUUGUUCAACUCGCGAUAAUCAACGCAGAGUCGAAGGGUGCCGUCCUUCUUCUUCACAAACAAUACUGGUGCUCCCCAGGGGGACACACUUGGCUUCACGAAACCUUUAUAAAGUAGGUCCUGCAACUGGGCCUUUAACUCUUUAAGCUCCACCGGUGCCAUUCUAUACGGAGCCUUUGAAACUGGCGCCGCACCGGAAAUCAAGUCAAUGUCGAACUCGACUUCCCGAUUUGGUGGUAGUCCCGGUAACUCUACAGGAAAUACGUCCGGGUAUUCACACACUACCCGAAUGUUCCCCAACUCCGGGCGCUCUUUUUGAGGGUCCACGAUGGUCGCCAAGUAAGCCUUGCAACCACCCUUGAUCAUCCUUUUCGCCCUCACCGUCGAUAUAGUCACCGCAAAACGCACGCCCUUACACGCUCGAUACUCAAACUCGUCUUGACCAGGCUCGCGAAAAGUGAUCACUCUACUGUCACAAUCGAUGCUGGCAUAGUACUUGGAGAGCCAAUUAACUCCCAAGAUAACAUCAAUGCCCCACAUCUGCUUAAGUACUAGCAAAUCCACCGGCAUAAUCCAGUCGCCGAUUUGAACCGGACAUGCUAGGCACUCGUCGUGGACUCUAAACGAGUGUUCCGGUGCGUUAACCCACCAAUAGUCAUAACUAUGUUCUAUGUCCAUGCCAUGUGUCUUAGCAAACGAGACAUCAAUGAAUGAAUGCGAUGCGCCCGUGUCAAAUAGCGCUCUUGCUCUAACACCAUUAAUCAAAAUAAUACCUGCCAUGACGUCGUCAGGUACGGCAGGCUGCUCCUCCACCUGAGUAGCGAAAACCCGUCCACUCCGUGCACGUGAUCCCUCCGGCUCUCGCGGUGAUGAAGCGCACCCAGCCGACAUGGCAGGUGGCAGUCCUGCGAGCUGUCGUGGAGCAUACUGAGCCGAAGCAGCUGACGAAGCCGGUGACGCGCCGCCCGGGCAAUCCCAUCUCAUGUGCCCCGCUUGGCCGCAUCGGAAACAUCUCCCGUCACGCUGAGGACAUUCACUCGGCCUAUGAUUCCCACCGCAAAUUACGCAUGGGUAGGAACUCAUCUGACUCCUUGUCUGGCUCCUAUCUCGCCGCCACUGCGAUCUAGGGUGCCGAGGGGGUCGCUUGGAACUCGACUGCCCCGCGGAACCACCAUCCGAUCACUUCUUAGACUUCUCCCUGUCCUUGUCCCUUUCAAACGCCUCGCGUUCCUCACGCGCAAUGGCGUUACCGCGCUCUAUCCAUAGCGCACGAUCAAGCACCUCUUCAUAGGUCUUCAGCCGAAGCGCCUGAACCAUCUUGAAUAUCUCCGGCCGCAACCCGCGCUCGAAGACCUCCGCCGGAUCUCGGUCACUAUGAACCAAGCCGGGAACGCAGUUAACCAUGUGCGAGAAUUCCCUUUCAUAUUCCCGCACCGUUUGGCUUCCCUGCCUCAACUUGCAAAAGUCCUCCUUGAUCUUCCGUUUGUCACUUUCCGGAAAGUACUCCAUUAGCAGAAUCUCCCGGAACGCCUCCCAAGUCAUAGUAGCCGGAUCCAAGGACCGACCACCCUUCACUCUCGUCCACCACGAUCGAGCCGGCCCCUCUAAACAGUGAGCCGCCAACCGAACCUUGUCCUUCUCGAGGGUGUAGAUGUCCUCGAAUAACGCCUCCAUCGUAGAAAGCCACGCCUCCAUCAACCAUGGGUCUUUCACAUCACCCACAAAGGUCGGAGGAUUAAACCGUUUGAAGGCCGUCAACACCGCCAACGACCGCUCCCGCUCGGCUUCAAGUACCUCCGGAAUAGGAGCCGAAGAACCUAAAGCUGUCGGAGGAAUAGCCGUCACCGGUGCCGCCGCCAUCGGCGCAGGUGAUAUAGGUGCAGGCGGGUCCUGAGGUACAGGUGCAGCCGCCGCCGCCUGUCGAGCCACCAACUCAUGGAGCUGUCCCAUUUGCUCCCCUUGCUGUCGCAUAGCCCCAGCCAAAGCUGCUACUUGGGCCCGCAACUCGCGAACUUCAUUAGAUCCAACCUGCUCUGGCACCUCAUCAGGCAAUGCCGGAGCGGUCCGUCGGGUAUAGCGUCUCGGUGACAUCUGUCCUGAAACGAAAUGCACACGUUAAUACUCGACAUUCAAGACUCUUACUCGUUUCCAAACAUCUACCCAAUCAAGCGAAAGCAAUCAAGUACGUUCACUUUCUACUCUCGGCAUUAUGUAGUCCUCCGCCCCACAUAAUACCUUGAAAGAAAACAACCGUCCCUUAAGUCCAUCUCUAUUUCCGUUUAGAGAAGUUCCAUAAGAACCCAAUCCAUUAGCCUUCGCAUAUCCAAGUCCACGUUAUACGUGUCUUAAUUCCUAAGGUCUCCGAUCCUAAGGUCCCUAAGUCCAUCCUAGACUUUUGCUUUCACAUUGCUCUGAUACCACCCUAUCUGUCACGCCCCAAGCUCCGCCAAUUUUGUCGGAUUCGAGCACGCAACAGACGCCGAACGGACAGUACCUCCCAUGUCCGCCCAAGGCUCCAACAACAAGUAUAAUGCAAGCAAAACCUCAAGGAGAAUUGUGAGAUAUACAAGCUUUGCACGAGGGCAAACAACAACUACAGUGAAAGCAUCGAAACUAAUUAAACAUCCAAUAUACAUGUCAUUUGAUUACAUUUGAAUCAAACACAAGUAGUUUAACACAUUUACAUUCAUUACAUUAUUUCUUGCAUUACCCAAAAUAAAAUUUACAUUAUAUCGGUUUUACCUUACAAUUUCAACAUAGAAAAGUUGAAUACAUCAAGAGUAGGGGAUGCCUAUGUAACUCCGGGGUCGCUAUCUACGGCGCGACUCCCUUGCCUCAAUCCUCUGCUGCCCCGCUCGUGUACGGAUCUGCAGGGUUAGUGGUAAUGAGAACUAGAACGAAGUUCCCAGUGGGUUCGGCCGCCGACCACGUCGAUUUGCCCACUAGGUCUAAUUCAGGCAUAUGUAUUUCAAUAAAGAAGAAUAACAAACCAACUAAUGUACUUCUAAUACAAUGCCUGCAAGAAACAAUUCAUAGAUAGAUAUUCAUAUUCAAAUACAUGAUUACUAUGCAUGCAUGUCCUUUUUCACUUUCCUUUGGCCGUUACCCAAUUCAACCUGGGGUGCUCCUGGUUUACCCCAAUUCACAGUCCACAUAUCCAUCUAACGGGGGAGGCAUAAGGCACUACCACCCGAAGGAUCUUCGCCGGGUAUGUCCACCCGUGGUGCAUUUCUUCUCCGAAAUACACCGCUCGUGGAGGAGAGACCUCACACAAGCCUGAACCAAUACAUGUGAGUAUGAUCCCAUCCUCAAAUUUUGAGGAGGUAUGGCUAACCUGUCACAAUUCUCACUGUCUCAAUGCCGCUGAAUGGUUAUUACCUAUUCAUGCACAUACUGUCACUUGCCAAUGUCACGGUGGUCCUGAUCCCACAACACAUAAUGUCACUUGGGUUAAACCUUGUUUAACUAUUCACUUAACGAUGUCAAUCAAGUCACUAAUGUCCAUGUUGCCUUUGUUUACUACGCUCACGGUCAUUUCUUACAUUCACAUGCAUAUAGGGUCUUUCACUAUCUUUCUUCACAUGGAUCUAUAUCAUUACAAUAAUCUUACGCAGAUAAUUGUCACAACCAACAUAUACUAUUCAUUACCCUACAUGCAAGAAUGCUAUAUAUCAACAUGCUCAAAAAGGGACAUAGACAUAGAAAGAGAUCUGGUGUUUUCGUAUAGCACCCCCCACCUUUAUGUGUCACAAAGAUGCCACGGUUCCGAUUCCACGAUUUUUAGACUUGUUCGCCGCGAGCAACGACGAUCUGUACUAUUUCUGCUUCUUUUUCCAAUAUCUUCGCGCACGCUCGUCGUAUCGCCGAACCGAGCGCACCGAUGCGUUUGUAGACCUACCAAUUAGGUUAAAAUGAGAUCACAACCAAGUUUGAAUCUCAAAAUCACAAAACCCUAAAUAUGGGUCCUUCACAACAUCACCUUCUCCAAUCAAGCCCCUAGCUUGACAAAACAUGGAGGAAAAGCCACCAUAGACCUCUCUAGAUGCUUCAACUAGAAGCAAAAAACCCAAACCUAGCUCAAACUCAUAAGAACUCACCUUUGGAGUCCAAAGCUUCCCUUUAAAAGCCUUCCCUAGCUUGCUCUUCACCUUGGAGAGCUUCUUCUCCAAGCUUUUCUCCUCCAAACCCUCCUUGGUCCAAGCCCUAGAGAGAGAGGGAGAGAGAGAGGAGAGGUUUUUAGAGAGAGAGAGGAAAAUGUUUAUGUUGAGGUGUGAGUAAAUGAGAGCUAACCCUAACCCUUAGCUCUAUACAACCAUCUCAUGCAACAUUUGCACUUAAACCCCUCUCAAUUUCAUAUUCGCAAACAGCCCUCAAUGGGCACUUUCGGGCUCGGGGACCGGUCUCUCCCCUUCAGGGACCGGUUCCCGAGAGCUGUCCUGCAACCUGCGCAGAAGGGGACCGGUCUCUCCCCGAUGAAACCGGUCUCCGGGGACCGGUCUCUCACCUAGGGACCGGUUCCCGAGAGCUCAGUUUCCAGGACUUAGCCGAUUUUUCCCUCUGCUCGGUUUACCAACGUUCGGGAACCGGUAUCUCACCCAAGGGACCGGACCCCGAGAGUAAAAUUCUGGGAAUUUUCCAGAAUUGCAGUUUCACUCUCUCGGGUCCCUUUAUACUUUAUAUAUAGGCUCCAAUUCACUUUUAGCCUAUAGUAACUCAUUCCUUUCCGUGUUCCGCUCGUUUUGACGGGACUCGGCUCAACCUACGGGGUAGUGAUACGUUACAUUCCCCACCCCUUAAAAUUGUUUCGGCCGCGAAACUAAUUCAAUCGUAAUUCAACAUCCAUACCUCAUCUUAGUUCCUCGAAGAGAUGAGGAUGACGUUCCUUUAUCACGUCCUCAAGCUCCCACGUUUCUUCUCUAUCGCCGUGUUCGCUCCAAUGGAUCUUAAGAUACGGAAUUUCUCGAUUCGGUAGCUUUCGCACCUCCCGAUCAAAAAUGUACGCCGGGAACUCCUCGUAGGUCAUAUCCUCUUGAUGUUCUGUCGGUAUAUACGAGAGAACAUGCUCCGGAUCGUGAACAUACCUGGGGAGAUUAGACACAUGGAACACAUCGUGCACCCCCGCAAGCCUCGGCGGUAAUGCUACUCUGUAGGCCACCGCGCCAACUCUUUCUAAGAUCUCGAAGGGUCCGACAAAUCGGGGACUUAACUUUCCCCGGACACCAAACCUCUUAACACCGCGCAUCGGCGAUACCUUCAGAAACACGCGGUCUCCAACCGCGAACUCGAUGUCCUUCCUUCGCUUAUCGGCAUAGCUCUUGUGCCUUGAUUGCGCCGUCACUAACCUUUGCCGGGCAAGACGAACUUUCUCCUCCGCCUCCCGAACAACUUCUGGGCCAAGAACAACUUUCUCGCCUACCUCGCUCCAAUGAAUUGGCGAGCGACACUUCCUUCCAUAUAGGGCUUCGAAUGACGCCAUUGUAAUACUUUCUUGAUAGCUAUUGUUGUAUGUAAAUUCCGCCAUCGAUAAGUAAUCGUGCCACCCUCCACGAUAGUCAAGGACACAUGCUCGCAACAUGUCCUCGAGUAUCUGAAUGGUCCUCUCAGAUUGUCCAUCACUCUGAGGAUGAAACGCCGUGCUAAAAUCGAGCCGCGUGCCUAGAGCAUCCUGCAAGCUCCUCCAUAAAUGAGAAGUGAACCGAGGAUCUCGAUCUGAUACGAUCGACACGGGAACCCCAUGUAGUCUCACUAUCUCAUCCAAGUAAACCUGGGCCAACUUAUCUCCUGACCACGUGGUGUGGAUCGGCAAAAAGUGAGCCAAUUUCGUCAAACGGUCCACAACCACCCAUAUGGCGUCAUGUCCAGCCUGCGAUCGGGGCAGCCCGACCACAAAGUCCAUCGCGACAUUCUCCCACUUCCAUACGGGGAUCAGUAAGCUUUGCAGCUUCCCCGCGGGAAAACGACGCUCGGCUUUUACUUGUUGGCACGUCAAACAUUGCGCCACGAAUUCUCCGAUGUCCUUCUUCAUACCCGGCCACCAAUAAUGCAACUUUAAAUCCUUGUACAUCUUAGUGCCGCCCGGGUGAAUACUAUACGGGAAAUGAUGCGCCUCUUGCAACACCAUCUUACGAAUCUCAUCGUCCUUGGGUACGCACAAUCGGUUCCUAAACCUAAGUGCACCAUCGGCUCCCACGCCGAAAUCACCGGCGCGCCCAUCACUAACAUUGUUCCGCACCUUUUGGAGAUACGGAUCAUCAACUUGCCGCUCCUUGAUUUGCUCCAACAAGGUCGGUCGAACUAUUAGUGCCGCCAAGAUAGUCGGAACUUCCGGCGCCACUACCUCCAAUCCAAAUCGCUGCAUUUCCUUAUGUAAUGCCGGCUGAUUUGUAAUCGCCGUCGCCAAGUUCUCAGCAGAUUUCCUACUCAGCGCAUCGGCCACCACGUUGGCUUUACCGGGGUGGUACAGGAUAGUUAGAUCAUAAUCCUUUAUCAAUUCCAGCCAACGCCGCUGCCACAUAUUCAACUCUUUCUGGGUGAACAAAUACUUGAGGCUUUUGUGAUCGGUAUAUACCUCACAAUGCUCACCAUAUAGAUAAUGCCUCCAAAGCUUCAGCGCGAAAACAACCGCCGCAAGCUCAAGAUCGUGGGUCGGGUAGUUCUUCUCGUAGCCUUUCAGCUGGCGCGAAGCAUACGCAAUGACUCGCCCAUUUUGCAUAAGAACACACCGUAGACCGGUGUAGGAAGCAUCACUAUACACCACGAAGCUCUCUCCCGGCGUUGGCAAAGCAAGUACCGGAGUAGACGUCAACUUCUUCUUCAACUCUUGGAAGCUUCGGUCGCAACCUUCGCUCCAAUCAAUCCUUACUCCUUUGUGAGUAAGGCGUGUGAGAGGAGUGGUCAACUUCGCAAACCCCUCAACAAAACGCCUAUAAUAGCCCGCCAAUCCAAGAAAACUGUGGACUUCCGCCACGCUCGUAGGAUGGGGCCAAUCUCGAAUCGCCUCUAUCUUCCUUGGGUCCACCGAGAUCCCACUCCCGGAUAUCACAUGGCCUAAGAAGGUCACCUCCGAAAGCCAGAAUUCGCAUUUCUUGAGUUUAGCAUAAAGGUUCUCAUCUCGGAUUAUUUGCAACACCAUCUUACGAAUCUCAUCGUCCUUAGGUACGCACAAUCGGUUCCUGAAUCUAAGUGCACCAUCGGCUCCCACGCCGAAAUCAGCGGCGCGCCCAUCACUAACAUUGUUCCGCACCUUUUAGAGAUACGGAUCAUCAACUUGCCGCUCCUUGAUUUGCUCCAACAAGGUCGGUCGAACUAUUAGUGCCGCCAAGAUAGUCGGAACUUCCGGCGCCACUACCUCCAAUCCAAACCGCUACAUUUCCUUAUGUAAUGCCGGGAGUUCACACAUCUUCUGAACUGCGUCCCGGACGUGGCGACGACGGAGCAAGAUCCAGCAGAUUACUUCGUGAGAGGACUCCGACCCGGCGUGUUUCGUAUGGUGCAUGCCUUCAAGUUUCAUACUUUCACGGAGGCUUUGGACCGUGCCUUAUGGGUCAAGCACGGGAAUGCCUGCGAGCAUGAGGACCGUGAGGUGUUCGAGAAGGAUAAGGGGAAGAAGCGACCGGGCGGUGGUUCGGGGGGACAAUCGAGUUCCAAAAGGCCCCCGAAAUAUCCACGAUCACAACCGAAGGGCCGCGGAGCGCAACGGUGUAUCUUUUGCGGCGGUGACCACCGACCCAGUAUCUGUGAUCAGCGCCGAGGAAAGUGCUUUAGAUGCAGGCAAGCAGGGCACAUCACACGCGACUGCCCUCAAGGAGGGGCUUUAUCUGCUCUAUCUGUUGCAUCAGCCCCGACAAUUUCGGCUCGUUAUGCAAUGCCACCUGCUGCGGCGUCGGCUGGACGUGCGGCGGCACCACGUCAACCUGAACCAGCACGAUCGUCUCCGAGCGGAAGGAUGUAUGCCACUCAAGUGCAAGAAGAGGAGCCCACCGAAGCCGAGGAGCGCAAUGUGGUAGCAGGUAUGGUGUUGGUUCAUGGUGUUCGAGCAAGAGCUCUUUUUGAUACUGGCGCCUCUCACUCGUUCAUUAACCGGUCGUUUGCACAAGUACAUGACAUUGAGAUUAGUCUCGGGGAGAAUGUGUGGCGUGUAGAAGGACCCGGACGAUCAUUCCUUGUUAGGAAGCGCUGUUUGGCAUGCCCAAUACAAGUAGGCGACUGGAUUAUGCCGGUCGACCUGUUGGUGCUAAAGAGGUUGAAAGAGUUCGACGUUAUAUUGGGCAUGGACUGGCUCUCGAAGUAUUAUGUGUCUAUUGACUGUAAGACUAGAGUGAUCACAUUUCGGGAGCCGGGACACGAGGAGUUCACGUAUCGAGUUUGCAAGAGUUCGUGCUUCACCGCGACGGUGUCGGCGACAAGAGCGAGGAAGCUAGUUAAUAGCGGUUGUACGGCUUACUUGGCGACCGUUAUGGAAGUUGACCGAGUGGUGCCGGCUCUAGAAGAGUUAGAGGUUGUGCGAGAGUUUCCGGACGUGUUUCCUACGGAGUUACCGGGGAUGCCGCCGGACCGGGAAAUUGAGUUUAUGAUAGACUUGCUUCCCGGGACCGCGCCGAUAUCCAAGGCCCCGUAUUGCAUGGCGCCGGCUGAGUUAAGGGAGUUGAGGGAUCAGUUGCAGGACCUCCUCGACAAGGAGUUCAUUAGGCCGAGCAUGUCACCGUGGGGAGCCCCAGUAUUGUUUGUGCACAAGAAGGAUGGAUCUUUUCGACUUUGCGUGGAUUACCGCGAGUUGAAUAAGGUCACUGUGAAGAACAAGUACCCGUUACCCCGUUACCCCGCAUCGACGACUUGUUUGAUCAAUUAUAGGGGUCGCGAGUGUACUCGAAGAUUGACCUCCAAUCCGGCUACCAUCAAUUGAAGAUUAAGUCGGAGGAUGUUCCGAAGACCGCGUUCUGCACGCGGUAUGGACACUACGAGUUCACCGUGAUGCCGUUUGGGCUUACAAAUGCCCCGGCCGCGUUCAUGAGCUUGAUGAACCGAGUGUUCAGGCAGUGCUUAGACCGAUUUGUCGUAGUUUUUAUAGACGACAUCUUGGUCUAUUCGCGCGAUGAAGAGGAGCACGCAGAGCAUUUGCGCACCGUACUUCAAAUCCUUCGGGAGAAGAAGUUGUACGCAAAGUUGAAGAAGUGUGACUUCUGGCUCCGGGAAGUUACUUUUCUCGGGCAUGUUGUUUCCGAGGGCGGUGUUUCUGUUGACCCGAGAAAAAUAGAGGCUAUUGAGAAUUGGCCGCGCCCGACGAAUGUCGCUGAGGUCCGAAGUUUUGUGGGCCUAGCACGUUAUUACCGACGGUUUGUGGAGGGCUUCUCGAAGAUCGUGACUCCACUCACCCGUCUGACGCAGAAGGGCGAAGAUCGUGACUCCACUCACCCGUCUGACGCAGAAGGGCACCCGAUUUAUUUGGAGCGACGAGUAUGACCGGAGUUUUAAAGAGUUGAAGGAGAGGUUAACUUCAACUCCGGUACUCGCCUUACCGGUGCAGGGUGACGAUUAUGUAGUGUAUAGCGACGCAUCCUAUCUGGGUCUGGGGUGUGUACUGAUGCAAGGCGGGAGGGUCAUUGCUUAUGCAUCCCGUCAGUUGAAAAGCUACGAGAAGAACUACCCCAUACAUGAUUUGGAAUUGGCGGCGGUGGUCUUUGCUCUGAAGCUUUGGAGACACUAUCUGUAUGGUGCUCAUUGCGAGAUCUACACCGACCAUAAGAGUUUGAAAUACUUGUUUACCCAGAAGGAGCUGAACAUGCGGCAACGGCGGUGGUUAGAAUUGCUUAAGGAUUGCGAUGUUGAUAUCCUUUACCACCCCGGGAAAGCGAAUGUAGUCGCAGACGCGCAUAGUCGGAAGUCGGCGGAGAACCUCGCUUUAUGGGUUACAAGCCAGACGCCCCCGCAGUUGCAAAUGGGGAAGAUGGAUCUCGAGGUGGUGGCUCCGAAAAUUUCGGCUAGGUUGACGACGUUGGUGGUCCAACCGACCUUAUUGGAGAGGAUCAAGAAUCUACAGUCGGCGGACCCGAAGCUCCAGAAGGUGCGGCACCAUGUUGAAAGUGGCCGUGGCGGAGAUUUCAGCAUGGAUGCAAGUGGUGCAGUACGGUUUCGAAACCGGUGGUGUGUGCCAAAUGACGAGGAGCUUCGCAAGUUGAUUUUGCAAGAAGCGCAUUGGUCACCUUAUGUCGACCACCCGGGCGGCACCAAGAUGUUUCACGAGCUGAAGACACUAUAUUGGUGGCCGGGAAUGAAGACUGAUAUUGGGCGCUUCGUGGCGAAGUGUUUAGUAUGCUAACAAGUGAAGGCGGAGCGUCGAUUUCCAGCGGGGAAAUUUCAGAGUUUAUCUAUUCCCGUCUGAAAAUAGGAUGACAUAUCGAUGGACUUCAUCGUUGGCUUACCUCGUUCGACAGGUGGCCACGACGCAAUUUGGGUGAUUGUGGAUUGUUUGACGAAAUCAGCGCACUUUCUGCCGAUCCACAACACUUGGGCAGGUGAGAAGCUAGCGCAGGUGUAUCUUGAUGAGAUUGUGAGGCUACAUGGGGUGCCGAAGUCGAUUGUAUCAGAUCGAGACCCCAAGUUCACUUCACACUUUUGGAGAAGCCUGCAGGAAGCCCUUGGCACGCGACUCGAGUUCAGUACCGCCUUUCAUCCUUAGACUGAUGGACAGACAGAGAGAACCAUUCAGACCCUGGAGGAUAUAUUGCGGGCGUGUGCCAUUGAUUACAAGGGGAAUUGGUGUAACACCUGCCGAUGGCCGAAUUCGCCUACAACAACAGCUGUCACGCGAGUGUGGGGAUGGCACCAUUCGAGGCUCUUUAUGGGCGGAAGUGCCGAUCUCCCAUUCAUUGAAGUGAUGUGGGCGAGCGGGCAGAGUUCGGUCCAGACGUGUUGCGAGAAGCGGAGGAGAAAGUCCACCUUGCUCGCAAGAGAUUGCUUACGGCGCAAUCUCGACAGAAGAGUUAUUCGGAUAAGCGCCGUAGAGACUUAGAAUUCGCGGUGGGUGACCGCGUGUUCUUGAAAGUUUCGCUGAUGAGAGGCGUGAAAAGGUUUGGGGUGCGAGGAAAGUUGAGUCAUCGUUAUGUUGGCCCUUAUGAGAUUUUGGAGCGGAUUGGGACGGUGGCUUACCGGCUUGCGUUGCCACCCAAGCUUGCGGGUGUGCACAAUGUAUUCCACGUCUCCAAUCUCCGCAAGUAUGUGCAUGACCCUGAGCACGUCUUGGUCUACGAGCCACCGGAAUUACAGGAAGAUAUGAGUUACGAAGAGUUUCAGGUGGAGAUCCUAGCUCGAGAAGUACGCAAGUUGAGAAGUCGCGAAAUUCCUUAUGUUCGAGUCCGGUGGAGCAAUCAUGGCGAUCGCGAAGCCACCUGGGAGCUCGAGGAGGAGAUGAAAGCGAAUCAUCCUCACUUAUUUGAAGGUUGAGCUGAGGUAUGGAUCUAGAGUUUAAAUUCUGGAUGAAUUUAGUAUCGUUGAGUUCGUUUUGAGGACGAAACUCUUUUAAGGUGGGGAGAAUGUAAGGAAAGUGAAUUCUCGAAAUCCGGGGAUUAGACUUCGUUGGGAAUCGACUGAUUGUCGAGUGUGUAAGCUUCGGAAAGUCCGAAGGUAGUAGUAAUGCGUAAAGUGCAUUAAGGAAAGGUCCGCGAGAGCACCAGUGCAAAAGCUGCACUGGAGCAGAAAUGCUCUCGGGGACCGGUCCCUGGCGAGGAGGGACCGGUCCCAUUGGGCUGGGCUGCGGGGGUCUUUGAUGAGACCGGUCCCUGGCAGG